AUCAGGGUUCCUUAGACUUGUUCUCAAUAAUAUUUCGCCCUCCAUUUUACCAUGGCUUGUUCUACCAAUGCAAGGUUAACCACCCUACCGUAUUUCUUCAUGAUCAUUAUUUUCUUUGCUUGCUUCUUCACUUGUGAUUUGGAAGCACGGGUUCUUGUGGCUGAUCAUCACGAGGCUAUUUCCACGAUGCAUGAAAAGUUGAAACCUGACAGCCAAAUUCUUCUGAUGAGAAUAGGCUUCAGCCCUUCACAGCUUGAAUAUUACAGAAGAAGGUCACUUAAUGAUAUUGAUCGAGUGGCUCCUGGUGGACCAGAUCCUCAUCACCAUGCGUGAUUAUCUACAAUAUCCUUUUCUAUAUCUUUUGUCAUUUUGUUUUUUGGCCCAAUUCUUGGGUUUUCGGUGGAGGGUUUAGCAGGAUUGAUAUGUUGUUAGAGAAGAAGAUCAGACUAUUGGUCGUGCAUGUUUGCUUUUCGUGAUGAACCAGCGUUCAUCAUCGUUUCGGCUGAAAUCGGGUAUAGCAAAUAUUUGCGCGCAACGCUCAUUUUAAUUCAUUGUUGUCAUUUCAAGAUUCUGUCCCUACAAGGUUUCUGAUUAGAUCUUUCAUCUUUUUGUGUGUGUGUGCGCGUGCGUUUUUUUUCUUUUUUCACCUUAUUUUCCUUUGUGCAUGCAGUCAUGUCUACAUUUCAGUGAAGAAAUAAAAUUAAUAACCUCUUCUCUCUCUCUCUCCCUCUUUCUCUCUCUCUCUCUCUUCCUUUUUUUGUCCGGGAGAAUAGGCGAGGUAACAAUAAUAACUUCAUUUUAUUAUGAAAGAAACACUUUAAGAGAAUCCAAUAUAUGAGUCAGGAAUUCAAUUCUGACAAAAAAACUUAAGGUAUUAUGUUUCAGAUCCUUACUUACAUAUUAAGUGAUUUUUUUCCAUCUCUCUGGAAUCAAUAUGGAUCAUAAUCCUUUACUCAUAAACUUAAUAAUUUUGCAUGAAACAUUUAUGGAAUCAACAAUUUAUUGUGGUAUAAAAGAACCAAAUGAUCAUAAUUGUUUUUGGUUCAAGGAUAAGAGACGACUUAAUUUGGGCUCUCUACCUUGUCUGCUUCUAUGCAGUUAAUAGUGGACUUUAUGAUUAACAGUAGUAUAUGAAUAUCACAUUUUCUAAGCUCACGAGAGCCAAAAAGUAUUUUUGACGUAAUUAAAAAAAUUUAAUCGGAAAUCUCCUACCAGAAGAAAUAGAAACAACAGACAGAAAUCCACAUUUCUCUCCAGAUUGAGAGCAAACUAUACAAAAUUAAGUUGUCCCUAAUCUUCUAACUAACGAAAUGUCAUUUUAGCCAAGUAAGCAAAUUGGAUUAUCAAAACUCAUAUAACUAUACACAAUAUGUUUGUUUUUUUUUUUUGUUUUUGUAAGAUUUAAACUAUUCAUGAUAUGUUAGUAAAGCGCUUAUAACCUGGUCAAUCAAUCUCUAAACGAAUUCAAUCAUCCAACAAGUCCAUUUACUUACAGCCAACCAGUACUCCAGUUUAAUCAUCCUAAAAUGAUAACUGGUUAAUGAAACAAUACUACCUUUCCCUUUGAAACUAGCAAAUUCCACAGCUAAUAUUGACUAAUUAAUUAAUAAAUUUGUUUUCCUCCCAUCAAAUUGAACAGGUUCUACUUUGGUCGUACAAAUCCACAACAGAUGCCUCUAAUAUCUCAUACAGUUUGCCGCAUUGAUUGCAAGAACGAUUUUUGAUGUGUAAACGUGUCCCUUUUGCAUGGAAGAAACAUCAAGAAACAUGACUUAGCUGCAGUUAGAUGCACUCAAAAGAAAGUUAAAAGAUCUCUCAAGUUUCUCCAAACUUGAUAAGUUAAAACCAUAAACGGAUUCUUUUAAAAGUUCAGAUACUAAAAAGAAAAAAAGAAAAAUCGAUUCAAUUUAUAUUACUAUAUAGUUUCUUAUCAGUUAAUAAAUCACCUUUACGUGGGUUGUCCAUGUCAAUGCCGAGUUGUUAAUUUUAUUUUUACUAGGCACGUAUAAAAUUCAUAGCAUUAAUUUCUUGAUACUGCUGCAAUUUAUUCCUGUCACAAGAAGAAGCUAGCGAGGCCACAUCUAUAUAUGGCAAAGGCACUAGAAUGGCUUCGUAAAGAUUAAAGAGCUUCUUCUUGAAGAACGUUUGAUGAAGAUCCUAACUAUAUAUGCUCAAAACGAUAAGCAUGGUGUUGACUAGGGUAAAUGGAUAGAUUCAGAGAGUUUCAGCCAAUUGGAUGCUCUUGUGAGAGAUAAUUACUAAACAAUUUCAACAUGAUCAUAAUUAAAUGAGGGAAAAAGUCAAAUCCAUGAGUAUAUAAGGGAAAAGUAUAUACAGUACAGGAGUUAUAUUUGUUAACACAAAAAACCCCCCUUUAACUUAGUCAGAUAAUCAAGGUGCUUUAUCCAUUUGUGACUUGUACCCUAUGUCCUAAGUGAUUCUUGUCCUUUUGCACCAGCCAAAAGUUGAUGAAAAAUGAUUGGAUUGGUGGCUUUUAGAUGUGGUUUCGGACAUUCGAAAAGUUGCUAAUAUUUAAUCAUAUGGACAGCAAAUCUUAGGGCAAGAGAAAUAAAAAUAACGAAAGAAAGAUGGCAGGAAUUCAUUUUCUGCAAGCAGGGAUGUGGAAUAGGGAUUGUGAUUGUUGUUGCCAGGGGGAUAGUGGAAGAGAAAACAAAUAUUAGUGACAUCUACGCAUAUCUUGCCAAUGCUAGGUAAACAAUUGCAGGAGGGCUGUGACAAUUAAGCUUAAUCAUAGAGAUCUCAAAUCCUCGAUCUGAUUUAUAAAUUAAUGAAUUUUUUAAUGAGUAAUAAAUGUUUUUGAGGCCCUUGAUGGAUCACUUUCAAUCAUAUAAUAAGCAGCAAAGAUCCAUGCUAGGCAUGGAUCAAUACUUUAUCAAAAGGCUUAGUUGGGAAAUUAUUCAUGUAUGACACACAUACAGUACAACAGAUAGAAUAAAAUUGAAAAAAAAAAAAGAAGAAAAACAAAGGUGAAGCACCAUUCUAAAGAUAACAAUGAUCCAUGUGACUAUAAGUCAUAUACAAUGUCCUAAACAAUUUGGCAUUGAUGUUUAACCAACAUAUUUGCACUAAUUUUGGGUCUUUUCUUACAAUGGAAUGAAUUUAUAAAGGGAGAAAAUAAGUGUAAUAUGAAUUUAUGAGAGUGAUCUUUAUUCAAUACGAACUUAGAGGCGCUAGAUUUAAAUUUGCGUACCUUAAAUUUCAUCCCUCACCUGCUAAACAUAAAAAAAAAGAAAAAAAAAGUGUAAUGUAGUAUUACCUAUUUGUGCAAUUAUUGUUCAACCAUGCAAAAUGUUUAAACCAACCAGUAUCAAGUUUUUUUGUGCAUAUCUACCUGCAAAAUAUUGGUGAGAAAUUACCUGACCCAAAAAAAAAAAACAAAAAUGAAAUCAUUGUAGGCUAGGCCCAGCCCAGUUACUAUUCCCUGUAAGUGGCUCCCAACUAGGGUAGGACCACAAAACAAAAAGCAACCUACAAUUCUCAUCUGUUAUCAACGCGCCACCAUGGACGCGUUGGUCAACCAAAAAUCUUCCCACCCCAUUCCUUACUGGACCCAUCAUCUAACAAUCUCAACCGUCAAAUUCUCACCCGGUUGUACCGCAGCAGAACUCCCAACCGUUAGAUAAGCGUUUAAAUAUCACGCUCCCCAUCAGCGCGUGAAAUUCCUCGUCCACUCCCCUCACCCAGCUCUCUCACUGUCCUUCUUGGCUUCUUCUUUCUCAACUCACCCAGAUUUCUUCCCCAGGAUCAUAGUUAGGAAAGAGUGUGAGGAUUCAUACUCAAACUGUCUGUGAUAGUGUGUGAAAAGAGAGAUCUCGAGAAAAAGGUAUGGCUUCUGUUCCUAAUUUAACUUUUGGGAAAACCCCUCAAGGAUUUCCCUGUAGUUAUUGUUUAUGUGUAUGUGUAAAAGGGUUUGAUUUAACUUUAGCAGUGUAGAGGACCCAAAAAUAGAAUUUGGGUUCUUGUGAAAUGGGGGUAAUUGUAUUUUAAGAUUGUAGAGAACCAAAGUAUAGAAACAGGGUUUGUUGUAAAAUUGUGGGCUUUUGUGUUUAUGCAUGCAGCAGCUAAUUUCGAGGUAAAAGAUUGAAUUUUUCCCGGUGAAGAAGGUGAAGCUUGGGAUUUAUGUGUGUGAGUUGUGUUUAUGCAUGUGCUUUUUGUAUGUAGAUUAGUUGAAAAAGAUUAAAUUUCUAGGGUUUUGGGAGGUGGAUAAAUGGCUUCUGGAACAACAGUUGGUGGUGGAGACGGAGAAAAAGAAGGGUCUAAAGAGAAGCAGAGGUGGGCUGAAGAGAGCAAGGUGUAUAAAAGGAAGUCUGUCAAGGGGUUAAAGGAUAGUAGUGACAAGAACAACAGUUAUGGUGCCCAGCUGGGGCAAAGUCAAACUGGGAAACCUGGGAGUGAAGAUGGGAAUCUGUUGGAAGAACCUGUGUUUGGUGUGGCGUCCGGUGACUCAUCGAGUCGUCCACUGGGAGAUCGUGAAGUGUCUGGGGGAAAUGGGAUGGGGAAAGGUGGGUUUCUGAGGCAAGAAAAUAAGGUCACCAUCAAUUUGGCGAUGAAGUCGAAAAGGGAGGCACGGGAGCUGAGGAAAAGGCUCGAGAGCGAGUUGGACGAGAUUAGGAGAUUGGUGAAAAAGAUUGAAGGGCAGGAGGGGAAAAAGAGCAGUAAAGCUGGACGUGGUGUUGAUAAUGGUGGGAAGUUGAAACGGGUCCAUUCCGAGGUGGAUUCUGUUGGAACGCCUCGCAUUUCCAAGCCUUUGCAUCAGUUGAGCGUAUCAGUGUUGGAGAACAGCAAUGACAAUGGGGAUAAAGAGAAACGGACGCCUAAGGCAAAUAAAUUCUACAAGAAUACAGACUUUUUGCUUGCAAAGGAUAAGUUUCCUUCUGCAGAAGGCAACAAGAAGUCUAAAUCUGGUGCUGGGAAGAAAGCUGGAGGGGGUGAAUCAGGACAUGGGUUUGUUUCAGGGAAGUUUUCUAAUCAAAUGUUGAAGAAUUGUAGCUCUUUGCUUGAUCGAUUGAUGAAGCAUAAGCAUGGAUGGGUGUUCAACAAACCUGUUGAUACUGUGCAUCUUGGUUUGCACGAUUACUUUGACAUUAUUAAGAAUCCAAUGGAUUUGGGUACUGUAAAAGCUAGGCUUAGCAAUAACGGGUAUAAAUCUCCUAAGGAGUUUGCAGAGGAUGUGAGACUUACAUUUCAAAAUGCUAUGACAUAUAACCCUAAGGGGCAAGAUGUUCACGUGAUGGCUGAGGAGCUAUUAAAGAAUUUUCAGGACAAAUGGGCUGCUAUUGAGGCGGAAUAUAUGCAUGAGAUGAUGCAUGGCCCGGAUUCUGAAGUGGGUUUACCGACUCCUAAAUCUAAGAAAGCUCCUCCAGCAGUAAUGGAACCUCCUGAAAUGAGGACUUUAAGCAGGUCAAAGUUUAUUAGCAAUCCUGUUGAUCCCAAAACCAAAACCAUGAUUUCUGCUGGUUCAGGGAGAACUGCAGCCCCAAAAAAGCCAAAGGCAAAAGAGCCCAAUAAAAGGGAAAUGACAUACGACGAAAAACAAAAACUUAGCACAAAUUUGCAGAGUUUGCCUUCUGAAAAGCUUGAAAAUGUUGUGCAGAUUAUAAAGAAGAGGAACCCUUCUCUGUGCCAAAAUGAGGAUGAGAUUGAAGUUGACAUUGACAGUGUUGAUACUGAAACUCUUUGGGAGCUGGAUAGAUUUGUAACAAACUUCAAGAAGAGUCUGAGCAAGAACAAACGAAAAGCUGAGCUUGCCAAUCAAGGAAAGGGAGAAGCAGCCCGGAGUGUUCCAGAAAAGGUAAGCUAUUGAAAUUUCUAUUUGAUGCCUUUCUGUUGUUAAUUUCGGUGGUUAUAGGCACUUAGCUUCCGUUUUCUGCAGGACCUUGCCCCAGCUGCAGCAGAAACUCUGAAAGAAAGGAAGAUGGGUAAGCUAUCUGAGCUCAAGUCUCCUUUGCUCUUGAAAUAACGGCAAACUUGGUUUUCAAACAUAGUGAAGUUAAAUGUGUUUUCUGAACAGAAGCUAAGAAAAAUUAUUCAUCUCAAACUGAAGUGGAAAAGAAGAGAGAUAAUGCAAGUCGAUCAACUAACUCAAGCGGCUCGAACGCGGACUCGGGAUCUUCCUCAGGGGGUAUUGCUAAUUCUUACUUUGUAUUUUCUGUCUGGAGAUUCAUGAUUACAAACUUAUCUCCAAAGUGAGAGAAUGUUACUGAAUUGUCUUCUCACUUUACAUUUUUUGGCAGACUCUGAUAGUGGAAGUGCUUCAGAUGGAUCCGAUGCAUGACAUUGAACUAGGAAUUAGAGUUACUUGUCAAUGUAAGAUAAGUUUCUUUGUGGAUUUAUUUAUUUGUCAUUUCAUGGAUCGUGGAAUUGAAUCUGCUUUUAUUGAUUUCUCUUGUUUCCUUGCUCAUAUUUAAUUAAUUUUCUGUUAUUUAUCGAAGCACGAACCUGUUGUUGUUUAUGUUAGCCUUUUCUUUAAUGUUUCUAAUUCUCUUUGUGAAUUUUGCGUGUUGUUCACUUUUAUGGUUGCUGGCUUUACUUGAGUUUAACUUAAAACUUAAGAAUGCUCAUUAAGAUCUAGAUAUGAUAGUUAAGCAUGUAAAAAGUGCACUUGUAAACAAUAAAUGUCUUAAUUGCUUUAUAAUUUCCAAAUUACUGGGAAGUUUGUAGAUCAUGAGAAAAGAUGAUUGUGCUCUUUUGCUCUAUUCAGCAAUGCAUGGUAGUUAAACUUUUUUUUUUUUCGGAGCAUAUAUUGAGCGCAUCGAAUUUGUCUAUCUACAAUUUGAAAGUGGCAUUUUCCUAGACAAUAAUACUGCAGUAUCUUGUUUAUGCUUUAGAAGCUGCUGUUGACACUCCCCAAAUGUUGAUAAUUCUGGAGUGCCUGUAAAGCUGUCAAAGAUUGAGGGAAGAGGAUAGAGAUUUCAUUAAAUUCUUUGUGAGUGGAUAUUAACACAAGUGUGAGAUAUGACUUAUCAAACAAAUUAUUGUGACUUGUACAGUUUUUGCUUUAAGAGGAAGUGCUGGUCAUUGUUAAACAGUCUGCAUGACUUUACGUGUGAAAUGACUUUCCUUAACUAGUUAAAUGAAAAGAGGGAAAGGUAGGAAUAUGCAAAACUUAAGCAUGAAUGCAAGUGUAACAAACUAGAGUUCAGCUAAAUAUAGAUAUGUAGGUUUGUGGUAUAAUGAUGGAAGCUUUAUUAAAUUUACUUCCUUUGUUGGCUCCAACACUGUGGCACUUCUUUUACAUUUUUUAAACUGGGAAGUUAGUUAUGGAGGCUGUAGAGAUCAACAUAAGUCCGUUGUUCCUUGAGCUUUAUAAUGGUCGAUCAGCAUUUUCGGUAUAUAUCAUCUUUCUAUCUUAGUAUCUUCCAUAAGCGCUCAAAGAAUCCCAAAUGUUUAAUCAACAUAUACACCAUGUGGCUGCAAGCGCUUAUUUGAGUGCUCUCCUUUAGCUUUAAGAUAGCACGAGCUUGUGAACUAAACCAGUGAUCAAGGUGCAGUGAUAUUUAUGAGCAUCAGAUCUAACAGGUGUAGGAAACACUCUAUUAUCAAGCUAUCAAGCAUUCAGCUUUUUCUUAUUCUUUCUGUACUAGAGUGUUGGUAAGAACUUGUACCUACUGUUAGGAAUUAUCUAUACUACAUUAGUUUCCAUGUUUGUAAUGCCUACUUUCGCAAAAGUCAUCUUAGGUGAAAGUAGUGCAGUUAGAACGUAAUACCUGUAGGUCGAGUAAUUUGGUCCUCUCUGUCUCUCUCUCACACACACAAAGCACACACUUUUCUUUUUUAUUGUUUCUCUUUCUGUUUUGAUUGUCAUGGUUAUGGCGAAUGCCUGAAUGUUAAUUUGAAGUUUGGCUCGUUUUUGUCUUCAAUAAUUCCAACAGGAUUGUGGCCUGAUUGAUGCUGCUAUUCCUUUUCAGGUCUCAUUUUGUUUUAACGAAGAAUCGUGCUUAAGUCUAAUAUUCAUGUUUCUACCAUCUUGCCUAGAUUUAUUGUUACAAACCUGUGGCCGAGCUUGACUGCAUAUCGAUCUCCUCUUGAAACAAUGGUCUCCAUCGACAGUAAGGUGUUUUAGGUGACGGUUUUAGCAACAGAUGUUUCUGGACAACCUGGAGAAUGAUGCAGAUGCUUCUUUAUUGUACAUUGUUGUAGCUUUUGUACAUAGCUAACUACUGCUGGCCAGUUUUCUGUGUAUUUGUCUGGUGGUUUACAGCAGCGUUGGAUAAAACAUUUCGCAGUUAAUUGCAAUUGCAUGUAUGUAUUAGUAAUAGCGGUAUGCUGUCGAUGACCUAAGAGGCAUUCUUUGUGUAAAGUCUUGUUCUUGGUCGUGGAUCUUUCUCGAUAGUUAAUUACAUAUUGCCCUUAGCUUACUGCUUUUGCUAUGAACACUCCUAUAAUUGCUCGUUUCUUGCUAACUCAAAUCUAAAUUUUGGCGUUCCCUAGAUUGAGUGGUACCAAAACUAAGGGUAAUCAUUAAGUUUUGUUCAUGAUAUUCCGGGUUUGCUUCCUUAAACCCCAUCUGUCAGUCCCUCAUCCCCUCCAUUGUGCGGGAAAAUAAUGGAAAGCCCCCAAAUCCAGAAUGGUGGACAUUGCAACAAGCUAUCCUGCGUUUCCACCUUGAAUUCUCCAGCUGUUUGUGUCCCUAGAGCUUAGUUUAUCGCUGCUCAUUAUGUGGUAUUUGCAAUAUUAUUUACACUUACCAUAACCCUUAAAACUUCUUUAAUUGAAAUAAAACUUAGUACCAUACCAAUUUGUCAAGUAAUAAUCACGAGUAUUGCUAGAAAAAGCGACAAAAAUAUAUACUCCUUUCGUCCUACUUUGAUAGUCCUUUUUUUUUUUUUUUUUUUUUUACACAAUUUAAGAAAAAGUAGUUAACUUUGUUGGAAAAGUAAAUUUGGAUUGCUAUUUUUCUAAAAUACUCUCACAUUAAAUAUGGUAUAACUUCAACUUUCAUUAAAUGGGGUAGGUUUAUAGUAACAACUACUUACAUUGAAUAAGGAUAUUUUAGAAAAAUUAAAAUACAACUAUAUUCUUCAAUUGGAAAGUGGGUUAUAAUUUGGGACAGAUGAAAAAGAGAUACAGAACUAUCAAAGUGGAACGGAGGGAGUAUAAAGUUAUACUAAUACAUUUCUCUUGGUACAUAGUACUCCCUCCGUCCCAUUGUUGUUGUCAUAGUUCACCUUUUUUCAUGUCCCAAAAUUUGAGUCACACUAUAAUUUUUUUCUCUAACAUUCCAUUUGUAGCCUCAAAAGAGACAUUGAUAAAAUAAAAAACAAGUAUAAUGGAACUCACAAAAGCAAUAAAUAGACAUCAAAAAAAAAGGUGCGUGGACAGCACCAAAAAUUUUGAUGGCCAUAAAUAGGCGCGUGCUUGGCAACCGUAUGAAAAAGAGCUUACAUUUUACAUGGACCCACAGAUUCUUUUCACAUCACCAUAGACAGCAAUUAAGAUUUGAUAUCGGUCAAAGGGGUACGAUUGGAAAAAAAUGUCUCACAUUCAAAUUGAUUGAACUGUGCAUAAUAAGUUAGAAUCUCCAAAAACGUCCCUUAUUUUGGGACAGAGGGAGUAUUUCGUAUUAUAAUUCAUUACUCAAUAUUGUCUAUUAAACUUAGUACAUCAUGUUUCAUAAUCUAAAUCAUUAUUCAACAUUCACAACUAUUGUAUACAUCCUAUUGUAUUAUCAAUCAUCAUGCAAUAUUUACAAUGCAUAAACUAUGUCAUGGGGUUUAAUUACGAGAAUUAGCUUAGACAUGAUUAUGCCACCAAGAUCGAUCUCUGAGUUGCGGCGAGGUGACUUGAAUUUCCCCAUUUCUUGAUUACAGCAACCCAUGGCUCGCAAUUCUUUGAAUUGCUGUUCCUCUUAUUCUACGCGCGCACCUUGCCCGGUCGAUCUUCGUCAUGGCCCGCAAAUUGCAUCCUGUAACAGCGCUUGCCUACUAUUCCCUCCCAGUACCCUCCUCAGUCCUCACUGCCUUAUUUGAAGGAAAUGCAUCCGCUAAAACAUAGAACCAUGCUCGCCACUACAUUAAAAUGCACAUUUUGGUCAAACACUUUCCCAACACACAACCCUUUUAAUCCAAGAAAGCCUUUUUCUGCUUCUGCUGUAAAGUAUCCCAACCAAGAAGAAACGCCUGCACAAAAGCCAGCACAAAUAGUACACUGGUCCGGUCUUGACAACUGGAGAAGUAGCCCUCUUAAUCACAACCGUUUCUGGGGAGCCAAUGGCCCACAAACACCCCCGAUACAACCAUCAUUCUCGAAUUCUGGAGAAACCGGCGACAGUGGUUCAAUUUCAUGUUCUAUUGACUGGGGCUGUUGCUCUUCUUUAGCAGAGAUGGGGGCUGUGGUGCUAUCUACAGCUGACCCUCUUCAAAAAUCAAAGCUUUCCCACUUGGCUUACUCCAGAUGGUGCCAGGAGAGCCUUCCUGUUGGAGUCUGUGAGGCACCCUCUAAGCCUGCUCGUCCCCAGAAUCCGCAACUGGUUUGUUUUCUGAGAGUCCUUUUGGCCAUUUUGGUUACGGAGACAUUAAAAAUUUGAUCUUUUUGUUGGAGUUUAAGAGUUAAUGUGAGGAAUAGCAGAUAUGUUUGUGUAUGAUAGUCAUGUUCUUGAUUGAAUUGGUGGGAUUGGAGUUGGAGUUUGUGCUUCUGCUUAGAUGGUAAUCCAUGUGUUUGAUGAAUUUGGUAUGCUGGAGAGUUUAGGAAUUGUCUUUAUUGAAGCUUAGUUUCCUCUUAGAGAAUUGGCAAUGUAAAAACAAAACAAUAUUAUUAUGGCAGCUGCAUGAAAUGCUCUCGCUGUUAAUAAUUGACACCACUCUCUUUGGGUUUGUUUUAAUUUAGUAACUCUACUGUUUAUUAGUGUGACAAGCUGAGUACACUGUCUGCUCUUAGGACUGGUUUACUGUAUGAGAAUGCAGGUAUCUCCAAAGGAGAUUCCAUCCCCAAAACACUCUGGUUUGCCUCUUAAUGCAUAUAUGCUGCAUAAUCUAGCUCACGUGGAACUAAAUGCGAUUGAUUUGGCUUGGGACACCGUUGUUCGCUUUUCUCCUCAUUGUGAGCAUCUUGGAGAGGGAUUUUUUGCUGACUUUGCUCAUGUGGCUGAUGAUGAAAGUCGACAUUUUGCUUGGUGUUUACAGAGAUUAGAAGAGCUUGGAUUUAGGUUGGUAUGGUAUUUUUGUUUUUUGUGAUAAUUGUCUUUGUUCAUAUAGUGACUAACAGCCUCUAUCGUUCUUCUUCUUCUUUUUUUCUUUUUUUUUUUCGCCCCGGGCAGCUAUGGGGAUAUGCCAGCUCAUAAUUUGCUCUGGAGGGAGUGUGAUAAAACAUCAGAUAAUGUUGCUGCACGUCUGGCUGCAAUUCCACUUGUCCAGGUACUCUGUUGGAUGUAUCUUUUGCAUCUUUAGUAUCAUUUGAAAUUCAGAUGCUUAUGGGAUUAUGAUUUUCCAAAAUUAUUUCCGAUGUCCAUAACAGCUGUACCUGAAUCUAUUUCUCUUCUUUCAGAGUGUUCUAUGAAGAAAGUCUCAUACUGGAUAAUAUUAAAUGCCAAGACAUGUUUAAUGCUGCCUAACUGUAAGAAAGUUGUCGGGUUCCUAACACAAAAAGGCUAUCUAAUAUGGUCAUUAUGUCCUUACCAGAGAAGUUUCCCUUCCCCAGCAGAAGCCUUAGGUGGCUGUGAAACUAGCUGCAUAUUAUUGCCCUAGGUCCACUCAACUAUUAGAAGAGCACUAGGGCCCCUGAAAGAGCUACUAUUUAAUCCCAAACUGCUCCCGACUCAGCAGUGAGGUAGAGAUGAAUUGGGAUGGAGGAGCAAUACCCUACCCUUUUUUUUUAGCGGAUUUCUAAAUUGACAGUUGAAACAAAAAAAAGCAAGCUGAUUGACUCAAGUAGGACUAGUUCCACAUGGCAUGAUUCCAUAUUGAUUCCAACGAAGAGAAAUUUUCCCAGUUAGAUAUGCAGUUAGGAUAACGAAUGGUUCACAUCUUCUGUUCUGAUGUUCUAGGAGGCCAGAGGACUUGAUGCUGGGCCUCGGCUUGUGCAGAAAAUGGUUGGAUUUGGUGAUCUUAGGACUUCAAAUAUUGUGGCUAAGAUUGCCGAUGAAGAACUUGCGCAUGUUGCAGUUGGUCUUUAUUGGUUUCUUUCAGUUUGCCGGAAGAUGGGUCGUGCGCCUUGCUCUACUUUUAAAGGUCUAACACGGUUACACUUAAUUUAAGCAGACCUGUUGCAAGUCUUUCUCUAAAUAUUGUGUUACUUAUGUGGCAGUCUUGCUGGAAGAGUACAAUGUAGAGAUAAAAGGACCCUUCAAUUACUCAGCUCGAGAUGAAGUUGGAAUUCCUCGAGAUUGGUAAGUGUAGGAAAAUUUCCCUUCAUUGAAUCCAAUUAACUUAAUGGGAAGCAGAACAAAUAAUUUUACUUGGUGUACAGGUAUGAUCCUUCAUUUUCAAGACAAGGAGAUGGGAAAGACGGGCUUUCUGAGGUAUUUAAUUUGAAGCUUCAAUCUUUAUCAGAAACUGAAAAUGCAUCUAUUUGAAGCAUAUGCUUACCUUUCUAAGUUUGUUCAUCGAAACCGCCUGCAGGUUUACGAUAGGUUAGCAUGCAUAAUUUCUAUGGAACAAGAAAACUCAAAGAUGGACGCGUCUCGUGGAUGAAUCUUACGUUAAGAAGCUGUAUAUAAUCCAACUUCAUGAAUGUCAAACCUCAUGUGGAACAACAAAAACUUCCAUUGCCCUUCUUACUGGAUGGUGAUUAUCAAUCUUCUCUAGGAAAGCUGCCCUGCAAGGUCAUUGGCCUGGUUGUGAUGAAUUAUCUUGGCUUGUUAGUGUUUUAUAAUUCCUGGUCCAGGAUUCCCAUGAUAGCACCAGCACAACUCCAAUCAAAGACAUCCUUGCAGGUUCCCUUCUCUUGGGGUUCUUUUACGUUAAUCAGGGAUAGAAGAUACUUCGGAGCUACAAUUCGCUAUAUAGUACUCGUCCUAUGAUAUUCCUCUUAGCUGAAGUUAGCAAUUGAUGUUCUGUUAUCUCAACACUUUCAUCUCCAGAACAAAAGAUGGACAGGAAUUAUUCCACAAACAAGUCAAGGAAGUGGAAAGGAAAACUUUUUUCUAUUUGUUUUUCCAGCAAAGAAGGAAGAGACACCUGAGUGCGUCUACGUCACAUUAUGCUUGUCAAUCUGGAAAGUAAAUCUCUUGCCAACGAAGAAAUUAGCAUCUAGAACCUAAUUCUUGAUUCACGUGUCCCCCAACAAAUACUCCUCAUUAGAUUACGUAUUGAAAAUUGCAUUAAACCCAUCAAUUAUCACAGCCUGAUUGCUUACUAUGUUUAGUAUAGGAUGACACUUUAUAGCUACGUGUCCUAUUAUUACCAUACUCAAAGAAGAAAAGAAGAGAGAGUUUUCUAGAGGGGACCGACCUUUGGGAGGCAUAAAUCUCACAAGAAUCAAGAAUUCAACAUCCAAAGAAAAAUCCCAGAACAUCAAGAAGUGAAGAAAACAUCACAAAGAAAUGUGCUGUGGAGAUGGAGAUUGUAGGCCUUUGGCCUUCCUAUUAAGCCUGCCCUUCGCCUUUCUUGCUCUCCUCGUCUCUCUUGUGGGCGUCAUCAUUUGGAUUGUCGGGUACGGACAUUUGACUCAUUUUUCUUCUUUUCUUUGCAAAUUUCACGGCUGCUGCGUCGUUUUCUUGACUUUAUUUUGUCAAUCAUGUUUUGAUUCUCUCUUCUUUUUUUUUUUCUCUCCCUUUCUUGAAUUUUAUUGAUUGGUGUAGUAUACUGUUGAGCAUCAUAUGCCCAUGUUGCCUGUGCGUGACUGUGCUAGUGGAGAUGGCCCUGCAAUUGAUCAAAGCCCCCAUCCACGUUAUGGAGUGGUUCACCUCUCAGAUUCCCUGCUAGAUUAAUUCUUCUCCCUCUUUUUGUAACUUCACUUCAUCUUUUUCACAUCUUUGUUAGGAAAUUGUAGACCCUGUUUUGUCUUCCUCUGCAUCUCUUGUCGUUAUUGAAUCAUUUACUUCAUCCUAGUUGCUAUUUCUAAUCCUUCUAUCUCAUGCUUAUCAAUUUCUUUGCUUUUUUGCUGGGGAAAAUACUCAUGAAGAGAGAGGAGACAACAUUUGAAAGUAGAAAGAAGGAUUUUCGAACAUAUGAACUGCACUGAACCUUAUGAGAUUCUUGAACAUAAGAAACCACGUAUCAAAGAGGAUUACAUACAACAGUUAACAGAAUUGAACAUCUGAACUGCACCCAAAUUUCCUUCGCCACAAAACAUAAGCAAACAUGAUGAAAAAAAAAACAGCAUCAUUGGAAGGCCUUUCAUACACAACAGCUUUAACAUGCUAAUAUAUGCGAAGCACUAAAUCAAUUUCAGUCAAGAUUGCCCUUUUUGCUCUUCUUUGUGUGAUUCAUCUUUAUCGAAGGUGUGAGUCUGACCAGGCAGGCCCUGUCCGGUGAGAAGAUCUGUCGUCGUUUGACCAAUUUCUGCUAAAGUUUCGCCAACUGCAUGCAGCACUCCACCGCCCUGUCCUUCUUGUCUCGUUUCUUCUUGGAUAAACUCCUUUUCUGUUGGUUUGGCUUCUCCUCCCUCUUCCUCGUAUUGCUUUUCCUUGGUGAUGAAUCCACCUUCCUACAUAUGUUUCAGGGUCAAAAAUCAAUCAGCAAAAGCCAGCCAAAGAGAAAAAAGGCACGGAGUAUAACACAAUUCCCACAGCUUUUGCAAUUUUCUAGGACAAUGCAACAUGCAAAAUCGCCUAGAAAAUACUUUGAUACUUGAUAGGUGAUACCUCAAAUGUAAAAAUUUGUCUUUUAUUAGUGAUUCAUAAGCACAAUUCUUCAGCCAGAUAUUUGCUUUACCUUUUGUCCUGUGAGCAUCAUAAAUAAGUGGUGCAAACAAAUCAAUUACUCGUAUCUUCAUGGUAAAAAAUCAUAAUCAGUCCAAUGUGCGAAUAAUGAAAAUUAUGUCUCACUGAUUUACCUUAACUGGAGUUGAUUUCUUCUCCUCUAAUUCUCUCUGAGCCUCAGCCUUCUUCCUAGCUGCAUGCUCGGCAGCACUUUCUUCAGUUGCGACUACAGCAUCUUUGGCAGCAGCCAAUUUACUCUCAGUAUACCCGACAACUCUGUCCUGCACCCGCCACCUUAUCCCUGGCCACCCCAGCUACAUCAGCCAUCACUUUAGUACCCAGAGCAGCCUUUUCUGCCGUGUAAUGUGCCGCACCCCAGCCAGCCACGGCCGCCAUAUCUGUGGCUUCCCCGGCCACCUUUCCCAUGUAUCCUACUGCAGUUUUGCCGCUUUCCACUGUAAUAUCCCUAACAACCGCUGUUUGUUCUCCAACGUAACCAGCCGCCUUCUUGGUUGCAUCCACAGUAGCAUCCUUAGCCUGGACCGCCUUUUCCACUGUAACAUCGUUGGCCUCUUGACCCUUUUCAACAGCGGCGUCCUUCAAGGCUUUAGCCUUCUCACUAGCAACUUGAGUUCCACGUUCAACACCUUGCUUGACAGAUUCCUUGGCUUGGCCUGCCUUUUCUGCAGCAUAUUGGGAUCCAGUUUGAACUCCUUGCUUCGCUGUUUCCUUGGCUUGCCCUGCCUUCUCAGCGGCAUACUCAGAUGUUGCACCAGGUUUCUGACAUGCCGCUUCCUUUGCCUGCCGCGAACGCUCCUCGGCAGCCCUGAUGGCCUCCAUGGAAUUCUGCUGCGCCUGUUGCCUAUACUCGGUUAUCUCCUCCAAGGAAGGCAUUUCUUUCUCUUUACCUUCCUCUUCGCCCUUCUUCCUUUCGAUCCCUUCACCCCUUUCUUCAUCUGUGCCUCCACCGGCUUUCACAGCCAGAGACUCAAAAUGGGUAGCCAUUUUUGGGACCCUGUCUUUCUCUACAUCGACUGCUCGCUCAUCCGUAACAUCUUCCCUUCUCAUUUGCUCUGACGACAUUGUCAAUUCUUGAUCAAAAGAUGAUAGAUAUCUUUGGAAAUUUCUUUUGGAACACAAAUGGAUUUUAUGUAGUAAAAAAAAUGCAGUACUAGGAUGUAUCCUAUGCAAUGUGACAGUGUGUGAGAAUUCGAGACAUCAGGAAGUUUGGAAAAUGGUUAUAAAAACUGAGGCCCAGAGGUGAUGGCGGUUUCCAAGGAGAUCGAUGAAAGAAGAGGAAAUGACAGGUGGGCAAAGCUCAUGCAAUGUAGUGGUGUUGUGGGGUGGUCGCCUGUGUGAGUCAGCAAUCGAGUCAAGCAAAGAUGUACACGUGUUUUUUUUUUUCAGCAGGAAUGAUACAACGAAUCGGCUAUGCUUUUUGAAAAAUUGUGUGGAUAAUUGGAAUUUAGAAAAAAGAAGAUGUAUAUGUAAAAAUUUCCAAGUUCAAACUUAUGUAAAUAUGACUGCAUGAAAAUGAUUAAUAGCGGCAAAUAUGAAAAUGGGUCAACGUGUACACCAAAACGGACCGAGAAAUGGAUAGUGCUGUUUUGUUUAAUAUCACAAAGGAAAGCCCAAGUGCCAGCAUUCAGCAGGAACAUACUAUUGAUGAUUCCCAACAAUUUUUUGGCACAAAAACGUUUGGGAUGAAUUAUUUCGAGUCAUCAUCAUGAGUCACGGCAUACCCCUGUAAUCAUACAUCGUUUUACAGAAAUUCUUACGAAUUGUUUAUUAAUACAAUUCUUACAUUCAUAAUGGGAUCCAAAUACAUGAUCUUUCCUAUACGACAGGCAGCAGAAAAGGUGAUUACAGAACUUAAUAUUUUUUUUUUUUUGGUCAAUUACUGAGAGAACUCAGACUUUUAGCAUAUAAAUUGAAAUCCCUGAACAACCUUCAAAAGCCGGCAACUUUUGAAGGCGUCCAGAGGACUUAUAAACUAACCCCCCAUAGUCGAUGUGGGAUAGAACCUCCACAGGACCUGCUGCUAGAACUUAGUAAAUGUAACUAUAAAUAUUAGAACCAUUUCCAAGUCAAAAUCUGGUUUCCACUCACUGGCCUGGAUCCAACUAGACAUGGACGGUGUUUCAAUUGUGGUUUAAUCAAAUCCACUUGGAUCCUCCUAGAUGGCAUGAGGCUUGUUGUCCACUUGUUUCAUUGAACUAGCCCAAAGUGCUAAUGCGUUUAUAAUUCAAGUUGCAAAGCAGUUGCCAAUCAGCCCGUAGUCUAGUGCUGUAGACUAAUGGAAGUCCCCAAAGAGAGACUGGUAUUCUUUCGAGGGACUGAAGUAAUAAUCAGUAUGUUGAAUUGAUGAAAUUUGGCAGUUUGAAAACAUGCAUUUCCAACUGAAGUGCCAAAAGAGCUUCAAAUUUAAGGUUAACACGUUCGAGUACUAAAGAAUGACUUGUCAAAGCCCCUGUGUUGCAAAACUUCCAGUUUAAAAGGCGAUAUCGAUGAAUGGUAGAAUUUUAACCGCAUUAACAGAACAAAAAGAUGGAGCAAUUCUGACACAAGACAAGAGUAUGCUAUAGUUGCCUGAAAUUGGCCUAAAAAUAAUCCAAUAACAUUAAAAAUUCUCAAAAAAUGAGAACAACUUCUUAGUCAGGCAUCCUCUCAUGCCAAAAAGCCCCUUUAGUCUCCACUUUACAAUUGAAACAAUCAAACAGUGAUCAAAUUAUUCCCUUGCAUUGCAUGAGAUAAAUAGAAUAGAGCCAAUUUCUACCCUUAAACAAUGGACAUUUCUUUCUGUUGAUGAACUAAGUAUCAGUCAGAGUUCAUUCCUGCUACCCCUUUUUUCUGUAUCUUCCCCAUCAACCAAAAAGAGCUGCAUAAAGAAGUUCAUUCCAAGUAUCAGGCAAUCCAGGCAGACACCAAUGGCUGCAGUCCAGGCCUUUGUUCUCACUGUAGUAUGUUGGAUGUGCAUCCUUGCGAUAUUGUGAAAGUGUUGUGAUGUCCAAUAAAUAAACUGGUUUCUUGAUUCUGCUCAGCACUUUGUUCAGAAUUAUUGAAGCCAAUGGUGUGCCUGCCGGAUACCUUGCACCAAAGUAUGGCUGUGUCUCGCCAGCACAGGAUCUUGACGGUGCAUUCCAUUCCCUGCCCCUGAAUUCAAUUGCAGAGAUUAACAACCGCUAAGAUUCUGUAGACUAGUUCAAAGGCAAAGUUCUAAAGUGUUAAUCUUAUUUAUGUCAGUAUACUGACAAUGUACAUACACUGUUACGGUGGUUAGAUGUUUGAUAAUUAUACAAAAUUUAAAUUUAGAUUAAUUGUUAAGUUUUUAACGGCGAUACUAUAUUUACUGUAUCAGUGUGUAUAAAAUUAAUUUAUUUUUAAACAAAACUUCGAAGGGUUAACUCUUGAAGAAUUAUUUUUCACGAAAAAUAGAUAUUGCAACUUUUUUUUUUUUCUAAUUUGUUCAAGAAGAGACUCUAAACUUUACAACGGGGAGGGAAAAAAUAGGCAUUGCUACUUGUUAGUGGUGAUUUCGUAGUAGCAAAAAAAUGGAAUGCUAAAUUCUUGUCAAACUAAAUAUAUUGGUUCUUCUACAAACAACCAUAAUGUUUAUCUACGAGCCUUUUGGUUUUGAUAUGUAUAUGCAUAAUUUGCGUACUUGGAUUUUACAAUGAAAUUGGAGGAAAAUUGCAAUAAACUAAUCUCAAAUUGGGUGAGGAAUUGGGAACAGAGAAAUUGCUUACAAGUAGUGAGUAGGGGAAAUUCCUUGGAAGAUGACUUUAGUUUUGGAAGGAUCGACGUUCCGGUCGACCCAUCUGGCCCAUGUUGUCAUCCCUAUGUAGUAAGCAAUCAGACGGUUCAUAUCUUUCUGAACUUUGACGCCAUCUUGUAUGUAAUCCCAUCUGCGUUAGAUCAUAGGGCACUGAAAUCAAUUAAUACAGCCUAAAAUAUAAAUUGACCAUAAAAAUUUCAAUCAUAAAAAAUUUAUGAAAUUGGAGAAUUUACGGCUGGGAUCUUCCAGUAUGGGUCCACCAAUGCCAAGAGUUGAAAAUUAGAAGGUCCAUCCCUCUCCAUGCAUCUCCACCCCUAAUGGAGUCCAGCUUUAGAACUACGCCCUCCUUUUCCUUCACCAUAUCCACCAGGUAUGGGGUGCGAUAUAGUAGUAUCCUAACAUUAUAAUCCUAAUCAAACCAAAAACAAAUCACAAUUGUUACCACAAGGCCUCCAUUUUUCUUUUUUCUUCUUUUUUUUUUGCUACAAAAGAAUAUACAUGACAACGUCUAAGAGUAAUAAAAAGAAUCUCAGAAUUAUUAGUCGAGAAAGUGUAAGUGAAAGAUUUCGAGUUCGAUUCCUCCACACAGAAUAAAAUCUACUUGUAUGGUUCUAGUAAGUCAACCAUCUUUGUUACUUUAUCUGAGAAAUUUGAUUGCUACAUUUACCUUAAAUUAGAUCAACAAAAUUGCAUACAAUAAUUCUUUAACAUUCCAUUGAUGUUUAACAUAUUCCUUUUUUCUUUUUUUUUUUUGGUUCCUUCUAUCCAAGAGAGAACACAAACCGUAAAAGGGGAGAGUGUGCAAAAAGAAAGAUUGAUAGUUGAAUCAAAUACGUUAAGAAUCACUUGACUAAUGUUCCUAUAUUGUUUGGAAUGUGGUUUUCUUUAGAAAAAUUUUUAUGUUUUACGUGAACAUUAUUUUUUAAUCUUUUAUUUACGUCACAUACAUCAAAUCCUUACUGAAUAUUUUUCUAUAAAAAAAAACUUUUAAAAAUGACAAUCGAAAUUAAAGUUAAAUCUAAAACAUCAUAGUAACGACUCAAAACGUUUAACUUUUCAAAAAAGAAUUCGAAAAAUAUUUAUCUUCCUAAAGAUGACACUACUCACACCCAUUGCCAUUCACGAGUUGUUGAAGAUAGGAUUCACAAUAGGCCAGAUGGACACUUAGAAGAAAGCAAAUCGCAGACAGGAUGGUCCAUGGAUUAGCUGUUUGGGACUUCUUUUUCCCGAUUCCGUAUUUCAGUUCGUUUCUACCAACAUGCGUCCUUGUCCGGCUGUCCCGUCCCUACUUUCUGUUUUUGCCAACAAGGCAAUCACGCCAUCACUUUGACCAAAAAUCACUCCUAAGUUCCACAAAUAAGGGUAGGUGGUCCGAUUUUCUUCAUCAAUACAACAUAAUUUAUCCACUAAUCUCCUAUCACAGCCUCCUUAAGCUCUCACUUUUCUUAAAUUAAAAUAAAGUAAAUUAUACAAAUGUAUCGUUGCUGAUAAAAUAUAUAUAUAUAUAUAUAUAUAUAUAUAUAUAUAUAUAUACUCCUUCUAUACUCGCCUUCAUGGACUGAUGAAUAAAGUCUACCAAGAUUGGAUAAUUUUGUAUUAUACAUUAAAUUUCAACUUCUUCACGGAUAACUUUUAUAUACAUUGUGAGUGUAAAAAUUUUUUUAUGCAAGUAGAUUUAAAUCACACGACACUUAACACAAAUUCAAAUUUGAAAUUCAAAUCAUGAAUACAUGACAUAUAUCUAAAACGGUUAGUAUAAAAAAAAACAUUACACAAUCAAUAUAUAAAAAGUCAACCCUUUCUUUAUUAGCAAAAUUUUCAAUUACUGUGCGCCCUUAGAGUACAAUAUAAGCACACCAAAAAGAAGGAAGGGGCCAAAUAUGAAAUUAUGACGUCAUCCGACUCCACCCCUUUUGUUUUGUCUAGAAUAUUUAAUUUUUGCAGAUAAUAUAUAAUAUAAGUGGACCAUGGCUGUAUAGGUGCCCUUUAGUUAUAGAAGAGAAGAACCCUACAUUACAGCAGCUUUCCAUAGUCAAAAUUUCAUGAUAAACCCGGAUGGUGAUGUCGAAAUACAAAAUUUGUCAAAAUUGACAAGAUAAAAAACUUUGCAGAAAACCCAAUGAUCGAUUUUCUAUAUUUUAGGAUUUGAAACAUGAAAAAAUUUGAAUGCGAAAUUAUAAAAAAGAGACGUUGUAGCAUAAAAUUGAUUGAACAAGUCCAGAAUUUAUUAGGAAGCAAGCAAAUAAGCCAGAAUGCCUCUUUCACCAAAUUUAAUUCUACCAAAGAAGACAACAAAACCCGAAUUAAUUAAUUGAUUAGUCAUUUUCCAGCAGUCCUCCUCCCCUCUAUAAAAAGACAAAAAAUCAUUAAUUAUUUUAAAAAAUAAGCCAAAAGUCCUUCUCUUUUUUUCUUUUUUCUUGUGGACUACCGCUUCAACUUUAUGCGUGGUUUUCUUCCACAAUCAUAAUGACACCCUCAUAUUCUACCAGAUUUUUCAAUCAGGCCUCCCUCAAUUACUCCUGAAAGAUGGUGCAUAUUACUACUACUAGUAUUUUUUACCAUCACCAUUUUCAAAAAGAUUCCUGUUCUUUUUUUGUUUUUUAUGUCAAAACACUUACAAGACAAAUUGGGACAAAUUUACAACAUGUAAUCAUUAGCAAGACUUUUAAAUUCUUCUCAGUUUAAGUUCUUUUCACAGAAGUCUCAAAUGUUGCAGAUGCGUUUCUUUGUCCUCUUCUUUACCAUAGCUUUCUCCAUGUGAAAGAAAAGGCUAAAUGCGUUGAAAGUUUCAUGGACAUGGACCAAUCGACAACUUUGCAAAAAAAUUGAUUCUUUUCUUCCUCAAAACAACUGGCAAUUCACCAAGCACGCCAUCACUCCAGAAACUUUCUAGCCAAACAACUAUGGAGAAAAUGAGAAAGGUAUUAACAACUGGCAACUCACCAUCGGAAUAAAGAAGUCAGCAAAAAGUUUGUGUCCCAAAAAUUAAUGCCCUGAUCUAUCCGGUCUCAGGAGCAUAUGGGGUCCCAAUAUUUCCUUUACCAACUCGAAUUCCAUCUUAAAGACGGCAGUGACAUUCGGAAACCAAACAUUUAUUAUUAUCAAUUUACGGAAGAAAUCAAGAAACUGACAAUAGCCACGAAGGCAAUGGCAAUUGAAUUCAAAUCAAGUGCUGAAAAAUUGCGACGUGAACUAUAAAAAUUUGAGUUAUACUACUAUAUUAGGUGCGACAUGCCCAUUAUGUGGUAAUAUUACGUGAUGCACUUAGUGUUAACAAAAAUUCAUAGCAUUAAUCUGUCUGAAAAACACUUGCAAUUAUUAUUUGAUGACAGAUGAUUAGUUUUAGUGCAUCGCGUGAGCUAGCGAGUAUGGUCUUACUAGUAGCCUCUCCGUCAGUCAUACUGGCUUAGCUGAGGACAUGGUACAGUACGAGCAGAAUGGAGAAGAAAAUGGUUGUUUGACGGAGCGCAAGUGACAAAAUUUGGGGCAGAAAUAACAGAAGGGAAGUGUAGUCAUGAACAUCUAUCACUUCACCUUCCAAAAAGCUAGGACAGAGACAGGAGACAGGUGAUGCAUGCACCAAAUCAAGUCAUCAUUCAACCAAUUCAACAGGAAAAGUAGCUCAAAAUCUUGAAAACAUUAGGCGGUGAACCAUCAAGAGAUAAGACGCAUGAAGAAAGAAACAUGGCCGGAGAUUAGGACUAAAACUUACCAGAAAUGCAAUUUCAGAAAGCACCUCUUUCGUUAUCAGACUGUACCUAGCCUUCGGCGCCCAAGAGUGAAUCAUGCAACCCAAAGAUGCCCACAUGUUGAAACUCAAUGAAUCGCCAACAAACAUGAUGUUCUUCCCCCUCCAUUUCUCCAAGAAAUACAGCCCAUUAAACCUGCAAAAAAAAAGUAGCAGAGUUGGAACUCCAAUCCCAGACCAGAAGAGAAUUCAAGAAACCAAAGUUGAGAUUGAAGAGCACUCGUGGAGUUUGUACCUUGGGAGGUUACAUGAAAAUGGUUGCCACCUGUAUUUGAGGUACAACUUGUCAGGCCUCUUGUAGAGGAGACAGUUGAAUUCUGUAUCAAUGAAGGGACAUGAUGCAUAAUCAUAGAGGGGAUAUUGAGCAUCAUAUACCCAUUUGCCUCUGAAAAUGUUGCAACCAGAAGCAAGCAUUGUGGCUCCAACUGAACUAGUGGUACUAAUAUUGGCAGCAUUCAAGAAAUUGUCGAUUUCAUCAUCAGCUUUUGCUGUUUGACAUGAACAAAGAAAGAGUAAAAGUACUGAAGGGAUGAACAGAAAUCUCAUCUUGGAUUUCUAGCCCAGCAGAUUUGUCGGAGCUAAAUAACGAGGUUUUGAGGUAAAGUUUGUCAAUGUGUUUCAUGUACUAUAUAGUGUACAACAUUAUAUACUAAUAUUGUGUGAUACUGAUGGACUCUGGUUAGAAAGAGAGAGAGAGAGGGAGGGAGGGAGGGAGAGAGAAUGAUGAGAAAGUAUUCCCAGUUGCACAUGCCCUUGAAAAUUAGAUGAACCCCACCUCCCCCAGGCGCCAACAAACAAGUGUCUUUUUUUUUUUUUUUUUCUAAUAUAUAUCCAUUUGUGAAUUGUGAGUUUCUAUAAGCAGAAUUAAAAAGAAUUGUGAUUAAUCUGAUCUUGUUUGGGUUAUAUGCUGGACUUUAGCCUGUGGGGUUGGUAAUUUUUUUUCUUUUUUUUUUGUUGCAUUUGAAAUAUUUUGAAACCUCAUUUGAGUGUUCUUUUUCUUGAAAGAAAAGGAUGGCCUUUUUUAUAAAGUUCUCUUUGUGUACUUUUCUUGUGUUUGGUAGGUGAUUCUAAAACUUUUGGUAAAGGUGGCAAUAAACAUUAUUAUUAAUUGCAUAUGCUAAGGUUAAUUGUCUCUAGCAUCAUUAUUAAUUAAGCUGCACAUUUUGUUAAUGACUUCCACUCGCAGCUGCCUCUCUUUCUGUUCAAAACCAUGGGCUAUAAUACAUAAUAUUAGAUUCUGUUUCCUUCUCUUUCUCACAUUUGCUCUUAUUAACUACUAGUGGCUUAAGCAUUCUUUUUCCCUUGUAAACAUUUUAGGAAAUGAAAAUUUUUGAACAAACUCGACCAUUUAACAAAUACGGGGUAAUAAAGGAUCUUUUAAACUUAUCUAUAAUCGAUUUAUUCAUGGCUUUGGGGUACUUUCUAGUUCGACUUUCAAUUCUCCUCUUUCCUUUCUUUUCUUUAGUAAGAUUUAGAAUCUCUCUUUAGAUUUCAAAACAAUGUACCUGAAAAUAUUGUCAGAAAAGAAAUUUUUUUCCUUGAAAUUUGGUAAACGAGGUUUUUUUUCCCUUGAAAUUUGGUAAACGAUUGAACAUCUAAUGCAAAUAAACAACAAAGUCUCGACCGCCAGAUCCAAGCCCAACGAGACUACGGUCAUAUCCUUUGAUCUAGUGCUGAUUUAGGUCAUGUUUGGAUUGUAAUUUUUUGGAGUUUUCAUAAAAAAUGUAUGGUAACGAUUUGAUAUAUGUGAAGUAAAAAGACGAUCAGAAAACGUAUUUACGGAAAACGCAGAGAUUUUUUAGUGAAAAAUUCCUUUCUAAACAAGGCCUUAGACUUUUGCAAAAACUUCAACAAAUCAAAUGGGGGCCAUGAUUCAAUUUGUUUCUUUUGUUAAAAUCAAGUUCCUGGGAUAACCGGUGAAUAGAUAAAUCACAUGUAAGAAAAGCUCGACAUUUUUUCCAACGGUGAGAAUUUAAUCUUAGUCUAUUUUACUCUUUGAUCCAUCCUAGAAAUUGAAUAAUUACACGCACAUUUCCUCUAACGCUUUUGUAUCAUUGAACUAACCCACAUAAUAUAGAAAAUAAAAAUAAGCAAAAUCAUGAGUUUAAAGAGUUUGUUGUGGGAAAUUAAAAUUUAAGUCUAGAACUAGACGAGGUGUCUUUGUAAUUAGGACAAAGCUCAAGGGUGGAUAGUAGUAGUGUUAAAAAUCCCUGCCGUGCUCGUGCUUCUUCUUCUUCUUUCUUUAUCAUACAUAUUAGAACUUUCCGUGUGAAUUUUCUUUGCUACCAUAAUCACAUUCGUCCAAUUAAAGUAGUGGAGGACACUAGUGACUGUUGAUCGAGACCAGGCCACACCACAUAUUAUUAUUGUUUGAGUAUGAUAUUACUUUAUUUACAUGGCAAGAUAAAGAAAGAUAACAAAAAUGAAAUUGAUGUCUUGGAAGAUUGAAAAUUCAGCCAAUUGAGAUCGGCUGACUUCUAUCUUAUUGAAGUUACAAUCAAUCCAACAUCAUGGAACCAUCCUCAAGCUUUUCUUUUUCUAUUUCUUCUUUUCUUGUCUCUUCUUUUUAAUUUUAAUCACUCUAGAAGUCUGAAUUGGUAUUGUGUUUACAAUAUUGUUGUCAUUAGUUAAGUAAGAGUACUUGAAAGAUGGAUGGAAUUAAUUGGACAAAAGAGCUGAUAUGAUAUGGCAAUUUAGGGAUGAUAGUUUCUUUCUGCCAUGUAUCCAAUAGUUAUUUGCUUAGCCAUCACUCUUUAUUUAUCUCCUAACCAACCAUCCUGCUAUGUGCUCGACACUUGUGAACCUUAAUAACUCAAAGGCUUAUGAUUGGAAAUUAUUGUGUUUUUUGGUUACGUACUCUGGUUAUUUUCUUGCGAAAGUGGAUAAAAAUGAUGAAGUGGCACAACACCUGUAAAAUGUAGUAUUCAGCUAAUCAAUUCAUGGAGGGGACUGUUUUCAGGCACCGUUUUGGAUUGAGGGAUAGGGGUUCAUUUGUGAUUAUUAUUUGGACAAGAAUUCUAUUAUUAUUUUUUUUAAUAGAGGAAACUUUCUGGCUAGUGAGGGCAACGGGGCGGAAUUGGGGCUCCGCCUCAGCUUCUUCUGUGGGGUUAAUAAAAAUUUGUUAUAUAAUUUUAUUAUAAUUAAAUUCUAAUAAAUAAUUAAGUGCUAAAACAUCAAUACAUCAUCAAAUCAUUAUCUGUUGUAAUUUUAUAAUUAAAAUUCAUAAAAAUAAUCAAACAAAAACUAUUUGAAUAUAAUCUAACAUGAUGAAACAAAUACAACUAAAGUAGUCAAGUUUUCACUUUUGAAAAAAAUACAAUCACUAAGUUAUUAUUGUAUUUUAUUUGAAAAAAAAAAGUAUUGUUGUGUUAAGUGUAAUUGAGGAUUUAGUGUAAAUGUAUUAGUAAAUUUAAUAUAACUAAUUAAUAAUUUCUAUUAGUAGACAUGUAUAAUUAUUCGCAUAAUUGAUAAUAUCAAUUAUAUUACAUAUACCUAUAUAUAUUAUAUAAUACUUAUAACUAAUAAUAAUAUUAUUAUAAGUUUGAAACUAAUUAAAUUAAAUAAUAUAUAUAUAUUUUAACGGAUGGCGGGGCGGGGGUCCUUAAUGGAGAGGAAAAAAAUUCCCCCCUAACCCCCAUCGGCUGCGGGAAUCCAUCCCAAUUGUCAUUCAUAUUUCUAGCAGGCCCUUGAACUAUUCACUUUACAUGGUUUUGGUCCCUAAAUUACAAGUUAUCACAAAUAAAUCCUUAAACGAAAAAAUGCUUAGUUCAAGGAGUUCCAUCAAAUUUGAGUGUUAAAUGUAACAGAACUAGGAGCAAAAUCAAUCAAACAGAAAAACCGACCCAUGAUUUAGUUAAAAACCUACAAUGUUAAGCCAACUGAUAACGUGAAAUUUAAUGGUUUAUCAUCUUCUUUCAUCUUUCACCUUUUCUAGCCUUAAUUUGAUGAAAUAAUCAGUCACUAGACUUUUUAGAUUGUUUUUGUGGGUUGAUUUUUUUUUUGGUCUGUUUUGUCCCUAAUUCGGUCACAUCUAAUGGCCAAAAUUGACAAAAAUCCUUAAACUAAGCAUUCUCUUUUUUUUUUUGGGUUCAAGGGUUUAUUUGUGACAAUUUAUAGUUGAGAGGCAAAAACCAUGCAAAGACAAUAGCGCAGGGUUUGUCCGAAAAACUUCCUCUUUUUAAUAUGUUUUCCAACCAAAUUAUAUUUUGUAUACAUCACUAUCAUUACAGCACAAAAGUGUCAUAAUAACCAAUGCAAAAAAAAUUUCCAAACAACUUUCAACCCAUACAUAAUAUAACAAGGAGCAGUCGUAGACAGAACGUAAUGGUGGUACCUUUUGAUUUUGAAUUUUGGGCAAAUUUUGAAGUGUCAAUAGGGGUGUCUUUGGGUCUGUCAAGUAACAGUGGAAAAUCAAGAAAUGAGUACCUAAUAGAGUAUAAAAUUGAUUGGUUUUCGACGUGACAGAAUUCAAUUCAGGAGUCAUUGAGUUUUGACAUGAUGAAAAUUGAAGAAGGGGCUCAUGUAGUAGGGUCUGCCGUUUGUCCCAAGAAUCGAUCUUCCCCACAAAAAAAUGAAAACUCAGCAGUAGCCAUUUGCAUGGCGGCAUUCCUCCAUACUUCUCUUUCGGCGUUCCCUCACCUAGUCAACCUCAUGUAAUAAUUCAUAGUGCCGCCAAAGCCGCCUCCCCACCACUUCUUGGUGCUAACACCCUUGCACACACGCAUGGUGGGCAAUGGCGCACACAAUACAUAUACAUACAUACAUAUAUAUAUAUAUAUAUAUAUAUAUAACAAUAUUUGGGGGAAUUAUUUGAGGUGGAUUUUGAAAUAAAAUGCUAGUUAAAUAUUACUUGUUCUGAAAUUUUUAUAGAAAGGAAAGUGCAAAAAGAGGAAAGAUGUAGGGAGAAGCGAAAAGGGACUAAAAAUGGUGUGACUCGACUUUUUGUUGUAUGGCAAAUACGGAAAACCUUUAGUCUAGGAUAAUUUUUUAACGUAAAUCGCUGCACUUGAUUUUCCAUAAGAAACACUUCUUAAUCUAUACGUUAAUUUAGAGGCUUUCUUAAAGAACAAAUAAAAUGAAUUCCAAUCAUUCAAUUGGUGGCCCCAAAAUGGUACUUUUUUUUGUGUGGAAUAAAGGAGUCUUGUAACAUUGAUUAGUUACUUAUGAAUUGUGGGGGAUGGGGUCAAGUUUAGAACCAUAUGGAAAAAGCCACACUGUCUUGUAGUUUUUUUGUAUAGUGCUUCACAUGUGGCUUGGUCACUAAGACUAUCAACUUGUGAGUUGUGAGGCCUGAAAAAAAAGAACUUUGUAUUGAGAUCUUGAUCAGGGAAAUGAGGAACUGAAUCCACUUGGGGGUUUGCCCAAAAUGAAGAUUUUCACCCAAAUUUAAGUUUGGCCAGAGUACCAAAGAUCACGUUAAUGUAAUCUACAAUUAUAGAGAAGUCACGUAGUUUUUAGAACUAGGUAUUAUAAUCUCUGCAAUCAACUUUUGAAAUUAUAGAAAAAUUACUGUAGCGAUUUGAUAUAUGUGAGAUAAAAGAUGACUGAAAAAUGUGUUCACGGAAAACAUAGCAAUCUUUCUUUGAAAAAUUGCUGUCCAAACAUGGCUAACUUGGCAAGCCUAAGAGCAAAAUAUCUAGUUCUUUAGAACUUGAAUUUGAGACAUGCACCAUUUCUUUUUUACUGUCUACGAUUUAUUUAAAGCUUUUGUCACAUUUGAAUGGUGAUGACAGAUAUUGCUUCUAAAGCAAGUAGCUAGGGCAACUUUGGCCACAUGUAAUUUGUAACAUUCAUUUGUUGUCUUCUUGCAACGUCAAGUCAUCCAGCCAUCUUGAUCGUAAUUGAUAGCACCAUCUAACAUGGUGGAUCGGCUAAAACAAGAAAUCUUGACUGCAAUUGAUAGCAUCCUAUAAUAAACGUACAAAACUUACUUUACCAAGUAACGAAUGGGGUGUUUUAGAAGCCAAAAGGAUAAUGGAUUAGGUUCCAAGAAUCACUUUUUUAUCUCUAUUUUGUCCCCUCUCACCCUUACUUUCUAUCCUCUCCUCUCCCUAUUGAAGUUUUUAACUACUUUUUUGGUUAUACACGGAGGACUACAGUAAAGAAUGAGAGGGGAACGCUAAGAGCCCAUUUAGAUUACUAUUUUUUUUAAGUUUUUUUUUUGCAGAAAAAAUGUACCGUAACAAUUUAAUAUUUAUGAAAUAAAAAGGUGAUUAAACAGUAUAAAAAUCUGAUUUAACAGUUAUCCUGCUGUCCAACUUCUGUGAGGAGCUGGAUCCAACCUCAAUCAGGAAUUUCUUUCCUGGAUCAGAAUGGCAUCCAACCAUCAUUUUCCCCCAGCUUCCUAAUGGAUGAAACAUAGCGGCGGCCUCAGUAUUCAUGAAACUUGAAUUGUAAAUAAAGAUUAAUAAAUUAACUGCAAAUUUACAGGAUGCCACAGACCAGACAAUCAAGGGAUUUACUAUUAGAAGCCAUUCAUUCAUUCAUUCAUAAAACUGGGUUUUCUGCAAAUCAUAUGAUAGUAAGGACCAUUAAAUGGAAGAUUUCCCCUUCUAUACAUAACUAACUUAAACCCUAUUAUACUCUUUUAAGGCGAAACAUCUCCGCUGGCCAUUAUUUACACUCUUUUAACACAUUGUCAGCUUCCAUUUGCUGCAGGUGGAAACCAAAUAGUACGAACUAAGGCAAUCUUAUUUACGGCAGCAGCACAUUUAGACAAGCUCCCACUCAGUUUCAGAACUAUGAACUGGAAAUGACUUGGUGUUAGACUCUGCAGGACGAUCGGUCAUUGCUCUCUCUGCACCCUCUUGAUUUGAGCUUUGCUCGGUGUACCUCGCUGCAAGCUGCUCAUAUUCCUUCUUGUUUAACCUCAUCCUGGAGGAAAAAGCUUCGCGUAAUUUUUUCUACAAGAAGAAAUUUGUCCAGUCAGGGAAGAAAAGUUCACACAAGAAAUCCUUCAACUCUAACAGAUGAGAGAGAGAGAGAGAGAACCUUGUAGGAUUUGUGAUUGCCCUUCCCUUGAGGUAAAAAAUGAGGCUGAUCCCCCUCCACCAAGACACAUGUUUCCUCUAAUUUUGACUCAUUAAACGGCUCAAUAAUUUCCACGUCCGGGUCCACAGUAUCAUCAUUCUUGGCUGCAUUUACGCUAUAGUCAUCCAAUCUUUCUGUCAAGCAUAGAGAAAGAACAAUAUUAGCAAAAGCAGAGACCUACUGAGGAAGAGGCAGGAAAGUCACUGGUACAUAAAUUUGGUGCCUAGGUUGCGUCAGCCCAUACUGUGCUUGGCUAUUUUUUUGGACAAGAUUUUUUUUAUUGCGUCGUAAACACGUCUUCCAAUUACUUUGUUUAUAUCAAAUCACAAAAAAUGCUACAGUUAUCCUAAAAUUUUUUUCAUGAUCUUGCCUAUCCAAUUUUCUGGGAGAGAGAGAGAUAGAGAUCAUGAGAUUAUAUGAUUGUUUGUCGUGAAAAAUUUUCAGCCAAAAUGCACAAUAUAGAAGGAUGACAAUCCAUCAAAUAUGAAGUCCUAAAAAAAUCCCUCGUCCAACAAGUUCAGUCUCCAGAUUGAGAAGACAACAGGUAAUCCCAUCUAGUAAUGCCAUAAUUGACUUCACUUUAGGUAAAAAUUGAUCCACUUCAUCUCAAUUUGCAUAGAUGCAAGUCCUAGAAUGACUUAUAGAAAUGAUCCUCUCACACAAAGUUUAACCCUUUUCUGGACGCAAUAGACCGAGACCUUUAAUGAUUGAAUUACAUUCCAUCACUUGGAACUCGACUUUCCAAUAACUUAGCCAUAAGAAAGGUUGGAAUACAAUUUGCUUUUAUUAAUACCUUGGUGGGCCAUGAAGACCUCCUGCUCAACAGAUUUCAUGCUGUCUGUUCCAGUUGCAAUAGUCUUCUGAGUCUGGGAAACCACUCUGCUGUUUGUACAUGUGCCUACAGCUAAAGCAGUAGUUAGGGUGCGUCAAAUGCAGAAAUUCAUAAUGAAAUAAGUGAAAAGACAAAACUGAAUCCAGUUUUAGAUGAUACCAGAGGACUCGGAUGAUAAGCCAUCAGAAGAGGAAUCAGCUUGCUUCUGCUCAGCUGAUACAACUGACACAAUUGUUUUAGUAGCGGUAGCUGGUGAAUUAAAUGAAGCACGAGACAUAGGCAGACUGGUAUCAUCCAUAGGUUUACAAAGCUUCUCAUUUGCAAUUCUAGAGCAUUCUUCAGCGCCAGCCGAUGGCGAUAAGACAUCAACACAACCAGAGGCCAUUUGACAACUCUUUUUCAUUUGAGAAAAUGAGGACAGGUUUCUUAAAUUCUCUGAAAAUGGUGCAACUGGCCCAGUCACAGGGGGCAUAAAAUUUACCAUAGAAUUGCUUUUCCUACUGGUUACCGGACGUCUGUAAAGUCCAGUUUUCCUUUUACCUGUAUGCAACAAGAGUAAGAGCUAUAACUUUCACUGUGAUGGAAAAGAAUGAAAAGAAGCAUAUCCCACCAAAAUUUUGAAAAAGAACAGAAAGUCCAAAUCUUUACCAGAAAUUACUUUAGACUCAUCACUUAAUUUCCAAUUGGUAUCUCUACCAUCUUUUUUAGCAUUUGCUUUCAGUAUCAUUUUGGAGUGAGCAUAAGGAUUCAAUGACAAGUCAGCAGCAGCCACUUUCACAGGAUCAACAUAUGAAUCUGAGUGCAAAUCUUUCAUCACUUCUGAAUAGAACCUCUUAACACUAGCACCAACAGUCUGGACCUGAUUUUCAACAUAUUUGACAGCAUCCUGUCAAAAAUUAAACCACUUAAAAUAACAAACACCCACACUUUGAGACUACAUACACUUAGAUUCGAUAAGACCUCCCAAGGCAAAGCACGCAUAGCACAUUAUUAGAUAAUCAAAUCAGUAAUUUUGUCUGUGAAAACCACCACUAACCAACUUCAUAAUGUAUCACCAAAAGCAAAGAUAAGAACAUAAGUGGCACCAGAGAUUACUUUAGAAUAGAAAAGAUAACUUGUAUUCACCACAAGUAAGGGCAUCUACCUCAUACAUAACCUCUUCCAUCUCCAGACACAUAGCUUCAAACUUGUCAUAUAUGUUUCCAAUCCAUGCUAAACCUUUUAAGUCCAUCAUGCAGUUACUUCAGCACGUCAAGGCUUUAAUGCUCAGCUGCAAAAUUCAACAAAGGACUUUUGUAAGAUUUACAGCAAGAGCUUGCCUAAUAGCAAGAAGCCAUCGGGUACUAAGACACAGUUUAUUAAUUAUUAUAGCAGCAUCCAUUGCAAAUUUGCUACCAAGUGACAAAACAGUAUACAAGCUGAUCAUCAAAAUUGAGCAUAAUCAUUAUAGCAUAAUGAACUCAAUCAGUCAACAAUUUUAGCCCUCUGAGUCAUAGUUCCAGUAAAUGUUCUUUAGUCCUACAAUGUACAGUUCCCUGAUGCUCAAUAACAUAAGUAGAAGGGUUGCAAGAACAAACUAGGAACCAACAUUCUAGCUAAAAUGGGGUAGAAAAAGUCCACCAAAAUACAUUUCAGGCAGAGGGCUAGAAAGAUUCAUGCACAACAAAGGUAUGGAAUAAUAUCAAGGUUGGUUGAAUGUUUGUGAUAAAAAUUCUUAGUAGUUCAACCUGAUGCAUUGUUCUAAGCUGCAUAUUCACAAUCUACAUGUAAAGAGAAAUUAAAAUUUAGAAAAAAGAGUAAUUUCAUCUAAGCAAAUCCUCCAAAUAUCCAUCAGAAAUAUAUCAUCAAUAACAUAUAAUUCGAGCAGUAAACCAGAGGAAAGAAAAUUUUCAGGGAAAAAUAGUUUUGGUAAAUGGUUAGCUGAGACAUCAAAGGAAAGAUCCUACACAUACGAAGAAGGAUGCUAGAUUCCUAAUUCAUAUUGCAAAAGCCCUCUCCAACUCAUGCCUGUCAAUCUCAACAGCAGAGGGCCUCUAAGGUAAUUAUGAAUUAAGACCUUCAAAAGUCAAGCAUUUUUACUAACUUCAUAUAAUUCCCAAAAAGCAAACAGAAUAUAGAGAUUUUCACAGCAUUCAUGGUGCAGAUUUUUUUUUUUUUGCAGAGAAUAUGACUGAAAUCUUUGCAGAAGAAGAAAGCAUAAACCUAAACUGUAGAAUUUGCAGCCAAUCUUUGGCUAAUUUGAAUCAUUCAUAACAACUACAAUUUUAUAAGCUAGUACUUUCCAAUGCUAUCAAUAGUAGGCUUCAUCAAGCAUGACUAAACAUGGAAGCAUCAGAAUGAAGAGUUCAAUUAGUCAGCAUAAUUAACUAGGGUUUAUCUUACUGCUUUCAAUUGGAAAUAAGACAGCUAUUCCCGAGGAUCUGGAACUACUCUAGUUGUUGGAUGUUUUUCUAGAGAACAAGACAAUUAUAUUUAUUUGCACGACCCCCUAAGCCAAAAACCCUAUCCUCAAAUAGACCAACUCCACAUUGAUCUGUCAAUUUCAGGAUAGACAGACGUGCUUGAGCUUCACAAUCACCAGUUUAAAUAAGGAAUUGAAAAGAAAGAAACUAGAGAUCAAGUUCAUCACCCAGCAAACAGAAUGGCCUAAAGUUGAUUCGUCAGAUUCUACAUCUUAAACACUAAAUUCCUGUACACUGCCCCCAUAUCUAUAAAUCUAACUAGACAGGUACUCAAUCAAAUAAACGAAACUGCAGGAUAUGAUGGUAUGCACAUAAGAUAACAGUAAGCAAAAUGAGGCUUUCUUCCGGUGAUGCUGCAACCCAUGACAAAGAAGAAACCCCAUAACACAUUACUUUGGCGUAUAAAAUUGGAAAUUUGAUGUCGCCUUGCAUAACAAACCUUCACCUUCUAUUAGGAAAUAUUGUCAGAAAAUUCUUUCCCUAGAUUAGAAUAUACUACUACUUCUUUCCACAUACAAGGAAUAAUUUGAUGCUUUCCAUGUUUCAGAAAAAAGUCAAUCUUUAUGCUUUCCCAUAAUCAUGUUCGUCUAAACCACCCUUAAACCCAAAUCUCCCCCGAAACUAUUCCAAACCCAUCGAUUAAUUCAUCAAACACAAGCAAGCAAACAUCCUAAAGCCACAAAAACCAGACAAAGAAAAACCCACCAGACCACAAACUUAUCAGUCAUCACAUGAUCAUGGCCACUCUCUCCCCCAAACCAACACCCCCCCCCUUCACCUUCUUCGUCCCUAGCUUCCGAAACCAUCCAAAUUUACAAAACAAAAAAAGGUACAGGAACCACAUAGCAACAGCUAAACAGCAGCUUCGACACGAAAAAAAAAAACAAUUUUAUAGUCGUAAACUCAAAAUUUUUACCAGAAGAAAUUACAGAAACACAAAAAAAAAAAGGAUAACCUGAUCAGAAGUUAGAAAUACGAGUUCAAAAAAGGAAAAAGAAUCCAAAAAAGGACAUACACAUGCUAGAUAUUUUAGAAACAUGCGAUUAAAGAAAGUGGUGAUGAUGAAUAAAGUUAAAGCAGCACACUUACAUACUUGGGGAAUACAGGGAGGCCCAGAAAGGAAAAAAGUAAUCUUUCUCUCUCACUUCUUUUUUUUUUCGGAAGAUAAUUAGGAAAGAUAAGCCAAGAAAAAGGUUAAGUUUUUAGCUUUGAAGAAAGAGAUGAUAAAUUGAAGUAUUAGUAAUAGGUCGUAACUUGGAACAGAGGUAUCACUAACAUAAAAUAGGGUAAGAGAAAGAUAAGUUUAAUUGAGUAGGAGAAUUAGAAACGUAUAGGUGGAGCUCACCUGGUUUCCUUGGGUAUGGGUUCUUGACACGUGUAUUCCUAGAAUAUACUUAAAGGUAAAAUGCUACCAACCUAAAACAUCUAUAUAUAUAUAUAUAUAUUAUAGUAAAGACUAAAGAAGGGCGAAUUUAAGAAGCGAGGAGGAGUCAGGGGAUCAAAAUUUCUACAUUUUAUGGUUUCAAUUUGAGUCAUUAGACUAAAAAAUUUAAAUACCUAGUAAGUCAUUAUUCUAAAAAUAUUUGGGUUUCUUUUUAUUAAUAUAAAUGUCAGUAUUGUCUUUUUUGCAUACUAAUAUUGUGGAAAAGAAUAAAAUUACAAUACAUGUUGGCUUUCUUUUACUUUUUCUUGUUAAUUCAAGAGUAGUUGUUCUUUUUGGGGCUAAAUAAUAUUCAUGGAAUAAACAUGUUGUGUUAUUGUGUUUUUUUUUUUAGAGUGUAAUCUAUCCAAAAUUACAAUUUUUUUUAAUUUUUGACAAGAUUAGGAUUGUAUUGUUCUAUUUACAUAGAGCAUAUUUUAUCUUUCAAAAUAGUAGUGAAGUUACCUAUGAUGUUUAGUGGAAUCACAACUUCUUGCAACUAAUUCCAUCUCGAAUUCCUUAUUCCUAAGAGUUUUUGCAACAAAACUUAAGAAAUUAAGUGAAAAAUUGCUUUUGAAAGAAGCGAAUUUGACCCCAAGAAAAAAGCAAAAAAAAAAAAGAAGAAGGGAAUUUGACCCAAAUAAGUGUCCCUCAAAAUAUAAGAAUCAGAAUUCAUUGCCAAGAAAAUUCUGCUUAUAGCGAUGCCCACUUACAAAGGAUCAACUACAAGGUCCCUGAGUCCAUGAUGUGAGAACCCUCAAAGUCCAACUCACUUUCUUUAACUUUUUGCCCUGUCUAUUCAAGGGUUGGUAAAUUAUCGUCAAACCGAAGGUAAUACAGAUUACUUGUAAUUGUAGCCCUUGUAAGAUUUACACUUUUAAGCUUUGCCUAGGCUACCAAUAAAUUUGACAAGAAAAAAAAAAGGAACAAGAAGAAGAAGAAACUUAGAUGGCACCCAAGUCAAUAGGCCGACUAAUGAUGUGGAAAUAAUGAAUGCUUUUGUCCCUUGACCUAUUAUCCAGCUUCCACUACUGUUUUCUCGACUGCCACCAGAAGUUUGAAGAAUUUCAUUACAAUUUCCAUCCUCCUACAAGCAUAGCGUCAAUACAGUUUCCUGUCACUAAUUCUUGGCGAAAAUCCGUUUUCUUUCAUUUUCAACCUUUUGGACAAAAUCCAAUCUGGAAGAGAUAAAGAAACUAUGAUACUUGACGUUUUCAGAUGGAACGUAUCCAUGAGAAUUAUGUUUGGAUAAAAUUCGCCUAGCAAGAAUCUAAGGAUAAGAUAAUGAUAACCAAUCUUGUAGACUUCAAUUUCCAAGGGAUCAUAUUUAUCGGAAAAAAAAUGAUAAAUGCAAAUAUGAUACAGAAGAACAGAUGAAGCAAAACCAAGAAAUAUAUACGAGAAUACAUUCAACAGAAAAGAUCAAAUCCAAACUUAAGAGAAACAAAGUGGUAUUAUAUUUCAAUGUCAACCAGCAGCUUGAAAAUCCCCAAAGUCAUCAUCUGGAAUGUCUUGUGUGUUUUGGUCUUCUGGAGGUUCUAAUUCUUUAGAUUGUUCUUGAGGUGAGACAGAGUCCUCUGCUGCUGAAGAUUCCUUUAGACUGAGUUUUGAAGGCAGCUCUGAUGGAGAUGUUUUAGGACUCACAACGGGCGAUAAUGGUGCUGGUGGUGGUUUGAUAGAUAUCACGGGCUCCUUUUUACUACCCUUCUCCUCCAAUGAGAGAUCAUUUAAGCCCUGUUCAAAAAACUUGGACCCAGAACUCCGACCACUUUUCUGUUGAUAAAAAGAGGGCUUAAACAAUAUUACAUGAUGGAGGGACAAAUUUACGUACCAAUUAACUCCUUCAAUGUUUGGAGAACUUACAUUUUUUAUCUGAAGUACAAGUUUUUCUCCUUCUUUUAAACUGUAAUCAACUGAUGAAGUAUGCUGAUGUUGCUGUUCCAUUUCUUCUGCAGUUUUCUUCUUGUUUAGGUACCUUUUAACAGAAAAAGCAGGCUAAAUUUGGUUAGCGUACGCAUGCAUGGGGAGGAUUAAACAAAGCUACUUUCAAGCCUUGUAAAAGUACAGAAAAUCAUGGUACUGUUCGCAAGAAUGCAGAGGAUUACUUCAUAUGGUCAUGCAGGGCAGCUUGGAAAUCAUAAGCUUCGGGUCUUUCUCGAAAUCCUAUGCCGAUGAAAGCAUGUCGAAGUCGACCUCCUGCAAAGAAUGAACAAUCCUUUGCAUGAUCUUUAUGGGCAGAUUUUCUUAAAAUUGAAAUUAUUUAAGGAAUCAUAUUAUAAGUCAAGUGCAUUUUGACCUCAUAGGCAAGCAGCCAAUGCCCUUAGAGAUUCGUGUGCUACUAUGCAAAGGAUCUAUUUAUGCUCCUACCAGUUAACAUGACCACCUUAUAUUAAUUCAGCAUCAUGUGCUUAUAAGAUCUGUACCAUUUUGAAGUAUAUUGGAGAAGAAAGUUCAUGCCUAAUAGCUAAAACCAAUUGCAGAUGUAAACACAAUUGAAUAUCGUACAGAACUAUUUGAACAAGAAAAGAAAAGAGAAAGAAAGGCUUCCUUGAUGUACAAUUAAAUUCUUAUCUACCACUUUAGUUUAUUCGAAAAUAUUAUCUACAUUCAUCAAGUCGAAUAUCUUGUAAUUCGUGAAAAAGAUUACGAGUUAGCAUGGAAAUGAUGUAGAACAAGAUAAGAAAAUCCUGGCCAUACAUUACCUUAACUUUAUCUACAAGGUACUAACUUAAAUUGAAGUUCAUUUAUUAUCAACUAAAUGAAAAUAUUUUGCAAAGUCAACCAUGACAUUUCCUAUGAAACCCAUUCGCUUUCUUAAAAAACCAUAUUCUGACUUCACAAUUCUUGAACUUAAACAAUUAUAUUUAAACUUGGGAUGCGAUUAAACUACUCUAUUCUUGUACUUAAUAAUGCUUCUUAUUUAAAUGAUUUAACAUCAAAACCGAAGAAGUGGACUAAAGAAAGCUCAACCUAGGGAGGAGAAGUCGUAUGACAAGAGAAUACAGGAGAACCAUUUAUUAUAUUCUAAUUCUCCAACAGAAGAAAAGUGAUACUCUACAGGUUUUGGAAUUUAAAAGAAUAAGAAAGAUAGAUUACCAAUGUUUUCUUCGACCCGCAGAACAAAAUAUCUGCAGAAGAAUGUGAGAUAUAACAAGCAAGUUAGUACAGAAUGAUUUCUGAAUUAUCCAAGUAAGUGAGAUUAAUGAAUCCCAAGUCCAAGUUCAAAAAAUCAAUCAGUAUGAUCUCAUUAUCCAAUAUUUUACUGCAUUUCACUACUUAACAGGGCAAACAUUAAAAAAAAGAAAAAAAAAACUGGUAAAAGCAUAACUGAUGGCAUCCAGUGGACAAUCACAAAAAGCAGAUCUUUUGCAUACACCCCCAAAAUGGUGCUACAAGGUGCCUGCUACUAACUUAGAGCAAUAAUAAAUUUGUUGUAAGAGGGAGUUGAAAGAGAUGAUGUUGGUGACAAGUUAUCUAAACCUGCUGCUGUCAAUCACAGGCUCCACAGGAUGGGGCUCUCCAUCUCUUAGAAAUGCCCGAGCAUACAAUUCACCUAUUUGGAAAACAACAAUUUUCAGCAAAUCAUUACUGAUGGACAAAACUGAUUUCAUUUGCACAAACUUUUUCUAUUUGGUAGCAACUAAACAACAAAAAGCUACCUGUUGUCUUAUCUUCAAGUCUGAUAAUGCAUUCCUCUCCUUUGCUAAUAACUUUUAAAGCACCCUCCCAUGCCCAUUUAUUGACAUUCCACUCAUCAGCCCUACGAAGAGCAACAAGUCAAUUAGCAAAAUAGAAUCCAGGAAGCAUAUUUAUCUAUUUUCUGACUUUGACAUGACUCAGGUCGACAUCAAAAACUUUCAUGUUAAGUAUAAAACUCUGCAUGAAAUGCAAAAUGGGUCCUAAAGGAUCUAACUCUCCAGCACCGGAUUAGACCUAGCAACCCAGUAAUCUGGCAAGAUAUGACCAGAAUAACUCAUAUUUGAGUCUAUCCUUCAAAUGGCAAAAAUAUUGGUCCAUACCCCUACAAGCACCUUAGUAAUCAAUCAUAAAAUUUUUGGAAUAAGUUUGUCCAUCCAAACCUUUUUGAAAUCUCCAAUGAUGGACUACAUUUUUACUUUCUUGGCGGAAUAUUAAUCAAGCCAAUGCAUGAAAAUUUUCACUAUUUGCUUCAGCUUUCUAUAACAGUAAUACAACAUGUAUCCCUUCCAGGGGAAAGACAAACGCAAUCACAGUCAAGAUAAAUGCAAAAAGCUGAAGAAAAUUUUAUGGACAUAUUACUAGGACUCAAACCUAGGUUAAAAUAUCAAACCGAAGUUACAGCUCUCUCUCUCUCUCUCGGUGUUGCAGAAGAAGAUACCAUAGAGAAACAAUAAGACCUAUUCCUAUAAACAAAAGUCAUAUUCAAAAGAGAUCACUCUGAAAUACCUGUAAGAAGCCGCACUUUUUCUUGGAGGGAUCUGUGGAGAGAAUAAACAAGAUUAAGUUUAAACUGAUGGUGGAGUUAAUUACACUCAAAUUUAUAGAGGAUAGAACAAUGAUGCAACAUGGCAGGAGCAUCCUCUAUGCAUCUCAUUUUUGUCUUGCUAUUAGAUAUCUGGACUACGAUACGAUCAUGAUCUACCAAAUCUUCACACUACAAGGAUCAUCACCUACUUAACAGUGACAAAGAAGAUUUGAUCAUAGAUGCACGAUGACUGAGAGAACCUUUUGUUCAAUAAACACUUCCUGAACUAUAUCCUCCAACAAAGAUACCUCUAUGCAAUCCAAUUUCCACACUGAGGAGGUGCUUUACUUGUAUCAAAACAACAAAUGGCUGGACCAAACGUCUAAGACAGCAAAGAAUUUUUUGAGAACAAUUAUGAACUGCUUCUACAGGAUUACCAUACAGUUCUAAAUUAAGAAUUAUGUUCAAAUCACUAAAUAACAGGAAAAACCAAAAACACUCCUCAUGGACCAACAAAUAGGAAAUUGUACUUUGCCCUAACAACCGCUGCAGAAGUCUUAGCAUAUUUUUCUAUCUGUUCAUCACAAAUGGCAUUCAUCAGAAUAUACCUUUGCAAAGAAACAAAUGAAAAACGGCCAGUUUUCCCUUACUAUAUCACAUCCUCACGAGUAUAUGUAAGUUAUACAUUUAACUUCUGGAAAUGAAUACAUCAAUCUUUUGCUCAUCAAGCAUUUAGUUUCGCAACUUUGCAAACCACAGUACAGCAGCACCUAAAAAAACUGGGCAUUAUUGAACUAGAUUGAUUAACAUCUAACACAGAUAAAUACAUUACAUAGCAAUUCACAAAAAUAGUCACCGAUAGACAAAGCAUUAAUCUCAAAAAAUUCACCAUUCAACGACACAAUCUAAAUAAAUGGCGCCUGCAUUGAAGUAAUUUCAACAAUUCAAAUCUAAAAAGCCAAAACUAAACCUCAGUUGAAGAAAAACAUUUUUUUUACACAAAAAAUGACUAAACCCACAAUUUUUGUAAGCUAAACCCCAAUUCGUUACCUGUAAUCGAACCAACACAAGUUCAUAACUUUAUACUACAAACAGCAAAAAGUCACUAAUUAUCCAAAACCCUUUUCAGUAAGUAACCCAAAAAUGGAAACUUUAUACUGUUUUCAGCAAAAAUUAAGGAAAAAAGGGACUGGCAAAUAGAGAGAGGGAGUACCAAAUAGACGUAGCAUUCUGAGACUUGGAAGAGAAUCAGCUCAAUAGCUUCUUCAAUUUCUUCUUUUUCAUCUGUUUUCUUUUCUUUCUCCAUUGAUGUGAUUGCUAUUCGAAAAGGAAUUUCUCACGGGAAUGAAAAAUUAAUGCAAGCAAAAAGCGCGUUCUUUUCUUUCCCCCCUGUAAUUUAACCGCGCUGAAGUUCUUGACUGUUUCGCUUCCAAUCUGGAAUUGGCAAAAUGUGUCUGGGGAAAAAGAAUUUUAGAAUAGGGGUAGGCUGGGAAUUUGGAAAACAAGAGGGUGGGUGACUAAUAUUAAAAAUUUUAUUAGAAAUAGGAUGCCGGAGUUGAUGGGACUAUCUAAUUCUGAUCGAGUAGUUUACUUCGAUUUGAUUAUGAUUAUUGUGGACCGCAGGUUUGAAGCAUUCUGUAGGCUUUCAGCCGUCGGAUUCUUUGACUGUGGAAGUCAACCAGUUGUUGCUCAUGAGUUGAUAUGGUGGUUUGCUUGAUUUCUAAGCAAGGGAGAUCCAGUAAAGUCCUUAUGAUUAUCUGAAUUUAGGUGAGAUUAGAUACAGGGAAAGAAAAAAGAAAAGAAAAGAAAUCAGAUUUAUGUAUGAAUAAUUUGGAUAGGAAUUAAAAUAGAUAAUGAAUUUUUUUUUUUUACUAAAAUAAAGAGUUGAAAAUUUCCUAUCAUACAUGCACGGUCAUCAAAAUAGAAAGAAGUUUGAGGGUGUGUAUAUGAAGAAAAUUGAGGUCGAAACCUGGAAGUCUCAUCCACUCUUUUGACUUACAAGAAAGUCAAGGUAUUAUUCCAAAGUUGGUAGAGAAUAUCCGGAUAUUUCCCAUCUCUUCUGCAACAACAUAUAGCCAUUUGUUCACCUAGCAAAACAACUUACUAGUACUAUAUGUUGUUAUUUGUAUUAAAGGAAAAAAAGGGAUGUCUCUUCAAUUGGUACUUCAAAGGUUAUGAAUUAGUAGAUCAAGAUGAAAAUUAUCGAACACAAAAAUGGUAUUAGAGGUUCCUGCCAUCAACAUAUGUGGUGUAUAGUUUGGACUUUGGCAUAUAGUUUCAGCUAGAUUUUGCUUAGCAGUCUUUUUGCUUGUAAUGACUGUCGGCAGUAUGAUCAGUUGAGAAUUUGCUGCUUCUUCAGAGCCGGAGAAGUUCAAGAAAACAUUAGCAGCUAAGUAUAAUCGGUUGAUGAGUAAAAAUGUACAAAAAUCACCUUAGUGGUUCCUGCUAUCAACUUGCCAUGAAGAGCAGAAGGGUGUUCACAGACCAGAGGCUGCAUUGGAGCAACGGUUGCUCCAUGCCAACUCUUUUCACCACAACUCAACCAAGACAGUGAUUUUGGUGACCUUUCGUGCUUGUUUGUAACAAGAAAUGGAUCCAUUUCCUUCUGACAAGAUUUCAAAAGUUCAAAUUCCUAUAUAGCCUAUGGAUUUACAGAUAAAUUUCCUUAGGAGCACAGCCGAGAUGCUGACUUAGUAUGCUGCCAAAAAAUGAUUCCUCAGCGCGAACAUUUAGUACAUGAACUCUGUAGAUACGAACUCCAAUUGGUAACGCUAGUGAUGAGACGGUUUGAGGGUGAUGCUAGUAAGGCACAGUUGCAGUCACUGUCCUGUGCCUUGGAUCCGUGAGAACCGUAUUUACAUUGAUAAAGCCUGCUUCUCUCAUUACUCUUUCAAGAUCUGUCAAAUAAUACUCAUCCAGGAAUGGUUCAGUACUCUUCAUUAGCGUAAAUAGCACCGGUGAUAAUUCCUGAGACAUGUAUCAGGACAAUCUAGUUCAGCAGCUUGGCUAGGAAAACCACAUUAUACCAGUCAUCUUGAGAAUUUUUGCAGAGCAGGAGAUGGUAGGGAACAGAAACACCUAUGAACUAACGCUUUCAUGGUCAAAGUUAUAUGAAUCUAAGAUGUUGCUCUGUAUUAUAUAUCUGUAUUGCAUAUAUUACAAUGUUGUCUCCUAUUUCAACAUGUGCAGAAAUUUUGAACAUGUAGUGCUAUUAGUUUGCUCAAUCGCACAAACUGUAGGCAGAGAAAAGGAAUAGGAGAAGAGAACUUGCCUGAAGAAUCUUUGAUUUUGGCUGCAAAAAGGAAACAAGUGUUUAUCAGAUUGAAAUGAUCCUUUGGUAAAUAUACAAUUCAAAACCUCAGGAGUUAUAUUAUUUACCGAGUUGUCUGUGAUUGCAAAAGUUCCUCCAGGUCGAAGCAGUCGAAGGGCUUCUCUCACCAUAUUUUUUAUCGCUCUUUCAGGGCAUUCAUGGAACUGUAACAGCUCAAAUGAUUGAGACUCUGAAUCAUAGCAUUAUUAUUUCAAAGAGUUACCGGAAAAAAGAGCAUGGCACGCACUUAAAAUUCUAAAGGUGCAACCAUGGGCAAGAGUACUACAGCAGCUGCCUAGGCAAAACUUGUGAAGGCUUAUACACCAAAGAAUGUUUCUGUCAAUUUUCAUGCAACAUGCUUCUUGCGUGAAAAUUGAGCAAGCGAAGAUGCUACUCUUCAUUUGGUAAUUUAUCCAUGACAUUGUAAGGUUGCGUGGAUUACAGCUCAAACUUCUAAGAGUAGCAAGAGCCACAACAUGUUAUAAGAGAGUUUUCUCCUAAAAUGUUCAGUUUUAGGAAGAACAACAUGACUCUCUGAUGAUGAUUUAGUACUCAUUCCAACAGAAAAUGUAUGACAUGCUUGCAUUCUGUCAGGAAUUUUUGACAUACCACAUAAGCAAUAGAAAGAAUGUCAAAUGAUUUGGAAGGCAAGCCUGUACUUUCACCAUUAUCAUGGACCCAACAGAUGGGAUUCAUUCUUGGGCUGCUUUUCUUUUCUUUAUAUUGAGCAACAGCAAGAAAAUAUGGUGACAGAUCCAGGCCCUGCAGAAAAUGCAGCAAUAAGAUUUUAGAGCACUGGAAAGUGUACCAGAGCGUAGAUGUACUUCAACUGAAGUACUGUUUGAAGUCCAAUUGCAAAAUCUUUUAGCUAGAUCUCUUUAUUUUGAGACGUGCUCUACUUUUCAGCCUUUAUUUCUUGUAACAUGAAGAGGUUACUUAAGUAGAUGCUGCAUUGAUUUUGUAGGUUACCAUUGCAUAUUAGAUCAUUUCACUUGGGGAGUGGAGAAACUAGCUAGAAUACUUACAGUCACUCUAGCAUUGGGAAAUUUAUCAGCAAGGCAUCUUGUGCUGACACCAACUGAACAUCCGAUAUCAAGAAUUUGUCUGACAAUAUUGUCUUCUGAAUAUUUCUGAUGAUGUUCUUCAAUUGCAUUCAGCCAAUUUCCACGAACUAUUUGAUUAGCUUCAUCCAAUGAAGAAGCAUAUGGUAUUGCCCGUCUCAUCAUUGACAUAGUUGCAGCCUCUGCCUCAGCAGCAGCCUGUUGGAGAAUCUCAUUAUGGAAUGUAUCAAAAUCUCUAUGCUUUACCUCGAAACUGGUGAGUACUGCACUUACUGCUUCAGCAUUACUACUGAAGCAACUGGUAACACAAAAUCAAUGAUACAUAUUUUAGUAAUAAAUUCGAGAACAUUAAAUCAACCAUUAUGCACAUUACCAGCCAGGAAAGAUUGCCCUCAUCAUAUGCAUGGAAGGGAUUGAGGUAAUCUGCACAGGAACCGCAAGUAUGAAACAAAAUCAGUACCCAAAUUAGUCCACAUAGGAAAUGCCGGUUUAUUUAUCUAUUUUUUCUGAUGUCUUGAUUCAAGGUCACUUCCCUAAUCUUUUAGUAGAGUCUGAGGAAAGAAAAAAGAAGAAACUUAAGCAACUUAAAUUCUGGAAUACAACAAGCUUCUUUUAUUGUAGAAUUAUCAACAUCAAUGUUAUAUUGAAGUUAUCAUUGUUGCUGUUGAAACAUAAUCUCUUAAUUAAAUGACAGACUACAAAUUCAGGUACAAACUUUCUAACCACACAGCUGCUGCUAGUCCAAUGAACGAAUAUUGGAGACAAGAAUUUAAUCCAGUCUUCACCGGUACCACAAUAAUAGAGAACUUACAAUCAGGGUAAACAAGAGAGGGAUCCUCAAUACUGUCCAUUUCUUUGUAUACGUCUGAUUCCAGUAUCUGUCUAGUCAUUUCCCUCCAUGGAAUAUUUGUCUUCUCAGCUGUACUGUUUCAAAAUCCCACCAAAAUAUUCCGAAAGAAACCGAAAACCUUUUUUACACCCAAGAAUUUCAGCAGCAAAAAUCACCAAAAUAAAAAAUGAAGCCGCAUUUCUGAUGUAGAAUACAGUAGUACCUUAUGAGUACUUGUCUUGCGCCAAAUUUCAUGAUAGAGAAGAGAGGUCUGAAGGAAAUGAGGGCUCCAACAAGCCGAGAAAGCGGAGUUUCACCGGUCCACCGCGGCCUCUCCAGCUGCCCCUCCUCAAAUGCCACCUUCGAUGACCCUUGGCCACUGCUUCCGCUAGUUGAUGCUGUCAUUUUAACCAUCAUCCUACUUUUGGCACGGCUUUUUGGUGCUCUUCUUCUAAGUGAGUCAUGAUGGCCUCCUACAUUAUCAGUACUGCUGCUUCCUACGGAUGUUUUGAUCCAUAAAUUCAGAUUGCCGAGCUUUGAUUGAGCGCAAAAGGCCAUCGCUGAAGAAGUGCUUCUUCUCAGAGAUAUCGUCCGUAGUAAGGAGAAGAAGAGGCAAUUGGCAAGGAACAACAAACCAUUGAACAGACGUUAAUUUUCCUAAGGUGGAAAUCUAAUCAGCAAAAUAUUCUUGACCAAUUAUAUACUGACACCUAUGCAUUACGUUUUCCAAAUCUUCUUUGUUGAGCGUCUAUCUAUACUCCACAACUUUUUGUCAAAUGAGAGAGAAGUCCAACAAAUGGGGUAAAUUUUAGUAUAUUCCACCUUUAAAUUAUAGUAUCAAAUUUUCAUGUUGCGGCGCAAAUUUUAUUGUUUGUAAGACGCUCUUUUAACUUAUUCCAGUUUGGUCCAACUGUUAUUCCAGAUUUGUGAAAACCUAAUCACCAGAUUUGUGCAAGUGAAAAUGAAAUUAGCUGAUUUUAAUUUAUUAGUUACUCUAUAUUCCCUGAAAAUUCCACACUAGUGCAAGUCCAUGAAUGAAAUUUGUUUGGCUAUUAUUGGUUUGCAAUUAGAUAGAAUCUAUCCUAUCCAGAAAUUCUCUCCACCCUACUAGUAGUUUCACCCAUUGAAUACAGAGUUGGACAUUGAGAAACAUGUAAACAGCAAUAAAGAAACAUGUAAACACUAUGAGGUACUGAGUCAACAAACAAUCCCUUUGUAUGCUAUGCUGCUGUUCAACAUAGAACAGGAUUCAUCAAAAUCCCCCAAACAUGGUUAUAUGCUUUGCAACUCUUUUCCUCACUGCUGCACCAUUGUCGAUUCCCGCAUGUGGACUCAUCGUUGGACGCAUGCUGAUUCCCAUUCCAAUUUCCAACACACACAGUUGUCUGCUUGCAUAUGACACACUGCAGUAAAACUGUAACUCAGGUCAGGUGUCUGUCCUCAUGGAAAUACUUUGGUCCUAGUCCCUGCAGCAUAGAUAACAGGCACCAUUUGCUGCUCAAGAAAUAGGCAGUCAUUUGCUGAAUCAGGAAAAAUAGUAGAACAAAAUCAAGCUACAAGGAGACGAAAAGAAUAGCAGCAAUUUGACCUUCCCACUGUUACUCUUCAUCCUCCUUUCUUUCUUCAUUUUCAUCAUAUUUCCAUCUUCCCCUCAAAUCUCAUAUAUAAUCUUUUCUUGGUGGUAAACCCAGAGGCUUUAUGUGAUUGGGCAAUUUAUAGGCAAAAACUAGUAAAUUAAAUUGGUGUUUUUUUCCCCCCCCAUUUUCUGAUUUUAACACCAUAUGUGAUUGGGCAAUUUAAUGUCAAUUUGACUCUGUCUGUGUAUAAAAGGAUUUGUCAAUUUGACUCUCUAUGUGGUAAUUUGACACCAUAUAUGGUUUUGUUGGAGCAAUGAAGCUGCAACAACUGUAAAAGAGCAAUUGAAGGACGAGUCAGGAUUUGGCAGUAAUAUAGUACUAGCAUUUUAAGGAAGCAGUUUUUUUUUUUCCUUCCGGGAAUUAUUAAAACACUAAUAGAAUUAUAAACAAACCGAAUAAGUAGAAUAAAAACAGAACAUUGGAAAUAUAUUAACUUACAACUUACCAGUUAAAAACAGAACGAGUCAAACUUUGUUCGAAGGAGAGAUACCAACAUGGGGAAUGUGUGCAAUCUUGGGCCACUCUGCGCCACUUCCUUUGGUGCAUCUCUCUGCUAAAAGAGGACAGCUGUCGAUAUGUAGAUAAUUUAAAUUGGUGAGGUGUCGCAUUGCUUCUGCAGAGGGCAAUUGUCUGAGGUUAGAGCAAUUACAAAUGUACAAUUCUCGAAGAUUCCGAAGGCUACCCAUCCACUCUGGAAGAACUUCCAACCCCUCAAACUCCGCAAUACAUAAAGUUCUCAAGUUAGAGAGAUGCUGAAUUUGGUCUGGGAGAGACGUGAUUUUUGGCCAUCCAUACAAUCGAAGAUGCUCCAGCGAGACGAGAUUGGUGAUGGAGUGUGGCCACGGGAAAUGAUCAAGGUCGUCAGAGAAGCCAUCACCGAGAUCCAACGAUCUGAGGUUGGCUAGACUGUGUAGAGCCAUAAUUGGCCAAGAACCAGGGUCACGAGAAUGGAUCAUCAACCGCUCGAGCGAUGUGAACUUCUCAAGAUUAUUACUCAAUGAAGGAUUCAACUUAUCACAUCCGCUUAGACUACGUAGGGAUUGGGGGUUGUUCAUAUCUAGAGAAGCAUCUAAUAAUAAAGCAGGGCAGCCUCCUACGACUAAGGAUUCAAGAGAUGUGAGGCUAUUCAAAUUCCUUAGACAAGCCAAACUUCUGCAUUCCCAUAUCCACAACCCCGUAACAGACGUUAAGUUCUCCAUAUCUGGUAAAAAAGCCAACUUGGGGAGCCCUUCGAUUUCCAAGUACCGGAGAUUAGGGAAUACCUUAAUUGAUGAAGAAGAAUCCGAGGGAACCAUUGCAUCUGACCACUCCUCUAGCCUUUUCAUGUUCCGCAGCCUAAAAUGCUGUAGUUUCGGAAACAGAGUGACUGGUUUCGCCUCUCUGCUACUGGUGCUGCUACUACAAGAAGCACUGCUCCUUGCAUUAAUAUCGAGAUGUGUAAGGAGACCAUAGAAUUCUGCCCCAAUGCGCUUCACAUUGUGUAAGGAGACCAUCGCUAAGGACUCGAGACAAGGCAAGUCCCCUAGUGAUGGUACUUGUUCACACUUACCCAAUUUCUCCAACCUGAGGUGUACCAGAUUCCUUAGGAGUACCGUCACGUGAUCCUUUGCCACCAUCCACGACGGAAACCUUGAACCUUUGAAACCAUUAAUGGCUAAACUUUUCAAGUCUGGGUGAGGUUGGAGACCUUCCAUGACACUAUUGAUAUUGUCGUCAUCGCAAUCUUCAUUUGUAUCAUCCCAUUCAAGUGUUAAACUUUGAAUGCUUGAUUUUUCGGACAACUUUGCUUUUGCUGCCGAUUCAAAGCUGCUCACAUUCUCAAGUCCAAAAAUUUCUAGCUCGCCUUGGAGGUUGCGCAAGUGUUCCAGCUCCUCAAGCUGACAUCCCUUGUCUUGGCUUACCAUGAAGUAGGGCAGCGUCCGAAGAUUAGCCAGCUGCCCAAUCCCAGGGAACAAACAUCGGGGCCAACCCCCAAAAACCAUGGAAAACUCGAGAUGCCUCAAGUUAAUUAAAUUGCUGAACUUCUUAGGUAUCUCUUCCAAGCGACUUACUUUCAAGGUCAUCAAAUUGUAGAGCUUUGUGAUCGAAUCUGGCAGAGCGGUGAUACCAGUUCGACUGAUAUCAAGAUGUCUUAAAUGUUUCAUAUCACCCACUGCAUUCGGGAGAUGAGUAACAGCCCUGCAGUCUACUUUUAAUACAGAAAGGUAUUUAGAACUUUCCAAGAUGUCUUCAAGCAUAAUACCAUCAUCCCCAAUAUAAUAAAGCGUUUGCAAAUUUGGAGGAAUCCCUUCGAUAUUCUUUAACAUCUUUCCUCGACUCAGAACAACGGUCAAAUGCACAACUUCAUCAUUAUGACUGACCACCAUGCCAUUCUCUGUAUUUAAGAAACAAUUAUUUGACACUCGCAGUGAAAGAUCAUGCACAAGGUCGUGCAUCCGGCAGCUCCGAAUUCCGUUAAUGGAAUUCUUAUAACCAGCUUGCAACAAAGAACUCCGAAGCAAUACGUUGAAGCAGUCGCUGCCUAUAUCCUCCAUUUGCAAAUGACCUCCUCCCUUGGCAUCAUUAAUCAAUCCCUGGGCCAUCCAAAUCUGUAUCAAGCUUUCUUUUCUCAUGUCAGCGUCCUUCGGGAAAAUGGAACAACUUGCAAAGCAUUGUUUCACUGACAAUGAAGGUAAGUUUUCGUAACUCAGCUUCAGGACAGACAUGACUCCACCUUCAGUGUUGGUAGACUCAUUCCAUAUUUCACUCUUCUCAAGCUUCAACCAUUCCGAGCCAUCCUUUUUGGAAUACAACAAACCCCCAAUCACUUUGAUUGCUAAUGGCACGCCGCCACACUUUUUCAGUAUCCUUCUGCCAAUGUCCGCCAGAUAUUGAGUCUUUCUUGCACCACCGUCUGCAAAAGCUAGUUUUUCAAACAACAUCCAGCUAUGAUCAUCUGAGAGGAUGUCCAGAUGAUGUAAACGAGAUGCUUGCAUUGCUGUGGCUACCUCAUCACUACGUGUGGUAGCCAAUAUUUUGCUUCCUGGAGCACCCCCUAUUGCCAACAAACGUCCCCUCAUGCCAUCCCAUUUCUCUCGAUUCUCAUUCCAAAUAUCAUCAAGCACAAGCAAGUAAUUUUUUCCUUUCAGAUUUCCUUGAAGCUUCCUCACCAGUGCUUCCGUGUUUGUCGUCUCAGCACUUUUUCCCUCAAGGGAUUGUAGCAUCUCGUUCAACAGCCUCUCCACUUUGAAAUCAUCAGACACACACACCCAUAUUGUUUUAUCAAAGUGCUUUGCUACACACUCAUUUUUUAGCACCAGCUGUGCAAGGGUUGUUUUACCCUGGCCACCCAUCCCAACUAUUGAGAUGACAGGUAAAUCCUUCUUAUAGUCUGAGCUAAUUAACAUGCUUACAACUUGAGAUGCCUCAACUCCCCUUCCCACCGUUUGUGACUCGUCCACAAAAGGAUCAGUCGACCGAUCCUCUUUUUGAUCAGCAGAUGUCAUGCGUAUUUGAGCUGGAUGAAGCCCGAUUUGAUUUGCUUCUCUGUAAGCUUCCUCUAGAGAUGCGCUAACAUUCUUGAUCUUGUUAGCCAUCUCUGUACGAAAGGAAAUAGGAUUUGAGGAAGAAAAGAAGUUGCGUACCUUGUCGCGCUUCCGAUUCUCAACCUUCUGCCGCAGAACUUCAUAUCCGAAGUCAUCCAACACGAUCUCAGCAUCACGUGCUAUGGACCGGAGCCUUUUGAGCCAGAGCUGCACGGCUUUGCUUGUUGAUUGCUUGCACUUAGCAUCAAAAAUCAAAGCUUCCAUCAUCUCUACUUUCUUCGCAAGCUUCUGAAGGUCUUUCUCUACACCCCAUACCCGGCUGAUCUCGUCGGCAGCAAGUGGAAGUAUCUUAUUCAAGAUUACACCAACACAACUGAGAGCAGCUUCAGCCAUUUUCAGCGAAACUCUUUUACAGAAGAAGGUAAAAUGCUUUGGUUGAAUAGUUGGACUAUUUUUGGCAGCUAGAGAUGUUCAACAUUCAACAGCUAGCGCUACAAAGUAGGGAACCCAUUACUUAUCUUUCGUUUUUUUCCAAAACGAAAUUUCCUACCAAGUUGGGAAAACUUAAAAAAGUAGUGCUCCAAGCAAAGACUAGAGAUGAUAUCCAACGACCAAUCCAGGGCCACACGGCUUGUGGGUACCAUUGAAAUAAUUGAAUGUAUAGAUGUUAGUUGAAAGCUGAAACAGUACACGAGCUGGUUUUGGAAGGAUCACCAACGACUAAUUAUGGUUUUUUCUUUCUUCAUGGUAACAUUCAUGCAUCUGGGUACAAGUUCUACACACUUUCAAUCGAGUAAUCCAUUUUCAAUCACCUUUUGUACAUGUGACAAUACUUAUCUGUUCAUUGCCCUAAUGUUCUCAUAAUUCAUUGCCAAAGCUGGAGAAAAGUGUUAAAAACAUAAAAAAGAAAAAAAAAAAGCUUUGUUUCUUUCUUGAACAAAGCAAUAGAGUAGCACACAUAUAUCUUCCACUGAAAGAAUUAUUAUCUUCGAGCAGUACUUUUUUUGUUUUUUGUUUUUUUCCUUGGCUUUUGGUAGGGUCUUCACAUGUUAAAGCAAAAAUACGUAUGAUAACAAUAAUUAGUGAAAGCCUUGGAUGCAAUGUGGAACUUAAAAGAAGGGAUGAGUAAAAGAUUCCCCGAGAAAGGGUGUGAAAACUUAAAGAAAAGGAAUGGAAAAUUUUGCCGAACAUUGAAAUUUCAACCGCUAGAUACUCAUAAUGGUCAAUAUCUAUUAUUAAGUAGGCUCCAGUUAUCAGACAAGAUAAUGCAAAUGCCUAACCAUACGUCCAAAUUGUGGUCUCCACCAAUACAUCUUCAUAAAGCAACUACUGACUCACGGCACCACCCAUGAUCAUGAAUACUCAGCACCUGUAAGUUGACAUUUAACCGACUGCGGAAAUUGUUCAUUUUAUUUGUCAACAAUCAAUUAUCAACUAGAAGAGGAAGAUCAUAACAAAUUUCCAUCCACGAACCUGCAACAUGAACUCAAGAUAUGGGGAUAAGCUCUGGAGAAAUAUCCUUCUCUUAGGUUUCUUACGUAUUUUCUCUAAUUUAGAUCCAUAACAACACACUCUGCUCCUCAUGUUUUUCAUAUACAAAGGGUCACCCUGGAAAUUUAUCAGCAAUUAGUUGCUUCUACUUGUCCAAAAAAUCCCUAGAAAAUUUAUCAGCAAUGGGUAUCAUUAGUUGCUUCUAACUUCUGGUCCUGCAAGGUCUAUUCCAAAGAGUCAGAUAACAGAGAAGUCUGUAGCCCACGAUGAAAGCCAACAUCACAACUAAGUUACUCUAUUUUUGUGACUCUUCUAUGUCUAGAUUUCUCAAGAAUGCAUCACCAUACAUCAAACAUCCUGCUUCAACACCUUCUACACAUUUCCCUCGGCCUUUGUAUCCUCCAAACUCAUUUAGUAGAAGACAUUCAAGAGGAUACUUCAUCAAGCUGAAAUAGUGCAUGAAGAGCCAACACUUGGGUAUUUCUUUGUUAGAUAUGAAGUACCCCGAGAAAAAAGAAGAAUGCACCCAUGAUGCCUGCAAUCAAAGACAUUCCUGAUGCCUGCAAUCAAAGACAUUCCUGAUGUGAAAUUCGGUGCCAGAGCACUGAAGCAGCUGCAAAAGAAUUUGCCAUUGAGAGAACCAUCCAAGCCACCAGACAGAAAUAAAGGAAUCCAUCGAUUUUGCGUCUCAGUCCAACUAGCCAGUGAAGUGGAGUAGUAAAGAGAGGAGAUAGGGUGUCUGCUAUAGCAUAUGAAGAUAUUCUGUAGGAUCCUCUUGAGGAAUUGGAGUAAGAGAGGUUUUUUUCUUGAAUAUUGGACAAAAUGGAAGUUCUGAUAACAUGAUCAGUCAUAUCCUGUUUUACUUCACCUUUUUCAACAUCAGAUUUUUCCAUGGACGGGCUUUCUGAAACAUCAAUUGCAUAUUCAAGAAUAUUGACAUGCUGAGGAAUGCAACGGCCAGUGGACUUGAGCCUCUCUUCCAGGCAAUCCGGGGAACCAUCAUGAAGAACGAUACCACCAGAUAACAUAAUGACUUUAUCAAAUAACUCAAGAAUUCGAAAACCAGGUCGAUGGAUGCUUAUCACGAUUGUUUCACAAAUGACAAAUCCUCAAUAAAUAAAUUAAUUUGUGGAUAGCCAACUGUGCAUCACUUUAUGUCUAGUAACAAUUCUUCACUUUAUGCCAGUGCGCUAUUGAAUAAAAAAAAAAAAUUUUUUUGGGGACAAUCACUAAUCUAACCUAUAUUAAGGGAUAUUCUCGGCAAAUGAUAUCGUCAAAGCACACAUUUUAGUUCUACAGCAAACCUCGUGUGCAAUGACAACUAUAGCUUUUGCCACUCAAAAACUGAUCAUCAUUUUUAAAAGGAUAAAAGUGUUAUUUCAUGAAUAGUGAGACUCCUAAUUGACUCUCAAAACAUGCUCUUUUCCUUUCUCGGCAUAAGCGGCUUCUGGUUUCUUUGAAAAAAAAAAAUACAAAUAAAAACCCAAACUUUUGUGGAUUAGACAUGAAAAAGUUCUAAUGACGACAUUUCACUAACUCGUGCAAUUAAUUAAGUUAAACAACGCAACCAAAAAUAGUUAAAUUGAUACAACAUUUUCGGCGGGACUUCUUCUUCAGCAAAGAUGCGGCUGUGGAGUUGACUUGUGCAUCUAACCCAUCACUAUUUAAGGUUCAAAAAUCUACUUUGUUCCACAAGCGUCAGCUCUCAACUUGUCAAUUUGGCUCGUACAAGUUCAUUUCUGGACUCGACCUCAAUUUGUAAGAAUGAAUAUUUUAGAAAUGGUUCAGAAAUUUCUUCUCUUAAAUUAAUCAAAUAUUGGCUUCUCCCCUUUGUCAUCAGUCAUAAGUAUAAUCUAGACGUAAAUUUUGCAUGGUUGGAGAACUUUUUUUAGUACAGUAAAUUUUCUACUGAAGCAGGAUGUUUGAAACUGCAAGCUCCACUUGAAGAUGUUUGAAAAUGAUAUGUUAACAAUCUUGGCAUUGAAAUUUACUUGCAGUUAUGAAAACUAAAUAAGUUUCCAUUGCUUUGCAACAGAUAUCAUUCAUUGCUGUAACCAUUGAAAUUUUAGACAUGUGAUUGAAACUGAAUUUUCAUUGGUGAAGUAACCUAUGACUUGUGGUGGUUAAUAAUGUAUUCAAUGUAUGACAAUCAAGGAGCAUUUAGGGUUGUUUACACGCAAGUUAUUUCUGUCAUCAUGCUAAACUCUGAAUAUCUAGAGUUAACCCUUGGGGCGGGGUGUACAGGCGCAUGGAGAUGAAACUGGCAAAAUUGGGAUAUUUCUAGUAUUGAGAAAAAAAAAAAAAAGAAAUUUAGAGUUAACAUGGUUGUAAGCAACUAAUUGCGUGAUUUUUCUUAUAUUUCAUGCUUUUUCUAUGUUUUGCUAGUGUUGAUACAUACGCAUUAUAUUCUGAUAUUGGAUGGUUAAGGAGGACAACAAUUAAUAGAAGGUAAAAAAAAAAACAAAGAAUGAAAGUAAAAAACCGUACUUGUACUCUUGAUCUGGCCUUCUCCUUCUCCUUAAUUAGUAAGACUCCAUUAUGACGAAGGAAACAAGGGGAGUUGCAAUAUCCAACAGAAAUGGAAAAUUAUGUAAACACUGAAUUGGAAAAUCUCUCUCUUCCCUAUCAAAUUCAAGUGUGCUAAUUUGCCCCCAAAAAAAAAAUCCAAGUUGAGAGAAAAGGUUCAUACGUACAGGACAUGCAAGUUUCUUGCAUUUAAAGUAAGAGUAACGUACACUAAUAAUGUGUGCAAAAGUAACGAUCUUGUGUCUAUAUCAAAAAAAAAACACUAAAAGGUUUUGUAAUAAUGGGUGGAUCAAUUAAUUGUACGCAAAAUUGUUGUUUCUGUACACUAGAAUUUAUACAUGAAUUGUUCAUCCAUGAAUUGUCCAAUUUUCCACCCCUUAUCCUGUGGCAUCGGUUAUACUGCCUAUGUAACGGCUGUUCUAUAUCAUCAAUUUAACGGAAACAACUCCUAUUUCUUUGUCAGAGACUCAUAAUUCAUUCUGCCUUUAUUCCUUCUUGUGAUUAACUUUCUAUUGUGGCCGUUUCAAUUGAUUAUAAACUCAAUUGCAUUUAUUCUAAACGUAAAAACCCACUUCUUGAGUAUAAUGAGCAAAUCCAAGUUGAGAUUAAAUAGCUGUAACCAACCUUUGACUGAUUCAUUGUAAUUUACACUUUAUUUUUUUUACUAGAAAAAAAAAUCACUUUAGUCUACAGAGAUAUGCUUUAACAGCAUCAGCCUAGCAUGCAUGCUUUUAUAACAUGAUGAUGAUGAUGAUGAUCAGCUGCUUGGACGCUGAGGUGUAUAAAGAGGGGCAAGUUUGGUGCAGUUAGUUCGUCCUCCUCCACACUUCAUCCUAUUCUUUCUCUCCACAUGGAUUUACCUACUGUGACACCAAUUUCUGGUCAUCAACAAGUUCUUUAUAGUAUAAAAACUAAAAAUCUUUCUUAUAAAAUAUCAACAACCAGCUACGAUCAGCUCGGUUGUGGCGUUAACCAGAAGCCUAGGUGUAUUUUGAAGAAUGUGAACUGCGAAGCCAAACCGAGGGAGAUAACAGCCAUUGCUGGCUCCAGUGGAGCAGGAAAAACCACAUUGUUGGAAAUUCUUGGUGGAGUCAUUGUCCCGAAUAGAGUCAGCGGUCAUGUUCUUGUGAAUGAUCAGCCUCUGAAUGUGACACACUUCCGGAGAAUGUCUGGUUAUGUGACACAAGAUGAAGCUCUAUUCCCACUUCUUACUGUUGAAGAGACUAUAAUGUAUAGUGCACGUCUCAGGCUGCGUGUGGGGCGUGAGGUGGCCAAAAAAAGAGUUCAAGAGCUGUUGAAGGAGCUUGGACUGGACCAUGUUGCUGAUGUGAGAAUUGGCAGUGAAUCCGGCAGAGGAAUUUCUGGUGGCGAGAAGCGUAGAGUAUCAAUUGGGGUUGAUUUAGUUCAUGAUCCUGCUGUAGUUUUGAUUGAUGAACCAACAUCAGGACUUGACUCUGCCUCUGCUCUUCAUGUGAUGUUGCUGCUUAAAUCCAUGGCUAAGAAUCAAGGCAAAACCAUCUUGUUAAGCAUCCAUCAACCCGGCUACCGGAUUCUUGAGUUAUUUGACAAGGUCAUUCUAUUGUCCAAUGGCAUUUGUCUUCAUGAUGGAACCCUGCAUUGCCUAGAGGAGAGGCUCGUUUCCACAGGCCAUUUCAUCCCUCAUCAUGUCAAUGUGCUCGAAUUUGCCAUUGAGGUCUCAGACAGCCUGCAUGUGGAAGAAACUGAUAUCGAAACUGGUGAAUCAGAACAUAACACUAACCUUGACAGCAAUUCGUCUGUUAUUUCCAAUGUGGAGGAAAAGCACAUAUCUUACUCAAAUUCCAUGUUCAAGGAGAUAUUAAUACUGACUCAGAGAUUCUCCAAAAACAUCUUCAGAACCAAGCAGCUUUUUGCUGCAAGGACGAUUCAAGCUUUGGUUGCAGGGAUCCUAAUAGGGACAAUAUUCCUAAACGCAUAUAAUAAUCCAAAGAGAUCAGACGUACAAACUCAAUUUGGAUUCUUCGCAUUCAGUCUGACGUUUUUGUUGUCAUCCACGACAGAAGCUUUGCCAAUCUUCUUGCAAGAGCGGAGAAUCUUGAUGAGAGAGACCUCAAGAGGAGCCUAUAGAUUAUCUUCUUACAUCAUAGCAAACACUAUAGUGUUUCUUCCCUUCCUUCUGUUAGUGGCUCUUCUAUUUACUACACCAGUUUACUGGCUAGUUGGAUUGAGACGAGAUAUUGAUGGAUUUCUGUAUUUCUCUCUGGUGGCUUGGAUGGUUGUCUUGAUGUCAAAUUCUUUCGUAGCAUGUUUUAGCGCUCUAGUACCAAACUUCAUCUCAGGAAUGUCCUUGAUUGCGGGCAUUAUAGGGGCAUUCUUCCUCUUUUCAGGCUACUUUAUACCCAAGGAAAAUACGCCCAAGUGUUGGAUUUUUAUGCACUACUUAAGCUUGUUCAAAUAUCCUUUUGAGAGCUUUCUGAUAAAUCAGUUUGGAGGGGACAAGGGGCGAAGGAAAUGCGUGGCAAGUGUUGGAAGAGUAUGCAUACUGCAUGGUAAUGAGUUCUUGAGGAGGCAAGGCAUUGAGGAAUCACAGAAAUGGAAUAACUUAAUUAUAAUGUUGGCUUUCAUUUUGGGCUACAGGCUUCUCUGUUUCUUGAUUCUGUGCUGCAGAUCUUACCGGAGCAGAAACUAAAAGUAGCAUCUGAGCAUUCAAACUACUAAUAACUUGUUAGUUUCUUGAUCAUUACCUGUGUGAAUACCUCAAAUAUCAUCACUGCUGAUUCCUUCUUUCUUGAUGUCCCGCUGUAUCGUUAUUCAGCAAUGAAGAGAAAAAAGAGGUCCUAGGAUUUUAGCAGCUUGUUAAAGUGAAAAUAAUCUUUUGAACAAAAUCCAGCAAUUCUUGAGAACUCACCUUUUAGCGCUGAGUUUAUUGCUACUUGAGUUGGCAUGAAUGUCUCAUAAGAUGGUACUGGAAAUACAAAUACAGCAAUCUACUUAACAAAUUGCGUUUUCAAAACUUUGGCAUAUCCUUCAUCCCUUUUUGGCAUUUAUUUUUCCUUAAAUUAUCUGGAAUUCAGAUUACUUAAUACAGAAACUAGAUCCAUGUGUUAGUAUAUUACCUCGAUCAUCCCCUGUGAGAGUGCAAAAUGGGACAAAACUUAGUUUUAGUUUAGGGGUCAAAUUCGAAAGCCAGAUAUGGUAUUGUCCUUCCAGGAUAAUUCUGAAAAAUCUAAGAAUGGCCCGUGGUGGUUUUAAAGAGCUAAUAAAGAAUUGCUUGGAAAUCUUCUUUUGGGGAAUUAGUUUCUUAACAUUUUAAGUUGACCUCCUCCCUUUGUGUACGUCAAAAACUAAAAUAAAAAUAAAAAUAAAGACAUAUAUAUAUAUAUAUAUAUUAUUAAGAGAUCAUUUUCUCUAACUUGUCUUUUAUUUCCAUUUAAGGGCAACUUAAUGUUUAAUUAAUAACACAUUUAUAGUAAGAUCUAUAAAAACUAAUAACCUUGAGACCACACAAAUUCUAUUAAUUUAAAGAGAUAUUAAUAAUUGAUAAAUUAAUAAUUUUUCAAGUAUACUUACAAUUCAAAGACACACUCAUUUAAUCAACCAAUGUUAUUUUAUAAAAAUAUUAAUACUUUUAUUAAGAAAAGGAGACUAAAAAUCUAUCGAAUAUAAACUGAUCCAUAUCUACUUGAUUUACAAGUAUAAUUUUAUUCUAUUAAUGUACAUAACUGCUAUCAUUUUUCUAUUAUCAAAAGGUCAAAAAGAGUUAGAAAUACAAACUGAUAGAUUUCCAAUUCCAUUUUACUAAAUGCGUCCAAUGAAUCAGCUUAACAAUAUUAUGUAUAUAAAUGAGAAGGAAGUCUUAUUAUAAUAAAUAAAUACAAAGUUGUCUUACAUAUCUCAUUGUUAAACUAUGGUUUCUCAAUUAAAAAGUGUUCAUAAAUGACUGAUCAAAUGCAUAAAGCAUCAUAUGAGUAUAGUAUAUGUAAUUUUAGUGAAUUAUCAAUUUAUAAUAUGAACGAGACCAAAUAGUUAGGUAAAGUUUUGAAAACAUUAUUAUCGAAAUUAUUAAUUUAGCUCGUUAGUCCAAGUCGGGACCUGAAAAAUUAUUAUUUAAUAGAGGUUAUUAAUUUGUCGAGUAUUAAUUUAUGGAGAUUUUACUGUCUUUCUUUCUUUGUUACAAUUAUUAUGUUUAUCGUUUGUAAGAAUUACAAAUGGUUCUUUAACCAGUUAUGUAACAUUAGCCAAGUUUCAAACUAAAUAUUAGAAUCAGAACAAUGAUUUGGGAUCAUUUUCAAUUGCUUUCUUCAUAGAUUUGUGAAUGCUAGAGUACCACAUUAUUUUACAGAAGUGAAGUCAAUAUGCAAUAAUCAUAUACUUGAGACGAUAACAGUACCAACUCUCUGAGGAAAGGACAAUUGACUGGAAUUAUAGAAUGCAAGUAAGCAACAAGAUAUGAUUAUUAACUGCAAGUUGUUUAGCCUCCCUUCCCCAUCGUACAUUUGUAUCUUUUAAUUCACUAGUUACAUGCAAUAACUCGUGCAACACCAUAAUUAGUCUAUAAGCAAAUUAUGCAUGUUAAAUUCUCAUGCAAAUUGAAGGAUGAUAACAUCACAGAUGAGCCUAGCAAUUCUACACUGGAUUUGCCAUCAACCAUACAUGCAAUGGUCUAGUAGCAGGGAUAACAAUGCAUUAUAAUUAGAAUUCUCCCGCAGGUACUGUGCUGACCCCUGCAAUCCGGUAUGGCCAAUCUUAAAUUAGCCCUUUUAGCUUUCAAAGCCUGAGAGAGGACAAAAUCGACUGUGUGGCUUUAUACAUCUUUAACUACUAGACUGAUAAUUGAACCUUAGAUUAUACUUAAAAGUCCAAGAGAAAAGAGCUGGCUAACAAUUUUCCACAACACAAAAGGGAUCAACUGCGUGUUUGCUCAUGUUAGCCUCUUACUGUAAUCCCUGGAUCCAAAAUUCUCUACUUUACCACAAUCAAUAAAACGAGUUCGGAGAUUUCCAAGGUAAUAUAAAAUCCAUCUUUUCUAACAAGCUCAAGAAGAACGGGGGGAAGAUUCUCUUGCAUGGUUUGAGUUGAUAAUCGUGGGAAGUUCAGAAGCACAGGAGCAUGGAUCAAAUAAUUUGUUAAUUAUUCCCAUCAAAAUAUAGAAUAGACUGAUUGCUUCAGAUAUUUUAUGAGUUGCAUAAGAGUAGAUGAACGUGAUCGAAACUUCCAUGCACUCUGGAUUAGCACAUUCUAGGCACCCGCCAUGCACUAUCAUGGCCAUCUCAGACCAUGAUACAGACACUCAGAAGCCAUCAUAGUGGGAGUAUAUUAAUGCCCCUCCUAUCCUAGAAGAAUAUUAUCCUUCUAAGUUGUAAAUUUCUGAUGCCAUCAUUGUGUUUCCAUAUGGUAAAUAUGAUAUAUUUUUAGUUCCUGAUUUACAUCAAAGCUGUGGAGAUAUCUUAAACUCCAAUUUCUGUGUUUUUCCCUUCUUAAAGCAAUAAAGAACAAAGAGGUGCAGUUAAGAUUGUUGAAGACUGUUUUAUCAGUAGUGCCAUGGCAGAGGACAUGACUUCAUAUGAUAGAGUAAAUAAAUAAAUAGGAAUAUUUCUUAUGAUUCAUGAUUUCGUUCUAUAUAUUGCAAGAAAUACAACAGAUUCAUACACGUACAACAGAUGGCAUAUGCAAUGGCAUAUACAUCUCUUUCUGUACCUAAAGCAGAAGAAGUAUAUGCUAGUGCAUAUGUCUCUUUCUGUACCUGAUCGACUGGAUAAUGGAAAACUUACAGUAGCAGAAACAAAAAACACAACCCAACCUAUCUGUAAACGUCACCUUGUCACCAGAAGUUUUCUAAGGAAGAUGAACUUGAAGCAUCAAAGAGAGAAACUCUGCGUCUCUUGUUUGAGAGAGCAUUUCUUGACAAGAACUCUUCUGAUGCAUAAAAUUUAUCAAGUACGGACCUCAAAGCCUGACGAACUGAAUUUACAAGGAGCUCGCGUCCCUCAGAAUUCUCAAGAUUCUGUUGGUCACAACCAGUCAUCUCAAACACAUUCACCAUCCUACUUCCUAAGGUCGCAAUUUCAGCACUCACUGUUUUCAGAGGAAGGGUUUCAAGAGCUUGUCUCAAAUCAGAGAAAAGCUCAUGCUUAUAAUCGCAACAAAGAAAUGCCCUGAUCGUAUACGAAGGUUCUCCAGCUGCAUCUGCUUGGUGUUCUUCUACUCUUACUUCAUCGGUGUCUGUUGGCACAAGCAUACCCUUAGUAGCUUCAGUUGCCUUCUUUCUCAAUUCCUUCACAUGAUUAAUUACUUCAGCAAGUAAUGCUGCCUUGUCCAUCUGGUAAUCAACAAAACAAUAGCUAAUCUAGCAUUUCUAUAAUUCAUGUAACAUGAAGCAAAUUUGACCAAUCUAAUAUCAUGUAACAUGUAAUAGUAGCAUGACCUAUAGAAUGAGAAGCCAGUUGACAACUGUAUAAGUUUCAUGAUAAAAGUCAAACGCACCAUAGCAUAUUGGAAGUGUAAAUCAACAAAGUGCACCAACAAUGGAUUUGUAGAAUCUUCAACCAUGUGUAGAAAUUUUAGAAGCUAAGAAUUAUCUAGCCAUAUGAAGAAACUCUAAAUUGCAAAAGAUAGUUUUGAAAACUAUUUCAUGAAUUAACAACACACGGAACUUGAAUCCCAAAUUACUUUACAAGUUUUGUUCGAAGAUCAAACAAUACAGUAAGCUUGAUCCCAACUUAAUCCUACAAGAGCUGUGCAGUGAAAGCUUCUGAGCGUGAGUUUGAAACCACCGCUCCAUACAGAAGCACUGCAAACCGUUUUCAGCUGCCAAUUAAAAUAGUGCAAAAUAGCAUUUGUUACGCCACAGAAAAGAGGAGAUCAAUAACAGAACUUCCGCACCAGAUCAAUCUUUGAACCACGGGCUGGUGUAAAUAAGUCCGUGUUCCCUUGCAUAAAACGAGUGAUGCUCACAAAAAUAGCAAGCUUAAUAACUUGUAGUAUAAAGAAAACAAAGCAUAAAAACAUCACCAAGAGUAUAUCCAAAAUCAUCCAGACAACUCUUGCAAACGUAUUCCUUGGAGUGGCACUUAUAAACAACAGUACAUACAUGGUCCAUCCCUUAUCCAUAAGGAACAUGACUAUAUCGAGUUCAGAAUAAUCCAUUAUUGUGAAUUUACACUCAAACAUCAGAUCAAAAGAUUGACAUGAAUUAACAAACAUAUGGAAGCAGUUCUUAACAGAAAACAGAACAAAAGCAAAAGUGGAAAAUCUUUACCUUACUUGUUCCGGGAAUUAGACUCCUGAGAGAAGUCAAAUGACCAUUAAUUCUCUCCCUUCUUCGCCUCUCAGCUUCACUAUGAUUCCUCAAAGCAACCAAUGCCUUUUCUGCAUUAACCCCUUUUUGCCCUGGCCUUAACAGAGCCCUCACUAGCUCUCCUUUUUCAUUAUCCAAAAUCAGUGAAGAAGAUGAGCCCGACCCAUUUUUCACCGUCCCUUGAUACCCAUAAUUCUCAGGAAACCCAUUGAAAGAAUUAAAAAAUUCCAUCUUUUUCACCCUCCCCAAAAAAUCCCUUCAAAAUUUACAGUAACAACGCAAAAAUGAAGCUAUUUUCUGUCAGAAAAAGCGUGAGCCAGGUGGACGGUUUGUUGGAGAUGACCACACAGAAAACAUAGGGUGAGAGAAUUUCAGAAUUCUUGAACUGAGCUUUACUUUUUCAGCUGUCUUAUUGACUUCCAUCCGUUAAAGUGGGAAACUUUGGGGACAGAAAAGUAUUUUCAACAUGAACAAGACACUGGUAGUACUAAGUUUUGUGGUUGGUUUGAGGCAUUUGCUGGAGAUUCUAGGGAGAGCCCAGAUAGAGAGAAGGUAGAAAAUGAAGGUGAGAAUGGAGGUAUAGUGGUGGCUGGUGUGGCCGGAAGAAGGUGGCGGGGAUGGAGGGGUGGCUGGUUGUUUGGCUGGUUUAGCAGCCAGCAGUGGGAUUGGAAAUGAGUAAUUGCUGCAUUCACACCCAGUAUUUAAACCCUAAGCUGGGUUGAUUAGCCAUCACUUUGGAGGGAGUUUUUGGAGUUUUUCUUUUAGUUUAAUACCUCUAGAAAUUGACUCCCCCAUUUUUUGUCUAUUUUCUGGAGUUUGGGAUGAUCUCACUAAUCUUUUCUACAAUUUUUUUUUGAAUUUCAGGGUUUUUAAAUUUUUAUUAAAAGGGGAAAAAGGCGGCAAGAAUCUAAACACGGAUUCUAAGACCAGAAAAAAUGAUACUCAAAUAAAUCACUGUUUGGAUAGAAUAUUACUUGAAAUAAUUAUUUUAGCACUUUUUAUAACGUGAUACAUGUGAAAUAAAAAAAUGAAUUGAAAAAUAUAUUUAUAAUACAAGCGAAAUAUUUUUUUUACAAAAAUUUGAUAUCCAAAUUUUUUUUUUAUUUUUUCCCUUCAUGGCCUUAAGUCUCUUCUCUUUGUUUAAUUCACUGUUGUAUUGAGUUUGAGAUAAUAUGAAAGAAAAUAAAAUGCUAUAAUGGUUUUGAAAGGAGGCGGCUAAUCAGUAAUCACCAAACUCAUAAACUUUUGCCAUUUACUGUUAAGAAGAAAAGGACAGUUUCACAAGAACUUGACCAACUUGCCCCAGAAAGCAAAAUGAAGUCAUGGUCCUUAUAGCACAGAAAUUUUAAACAAAUAUUUCUCCUUAUAAAAAAUAUAUACACCAUUAGUAAACUCAUUACUGAGUUUCUUACUUGCAGCUCAUCAGACCUGCAGCCAAUGACUGUGAUGCAUGCAAUCAAGAGAAUUACAGAAAUUUUCUCAAUUGAAGUAAAAUGGUAAAAUGAUGAUAGAUGUGAUGAGUGCACUGUUUUACAGGGUAGCUCUCAGACAACGUCUGAAAGAUUGGUGAUAGAUUUGAUUUUUUUUUAUGCUGAAUAUGAAUUGAUUUCUCUUAGCACCAAAAAAGAGAAUGGAUUUCUCCAAAUGCAUUAUCCAUGUAAUCGGUUUUGCCCACUAGUGUUGGACUUUACUUGUACAUCUUUUGGUGGAUUUGGAGUCAAUAUCCAUACGUGUUUCGACAUUUUACUGCUGUAUUAACUGUACAUAUAUAACUUAUCAGAUCUUGGUCACUUAUAUUGAAUGAAUUGCACUAGGAGCUUUGAGAAAAAGAAAGGUGAAAAAAUUGGUUUGCUGUAUAUGAAGUUCUUCUGGAAUUUUACAUAACCAAAUUAUUGGUUUAAUGUAAUUACUUACGACAAAGGACGUUUGGUUUAGUUUAGAUGGUUCACAUAGGAAAGAAUCACCGACACAAGUUGGCUCAGUUGGUAAUAAAAAUUGAUCACUUUUUCACAAAAAGUCGUGUGUUUGAAUUUUAUUGUCGAUGUGAGGACUAUAUUAGUGAACGAUCUGUAAAAAUUUGUGUUGGCUUAGUUGGCAAAAACGAAUCAUUUCCUCACAAAAAGUUAUGGAUUCGAAUUCCGUUGUCGAUAUAAGAAUUGUAUUAGUGAAUGAUCUGUAAAAAUUAUUGUAAGUGACCUAUGAUCCGAAGACAUAUCCUAACAUAUGAUGGUGACCAGAGCUCGAAUCUAUCCAAACUCUUUGUUCCUCAAAUAAAAAAACAUAGGAAAGAAGCUGCCGAAGUUGCCCGGUUAUGAUUCCAGAUUUGCAUUUGGCAUUUUCUCAUUUCAUAAAAGAAGUGGUGACUUAAGUUUCUUAAAGUCAUCAAUUAGCACUUUCUGCCCAACACUUAGGAAAUUACAUAUAAAUCCAAGAAAGUUCUUCAAAAUCUAAAAAGGGGUGGGAGGUGCCAUUAAUCUAAACAUGUUUUCUUUAGCACUUUGGAGACCAUUGGAUGAUUAUUCAACGUAGACAUCCAUUACAUGUUUGUCUUCUAGGAUAUACUUUUUGAACCUUGCACAGCUCUUUGUAAACUCCUUUUGGAAGUCCUGUUUGGCCGUAUGUAGUCUGUGGAAAAUUUUAUACUAAACACGUAAUAGAUUUCAGGGUCAAGAAAGGUAGGCCAUCAGCCUAAGUUGUGGUAGGGGCCCCUGGAGAGUAAGUAACCAGCUCAUCGCCACUUUGAUUGAGCCAAUCACUCCCUUACCUACUUUGACUCUUUAACUGAUAAAGACACAUUAGUUUCAGCUCAAAUAUUGCAAAUCCUCAGCCAUUUACUUGUAUGCUUUCUAAUUCACUGGUCUUUGGAGGCUUUUUACUUGUCUUGGAUCUGCCCUUGAGCUUGAUUCUGUCUUCUUCUUUGCCUUUAUUUGCCUUUACUGCUUAUCUAUCAAGAUCUACCUCUAGCACUAUCUCAAAAAUGUGCAGAUUGCUUUCGUACAACUGUGUAUUUAGCUCCUGAUUGAACAAUUUUUGACACUCCCACUACAAAAAAAAGGCAAAAAAUUCGUCUCACGAUUAAAUAAUUGUGAUAUAUAUGAGACAAAAAAAAAUAAUUAAGAAAAUGAAAAGGAGAUUGAAAUGCAUAUUUACUACGGAAUCAAAUAAUUUUCGACAAAUAAGAACCCAUCCAAACACACAAAUUCACGCGACCCUUUUUUUGUUUUCAGAGCAACUUUAUACCUUUAGUCUUUGAAAACAAAUUCAUUUUGGCUUUGGCUAAGAUAUUUGUGAUCUCUUCAACUUUAUGAUCACUAAAGCUUGAUUUGUCCUGACUUUGCUUUCCCUCCCUGCCAACGUGAUUCAGAAUAACUGCAAGGGAAGCAGCACAGAGGCACAAGCUCAUAGGUCAUGGUGUAGUUUUAAAUGUAUAGUGGAAAUCUAAGAGAACAUCUUCUUGAUUAGUACAAAAAGACUAAGAAGGUGACCCAUCAGAGACUUGGAAAAACUUUGAACAAAUAAAAUAAGCCAGGCAAAUUAGUGGGAUAGCAAAAUUUUAAGGUUAGUCAUCUAACUUUACCAUCCACUGGCCCUUCUGAUUAAAGAAAAUUUGAAGAAACGCAGUACCCAGGUGUAUAUGCAUGUGUGUGCCUGUUUGGUUGAGGCAAAAGAUGAUUUAGAAGAUCAUGACUGCAUGCUCAUGCAAAAUUUUAUAUAAAUAAAUUGGAAUGACAAUAGCAUCAACUAAUCACAUAAUAAUUCACAGGAGUCAACUCAUCAUUUGUGAGCUUCAUCAAAUUGAAGUCAACUUACCACAGUUCCUAAAUAGUUGGCCCUCUUGGGAUGCAAAAUUUGGUCAAUUUAAAUAAAUUUAAAAAAAUGAUAUUUAAAUUCAAUUAGCAAAAUUUGCAAGAAAGAACGUUGUUGUGCUAUGGAAAAAGGAAAAAAAAAAAAAAAGAGCACUUGAUCAUUUUAAUUUAGGAAUUCAAUGACGGUGGAAUUAGUUAUAACUUGAUAUAAUCCGAAGGUAUUAAUCUUGUUUUCAAAGUUUCACCUCACCCAUAAUUUUCUUUAAUCUUCUGUUUAUCAACUCAGUGACUAUAAUUGGGGUUUCCCUUUGGUUAAUAAUAAUUGGAAAUUGAAAAAAAAAAAAAAAGCUUUAAAAACAGAGAACCAGCUUUGGAUUCCUAGUGAUUAGUUACGGUUUAGUUGGAUAAUCCCAUUAAACAAAAAGCAUCAUUAGAAUUGAUAGCCAAAUGGGAUCAGAUUUCUGUUUUACUAAUGAUUAAGUAAGGCGUUAUUAGCAAACAGCAGCAAUAACCUGCAAAAUUACCUGCCCACCAUAAUAUAUUUUUGGAGUCAACUCUGGCCCUGAGAAGACAAUAAACCAUUUCCCUUCAUCUGCUUCUUUAAUAUUAUUUCAAGUCAAGUUGCUGACUCUGUUCAAAUCACCUAAAUUUUGGAUCCAAAGAUGCUAUUUUGUUGCUUUGCAGGGCAAAACCUUAGGUAGAAAUUAUAAGAUCCACGCCUUCCAUGAUUGUCAACAUGUUCAUAAAAUUGGAUACUUCUUUUCCCCCAAAAUUAGAUACUCUAUUUAAUGCAAAAAAAAAAAAACUAUAUUUACAUAGGAUUUGGGAAACAAAAAACAAUAGGGUUAAUUUCACUUUGCACCCCGUAAACUAUAUCCAAGUUCUCACUUUGAUCGUUAAACUUCAGAAUGGAAUACUUUAGUUCCUAAAUUAUAAAAUUCAUUGUGCUUAAAUCCCUAAAAUAUAUAAUUUAUUCAUUUUAGUUCCUAAAGGAUAAAAUUUAUUCCAAUUUAGUCCCCAAAGUAAGGAAAGUAUACCCACUUAAGCAUAAAAUCUGUCUCACAUCCUUAACGAUAUCACUUAAAUCGGAUAAAUUUUAUAAUUUAGGAACUAAAGUGUCUCAUUUUUAAGUUUAAGGACUACAAUAGAAAUUUAGGUUUAGUUAAAGGGUGUAAAGUGAAAUUAACCUGAAAACCAUAUGUUGUCUAUGAAAAUCCACAAGUUAAUCAUUCGAGGCUGCUUGCAUCCUGGUUGUAGUUCUGCCCAGUUUAUGGAUCCAGUGGGCUGUAUCACUCUUUCACAUUGGUUACCCACAAUCCAUUGGCCAUAACAACUCUUUUUUUUUUUUUCUCUCGUUUUUUGAGGGAGCCAUAAAAACUCUUAACUUCUUUGUUUUAGAAAUAUUUGUCAUGGCAACCACAUAAACCUAAUACUAUAAUUUUUCGAAUUUAUUUGAAGUUACAAUAAAAAUAUCUCAACAUUUCAAAUUUGAAGCAAGAACAUUUGUGCCUUUUUUUUUUUUGUACUGAAUUAUCAAAUUAAAUCAAGUAGAAAAAUGCAACAACAAUACCCAAGACACAAGGCACAAAAAAGAAAGUGUUAUGGGUGAUUAGAGAAAAAGAAGAGUCUUCUCUAUUUUUUAGCAGAAAAUGUUUUUAGCCGGACAAUUGUAUCAAGUCAGAGAAAACAAAAUGUGAUAAAAGCGACCUGAGGAGCCCACGAUGAAAACCCCAGUGUCCUUGGACUCCUGUCUACUUCCAGACUCAUAAAGUGAAUUGAGGCAAUUUAUCUCAUUAUCUCCUUACAUCCUUACAUAUACAUAAGAAGCACUUUGUGUUUCUACGGUGCAGCUAUUUUCAAGUGCCACUUUGCUUCCAUGUGUUGUACUUUUGAGUGCUGAAACCUUUGCUAGAGCUGUUGUACCUGAGGUGGAGCUUCAAGUGCACUGCAUAUUUUCUGGAUUGUGUUUUGUGCUCCUGCCACUUAUGGGCCCCGACUUUUAAGAAAUUCAGAGAGUUAUAUAUAUAUAUCCUACGUAUAAUAUUCCUUUAUAUUAUAUACAUAUAUAUAUUUUUUUUCGUUUGUAAAAAAAACCAUUGUGUAUGCUGAAGGCAUUUUGUAUAUACAUAUAUAUAUGUAUAUUUAGAGAUAUAUCUAAGAUAAAUAAACAAUCCACUCACUUCAACGAAAAUUUAGGUAAGUGCAUAGGUUCCUUGUCAUCUAAAAACAUACGUGUCAUUGUUUACAAUUUUUUACGUAUUAUUUAGCUCAACUAUUGAACGAAAAUUUAUGUAGACACACAGGUUCCUUAUCAUUAUCAUCAUUUCAAAAACAUACGUGUCAUGUAUCAUUCAGCUCUUGCUUACAAUUCAUGCUUAGCUUUUGUUAAUUGUCGGCCAUUUACCUUUGCUGUUUACCAAAUUCUUCUGGACAGUAUCUGUUUUCUGCAUCAUUGCAUGGCACCGCUUGGUUAUAUUUGUAAUUUCCCAUUUCUUUCAUUGACUUGUAAGAUACAAACAGUCUUCAUGCAAAAUCGACUGCAUACUUCAGCUUUGACUUCCAUGUAAACCUUGUUCUCGGUUCUUUUGAAUACAACAAUUCCCACGCAAGGUAUUCUCUGAACUUCCGUCUCUCUGGUUUCUUUGUUUAUCAGAAAUUCUACGGUUACUGCUUUAAUAUCUUUUAUUCAGCUCUCCAACAAAUUUGCUGCACUGCUGUCUGCCUUAGCUACCAAUGGAGGUAUUGUUUUGCUAGAUUUAUUAACAGGUCUGUUAGUCCAUAGUUUAUGUCGGUCGUUUUUGCUGUUGUUGCUAUCAGUAUUUUCUGCUUAUCACGCUUAACAAGCUCCUACUUUAUUCACUGUGUAAUUAUAUUAUAAAAAAUCUCUUCCAUUAUAAUACGGACAACAUGAGUUCCUCUAAGUUACAUCCACCUAACAAUGCUCUGAAUGUCCGUGAGAAAAAAUCUGAGAAGAAUAGAAAAAAGAGAGAAAGAUUUGCUGCUCUGUCGGUAGAAGAAAAAGAAGCUCAUCGAAAGAAAAAUAGAGAUGCGUAUCACAGAAGAAAGUUAAGCAAACUCUUGUCCAAGCCACUUGCUGAACAAUCUCAGCAGAUUUCCAGACCAUCAGAUACUCCAGGCUCUGGUUUACUAGCUAUUUCUAACAACUGUGCUGAUGGUAGCUAUUUCCACCGAUGCAAUAACCUGUUGCCACGGACGAAGAUAUUAAUGUCAGAAUUAAGUGAACAUGGUCGAUGUGUCACAUGUAUGUUUCGCAAGCUUCGUUCACCCUUUCUUUUUUUUUGUUGUCUGCAUGUUGAGUUUCUGUUUACCCUCUAUUGCAGCUCCAAAUCUUCAUGGAAAUGCAUCUGCUCAGAAAAUUGAUGCGUAUGUCACCAAAAUUGCCUCUCCUAAUCCUCAGCUCUCUGCAUGUAACAGUCAAUCUGGUGGAUCAAAAUUAAAGAACAGUGUGUCUCACUUUUCCACUUAUGAACAAGGUCUUCAUCCCUGUUACUUUUAUAGAAGUAUUACUACCAUUAUCAUAACUGUUGCUUCAAAAUACCAUUGUAUUGUUCUAACAUUCUUCAAUUGCAGGUAGUUCUUCAGGCACGAACCACAAGCAUGUCUGCUCACAUCAUACUACUCCAUACACUUCAGGUGGACCACUACUUUACCUAACUUUGUAUUAAAUAUUGCCAGAUUUUAUUGGCCAUAGAAAUGUAUUUUUGAACAUAUAACUGGCCACCAGGUUCUUCAUACUUAUUCAUUUAUUCUUUAUGUUAAACUUACAGCUAACUCAUUUGUCUGUAUGAGCUGCUACAACUUCUCUCCAGAGAGUAUUGAACAAGUUCCAGGUAUUUGAUGCUUCAGUACCGUCAUAUAUUUUGUUUCUUCUUAAAUUACAUUCAGUUUGUUUACUGUAAGUGACACGAUGGGUUCCUCUUUAUAGAACUGUCAUCACUUGUUACACGAUAUCAGGCUACUCGACAGUUACUAGGAUCUACUGCUAACAAAAAUGGAGGUUUAGGUUGUCCUCUGUCACCAAGUUUCAUUAUUGUAAUACUUGCUACACCAUCAGUCUACUUCUCACCGUUGACAAAAUCUUCUGAAUAAAUGUACAGCCAACACAAAAUCAGUGCUGGAAAAAACUCAGACCGUUAAUAAGACAACUAAGAGACCAAAAGGUAUUUUGAAUAUAGUUUAUUGUACAUGUAGAGUUCUGUUCCAAACCUCUACUCUUCUGUUCAAUAGUUACAAUUACAUUGAAUGUAUUGUAGGGAGAACAAAUCCAGAUGGGAUUGGAGCAUUGAAAUUCAUUAACGAUGAACCAGACAUGUUGCCUUCAAAGCCACAUUGCAGUUACUGUGAGGCAAAAAAGUUCCAUUCUGAAACACCAAAUUUUUGUUGUUCUAAUGGUGAAGUGGUUCUCCAGCAAAACAAACUUCCGGAUAUUUUGAUAGAACUAUAUACUGGUCGGUCUGAUGAAGCUGCUUCUUUUAGAACAUAUGUCAGGACAUACAACAACAUGUUUGGCUUCACCUCUUUUGGAGUGCAUUAUGAUAAAUCCCUCUGCAAAAGAACUAAUGGCAUUUACACAUUCAAAGUCCAAGGACAAACUUAUCACUUCAUCAAAGAUCUGAUUCCAUCUGGAGGUUCUGGCGUCUAUCUGCAGCUAUAUUUCCAUGACACAGACCAUGAGUUAGAAAACAGACUAGCUAUAUCACAGAAGCUGACAGAGAGUACAGUAAAAAAAAUUAUGCAUAUGAUGGAAUCCAAUCCUUACGCUUCUUUUCUUCGAAGCUUAAAACAUGUUCCAGAUCUUGACUCAUACCAGAUAGUACUUAAAUCCCAUUCAGAAAAUGAUCAGAGGGUCUUCAACCAACCAACUGCAUCUCAAAUUGCAGCUUUAUGGGUGGAGGGUCAGGAAUUUAAAGAAGGAUACACGAGACAUAUUCAAAUCUAUACAAAAGAGGGUAAAGACCACCUGUUACAAUACUAUUAUGGAUGCUAUGAUCCAUUGCAGUAUCCACUGUUAUUCCCGCUUGGAGAAACUGGAUGGCAUCCUGGUAUAAGAAGGAUAACUAUGGAAAAUCCAAAGAAGAGAAAGAGAUGCAACAAAAAAGCUAGCUGCACUACUCCUUUUCCUAAUUACAGAUCUGCACAAGAGCUACUAGAUGCUGAGGAGCAAGGUAUGCAUAGAAUCAUAAUCUAGAAUUAUAUUCUCCAGUAUAUACUUAUAAAUAUUAUGAUGCUUACAUUGAACAAUUGUAUUGCAGGUUGUAACGAUCUGGAAAACAAUAAGGAGUUUGUAUCAAUGCGUGAGUAUUAUUCAUAUAAAUUGCAGAUGCGAGAAAAAUAUACUCCAAGUGUACUUAAUACUGGCAGACUGCUACAACAAUAUGUGAUUGAUAUGUAUAUAAAGAUAGAAACCCAGAGACUUGAUUACUACAAGAAUCGACAAGAAUUAAUAAGAAGAGAGCAGCUUCAAGGUAUAAUGGACAGUGUAGUAGCAGGGCAUUGCCAGGGAUCAAGGGUAGGGCAGCGAGUAAUCCUCCCAGCUUCAUUUAUAGGUGGUCCACGUGAUAUGAGGAGAAGAUAUGUUGACGCCAUGGCUCUUGUACAAAAAUUCGGCAAACCAGAUCUGUUCAUUACAAUGACCUGCAACCCUUCAUGGCCUGAGAUCAAACAACAUAUGCUUCCUACUGAUGAGGCUCAUAACAGACCAGACUGGGUUAAUUCCACUUUGUCCCCUCAAACUUUGGGCGAUUACCCACUUCAGUCCCUUAACUUCAAAAUGGGACACUUAAAUCCCUAAACUUAUGAAUUGCUCCCAGUUAAGGAAAAUUGUUGACAGAAUCCUGAUUGCCGUUGGUGGUUGAAGAGCGUGGCAAACACUGUCCUUUGACUGAGGGCAACAAUGAAAAUUCACAAAAAAUCACAUAUAUAGAUUAAAAAAAAAUGGUGAAAUAUGGAGGGAAAGUUUCCCUCCAUGCUACCCACUUCAGAUGGAUAAUGUAGACCCGAUCCAAAUCAUAAAAGGGCACUUCAGGUCGGUAUGCUGAGAGACCCAAGCUGUCAUUCUGCUAUCCACAGGGCAGGAAGAAGAAAAGGAGAACCCAACGCAUGGUUCAACAAACAAAGAGAAAUGGUGAGGCAAUUUUGUGAUUGUGGAAAGCAAACAUUGAUGAUGACAUCAUGGACUGCCAUGAACCCAGGAAGAAGGUUUUGUCGAUGUGCCAAGUACAGAGUAAGGGAAAUUAGGGUUUUGUGUUUAUACUUGUUUUUUAUUUUGGGUUUGUAUGAAUUGCAGCCACCUAAUCUUGUCUGCAAACAUAAUGUUCUUGUCAAACUAGGAACAAGGAGGCUGCAUAUACUGGGAUUGGGUUGAUCCUGAGAUGUGUCAAAGGUCAAAAGAAAUAAUACCUGGACUGCUAAGGUCGAUGAACAAGAUGGAAGCUGAGUUGGAUAGGUUGAAAGAAAAUUCAAGGUGCCAACAAUCGAAAGUAAGGAAGCUAAGGAUGUACUUGAUUAUCCACUGGGUUGCCAUUGUCAUGUGGUUGUUUUUUUCAAAUCUGGGGGAGAAGGUCCAAAAUGAGUUGUAGAAGAAGCAACCGCUUAUGCCGGACUGCCCGUUUUGUUUGCUCAAAUAUGGGACCACCUUUGUCUGUCAUUGCUAAGUAGUGGACCUUUUGAGUGGUGCAGGAAGGAAAUUCUUGCUUUUGCUGACUAUGUAAUUACCAGCACUUUCAGAAUCCCGCUUGCGGGUUUCAGCGUUUUAUGCUGUCGGGAUGUUAACCAUCUUGCUUGUGAACAUGUGCCACAUUGCUUUGAAUUUUUGUGACAGGUGAAAGUUUUGUCUGAUGAAUGUAUUUGUGAAAUGACCUGAGUGGUGGUAGAUGGGUUAAUUGGGUCGGUCGCGUUACCCAAUUAUUUAUAUCCAUAAGUAAAAUUUUAAGAUUCGCAUACCCAUCUAUUCAUGGCCGGUAUGGGUAAAUGUAGUUCAAUGGAAAUGUCAAAAAACGAGUUUGACAACCCAAUUGCUCGUUUACAACCUAUUUAUUCUAACUUUUUACAAAUUCGUCUAAAUUAAUUUUGAAAACUUAAUUGCCAAUUUAUACAACCCUUUUUUUUAACUGUCAUUAAUUUAAAUAUUUACUUAUAAUGCCCAAAAAGCUUAAUUACCAAUUUUUUCUUCUCGCCAUCAAAUAUUACAUUAACCCGCAUGCGGGAUUUUAACCUGCUUGCUUGUGAACAAGUACCACAUUGCUUUGAAUUUUUGUGACAGGACAAAAGCUUUGUCUGAUGAAUGUAUUUGUGAAAUGACCUGAGUGGUGGUAGAUGGGUUAAUUGGGUCGGUUGCGUUAACCAAUUAUUUUUAUCCAUAAGAAAAAUUUUAUGAUUCCCAUACCCAUCUAUUCCUGGGCGGUAUGGGUAAAUGUAGUUCAAUGGACAAGUCAGAAAACGAGUUUGGCAACCCAAUUACUCGUUUACAACCCAUUUAUUCUAAUUUUUUACAAAUUCGUCUAAAUUCAUUUUGAAAACUUAACUGCCAAUUUAUACAACCCUUUUUUUUAACUGUCAUUAAUUUAAUUAUUUACUUAUAAUACCCAAAAAGCCUAAUUAGCAAUUUUUUCUUCUCGCCAUCAAAUAUAACAUUAACCCACAUGCGAUCUUACGUUGAAAUAGGAAAGGAACAGAAUGCCGCUUGGGGGUUUCAGCGUUCUUAUGCAGACGGGAUGUUAACCUGCUUGCUUGUAAACAUGUACCACAUUGCUUUGAAUUUUUGUGACAGGUGGAAAGCUUUUUCUGAUGAAUGUAUUUGUGAAAUAACCUGAGUGGUGGUAGAUGGGUUAAUUGGGUCGGUUGCGUUACCCAAUUAUUUAUAUCCAUAAGUAAAAUUUUAUGAUUCCCAUACCCAUCUAUUCUUGGGCGAUAUGAGUAAAUGUAGUUCAAUGGACAAGUCAGAAAACGAGUUUGGCAACCCAAUUACUCGUUUACAACCUAUUUCUUCUAACUUUUUACAAAUUCGUCCAAAUUCAUUUUGAAAACUUAACUGCCAAUUUAUACAACCCUUUUUUUUAAUGGUCAUUAAUUUAAAUAUUUACUUAUAAUGCCCAAAAAGCCUAAUUACCAAUUUUUUCUUCUCGCCAUAAAAUAUAACAUUAACCCGCAUGCGAGGUAACGUUGAAGUAGGAAAAACACAGAAUCCCGCUUGCGGGUUUUAGCGUUAUUAUACAGUCGGGAUUUUAACCAUCUUGCUUGUGAACAUGUACCACAUUGUUUUGAAUUUUUGUGACUGGUGAAAGCUUUGUCUGAUGAAUGUAUUUGUGAAAUGACCUGAGUGGUGGUAGAUGGGUUUUAAAUGUAUUGUAUCAAAUUUAGGGAUAUAGUGGACCUGCUAUGUCCCAUAAUUGUGAACGUUGGACCUGCUAUGUAAUCAGAAUUUGUUGUUUAGGGAUUUUAGUGUCCCAAUUUGUAAAGUUUAUUGCAAGUAAUCUAUGUCACAUUAACAACAGCAAUCAACUCAGAACAUAAAAUUUUCAGCAAAAACCUUUGAUCAUUCAACAAAUCAUCCAAUACAUAAUAGCAAUACCAGGAAUGACAAAAAUUCCACAUUAACAGCCUCUGAAUUUCACCCAUCUGGACUAGCAAGACAAAGGCUAUAUGAGUUCCACAACAGAGGCUACCAAAAACAGAGGCUAACAAAAAUUCCAUAUUAACAAAAAAAUUCUUAGUUCCAAUGGACUAUAUGAGUUGAACAAAAGUUCGCCACAUCUGGACUAGCAAAACAGAGGCUUUUACUGCCCAAUUUGAUUGUAUCUGCAAAAUAAAAAAGGCUAUAUGCCUGUACAAUUCUUGAGUUGGUUUGUCCAGCAUCAGUUAGUUCAUGCUUGAAGGCUAUUUGGCCUAUUGCUGCAAUUUUCCCAACUUAACAGAUUGGUUUCCAUCCCCAUGGAGCUGCACAUUUUCAAUUCCAAGUGACUCCUUCGCAUGUCCCGCAGCUGUCUGUAAUGUAGACAGGUUAACACACAAAUUGCCUUGCCAUGUGAAUUGUGCUUGCUUAAGUCCACUGCUGGAAUGAGAGGCUGUCCCCAAGUCCACGUAUGAGUGUGGUGCUCUCAUCGUUACUCCGUGGCUGUGGGAAUAAAGUUUGCGACCAUCAGCUUUGGAGCUUAACUGCAAACAAGCACAUAACAUGAAUCAAUAAGACAUGACACCCAUAAAUAAAGACCUGAUGUAUGGAGACCACUUACAUGAGUUGUUGUAGGAUUCUUUUCCACAUGCCCAGAACUAUUUUGAGCAUGAUUAUAUGGGUUUUCCAGAUCAUCAGACCGUAUUUUUACAGUUUUGAAUCCCAAGUCUCCAGUCAUGUCCAGUGAGCUCCUAAAGGUCCAUUGCCUCAACUUACAACUAUUCUUUGAGUGACCAUGCUUACGACAAAAUGAGCAUUUUCUUCCUUUCUUUGUCACUGGUUCUUGUGCCCCUUGUUUUGGCUGAUUGGCAUCCAAAUUUUGAGAUGGACCUGUGUGACUCUGUUGCGUACUUACUCCAAGUAUGUCAACGGUCACAUCACUUGGACAAGCCUCGUUAGUACUUGGCUGCAUAGAUGGGCCUGUAUCUCCAAUAUCACUGUUCUCCUUUGCUGAACUUGUAGUUGUCCCCUCAGUGGUUUGCUUAUUUUUAUCCGGACAUCCUCUUUUGUUAUGUCCGUAUUUUUUGCAGCGGCUGCAGCUCAUCAUGGUGCCAACCUUGCUAACCUUGUGAGGUUUAGUUGGAUUGACACAGCUGUCCCGUCUGUCUUCUUCUGAAGCCUUUUUUCUCAUUUUCUUUGGCCUUCCAGCAAAUCUUCUAUAAGUCGGAGGCUUCAUUGCUGGAAGGUCUAUGUGCUCCCACAAAUUAGGACCAUUGAUUGGAUUAAGUACAGGUUCAUAACUUUGUAGAUACGUGAUCUUCAAGUAGGUGUUGGAAACAUGCUUCUCUGGUGCUUCAUGUCUCUUGUUGAUGGCAGCUACAGCAUGGCCACAUGGUAUUCCCCUUAAUUGCCACUUUCUACAUGAACAGGUUUUGGCAGCCAUGUCAACGAUAUACUGCUCCCCAAAUGGACAGCUUAUCUGAUACUUCAUUGUCCCAGCAUAUGACGCUAUGCACAUACACUGCUCUUGCUUAGCCUUUUCCAAUAUCUCAAAUAUUGCUGGACAAAGAAGACCUGAAUACAAAAUGAAAACAAUAAAUUGGUCAUAAAUUUCUCAAAGAAAUUAUGAACUGACCUUAAUACUAGUAAAUAAAUAAAAUGUGUCUUAACCUUCGUGCUUGGACAUUGCUUCCCUGUUCCUCUCCAUCCUCUUCAGCAGGUACAAAUAAAUGGUCUGCAGCAUGGAUAUGAUUGGUAGUGACCUGGCCUUUAAAAUUACUGCAUUAAAGGACUCACACAUAUUAUUCACCAAAAUAUCACAAUCCAAUCCACAUCUAAAAUGGGCUCUACACCAAGUUUUGGGAUCUUUUUCAUCAAGCCAAGAAUGCGCAGCUGCAGAUUCUUGCCCCAACUGUUCCAUUUUGACUUUCCAGUGGGUAACAUAAGAAGCUUUUGCGCAUUUCCAAAGUCUUUCUUUUAAGGCCAGGCCUCUAUGAAUCUGUUUGAAAUUGGUGUAUAGAUGUUGCACACAACACCUGUGCUCAGCUUGUGGCAUUUUGUCUCUAACUGCCUGAACUAGUCCCUGUACACGUUUGAAUACAACUUGGCUUAAAUAAAAAGUUGUACCUGAGUUAUUAAAUAAAAAGUUGAUGUAUAAAUAAGUGCUAAUACAAUUUAUCAUACCUUUUGCUUGUCAGUCAUGACACACCAAUUACUGGAAUCUGAUAUUUCCAAAUCUUGUACAAGCAAUCCCAAAAACCAGCUCCAAUUGUCAUAAUUUUCCACUCUAACAACUGACAAAGCUAGUGGAAACAUUUUAUUAUCCCCAUCCAUACCCACGGCUGUAAGUAGUUGUCCACCAUAUGUAUCCUUUAAGAAGCACCCAUCCAACCCAAUCCAAUGCCUACAGCCCUUUAGAAAUCCUCUCUUCAAUGGCUCUAAGCACAUGUAAAGCCUUUUGAAUCUGACAAUCCCAUCCUCAUCCUCAUCCGUCUCAACGAACACUGUCGAUCCAGGAUUUGCUCUCCUCAAUUCACCACAGAAGUCCUCUAACAAUGCAUACUGUUUUUCAUGACUGCCUUCAAUUAUGUCUCUUACUUUUUUCAUUGUCCUAUAGCCUUGUUUAAGACUGAAAUCUACAUUUAAUUCUUCAGUCACCCUAGUCAUGAGCUCCUGGACUGUCAUGGAUGGUGUUUUUCUCACCUCAUCUACAAACAACCUGGUAGCUAGUUUUGAUGUCAUGUUUCUAUUAUGGAAGACACGUCCACAGGUGUGCUCCUUGCUAAGUGUCUUGAUCUGGAAAGUGUUUUCACCUUGCAUUUUUGAGCCAAAAAGUUGCCAUUCACAGCCUCUGCAUUUCACCCGUACCCUAUAUGUGUCAUUUUUUAUGAAUUGGACAUCCCUUCCCUCCAUAAUAGCCUGGAUUCUAACAGCCAACCUAAAAAUAACAACUGAUGAAAACCUCUGGCCUACCUUAAAUCUUGGACUUCUCAUUUCAGUUUUCUCAUUAAAAACUGAAAAUUUAGGCUUCUUAUUUCUCUUACGACCAUCUUCGUCUUCGGAUUCACUCUCACUCUUCAACUCUCUAGAACAAUCUGUUUCAUAUUCUAACUGCAUAUCCUCCACAUUAACCAUGUCAGGCUCAUCACAAAUAUUUACUUCGUCAACAGCUUCUCCUUCCCUACUUGCUCUCUUCUUUCUUCUGUCUUUGCUGGUAGAAGGUCCAACUUCAGGAGCUCCUUUAUGCACGCCAAAUUGUUGUCCAAUCUUUAAGGCUUCAUCAAAUAAAACAUCCUUCUCAACUUGCCCCGUAUAAUCUGGAUCAUCGAACUUGUCGUCAGCCUGCAUAUCAUCAUUAGCCUGCACAUUAUUAUCAGCCUGCACAUCAGUCUCAUCAGCUUGGAUAUCAUUAUCAGUUGCCAUUUGUGCUUCUUCCCCUGCAUUAUCUCUCUUGUUGUCCUCUUCUUGUUGCAAAUUAGGACUUUUGGAAUCAAAAUUCUCAUGACUGUUUGUAGCAACUUCAUUACUGUUGUCAUCAGCCACAUUUUUCCUUCUGUUGUCCAUAUCAUUGAAGUCAACUUCUUCCAGUAUUGCUAUGUCACUGUCCAUUUCAGAUGUUUCUUUAUCUUUUGUAUCCUGCUUAGCAGAAGUUUUGUGGCCUUCAGGCAUGUCUACAUACUCUGUUUUUUGAGUUUGAAACCUCACUGGAUUAUCAUCAGUGCCAACUUGUAGAUAAACCUCUGCCACUCUAUUCAGUGGCAAUGUGUUUACUAGAAGAUCACAAUCCCAAUCACACAUGCAAAAAUAUAGUCCAGUCUCAAGCGGCAUACCAGGAAUCCUACCAUACCACCCAAAACGAGCAUCUUUCGGGUAUCCUAGUCUUACUGCACAUUCAUCAAGCACUUGUAGUGACCAUUUUUCAGCAUUACAGUUGUUUAUAUAGUCUACCCUUCCUCCCACGUAUUCUUUGCUGGGAGAGCUUCUGAACUCACCCUGAUGGUGUAUCGCCAAGGAAAAUGAGUUGGGCAAAAUGUCAUUUGGACCACACUCUGGUUAAAUAAAAAAAUAAAUCUUUAAUAAUUAACCCAUUAAUUAUUAACAACAUUUUUAGCAUUUGGGACCACAAUGUCUUCAACAGAAGGAACAUUAGGGUUCCCACAACACUCACUUUUCAGUAAAAUAUGCAGACCCACUAACAGUACCAUCAAAAAUAUAUAAUGCCUUGGACAUGCAUUCCACAACCAUCCAAAACCCUAACUUUUCAACAAUCCUUAUGGCUUUAAAACGUUUUUCUACUGCUACCGUAAAUUCUUACCCAAAUUCCAAUUAUUAAAUUCAAUUAAAGUACACAAAAAACUCUAAAAUAUUUUUCUCAUACCAGUACUUGUCUUCUCUUUUGCUUUCCAUUGUUUCGCUGCGGACGCGGACGCUUUUUCUCUCACAUUGACUCGCUUUCUUCCCAUUCUUGCAAUCUUCAGUGUUUUUCAGCAACAAUCAUUCGGAUUUUUACACACUUUGGUUUUACCCCUCCUCUCUAUUUUUUCAUCCAAGACAGAGGAAAGAAACGACCACUCUCUGACUGUUUCGCACUUUCCCUUCUCUGGAAUUUGUCUUUGUUUGUCCUUAAUUUACGACCCAAAUUUACGUUUAUGUCCUUAUCAUUUUCAGUAACAAUAUUCCCCCAUCUUCAUUAACGGAGAGUGUUUGCCACGCACUUCGACCACCAACGGCAAUCAGGAUUCUGUCAACAAUUUUCCUUAACUGGGAGCAAUUCAUAAGUUUAGGGAUUUAAGUGUCCCAUUUUGAAGUUAAGGGACUGAAGUGGGUAAUCGCCCAAAGUUUGAGGGGACAAAGUGGAAUUAACCCGACCAGACUUAUUAGCUCGGAUUUUCCAUGCUAAACUUGAUCUUCUCAAAGAAGAACUCUUCAGAAAAGAAAUCUUUGGACCAGUAGCUGCCUAUACCUAUGUAGUUGAGUUUCAAAAACGUGGUCUGCCCCAUGCUCAUUUUCUCAUAAUCUUGAAAGCAGGGUCCAAGCUCUACUCCACAGAAUCUUAUGAUAACAUUGUGAGUGCAGAAAUUCCUGAUAAGAUGCCCAAUCGACAUUUAUUUAAUAUGGUCCGAAAGCAUAUGAUCCAUGGUCCUUGCGGAAAACAAAAUCCAGAUAAUGUUUGUAUGCAAGGAAAUCAGAAGAAGAAGUGCAAAAAUAAUUACCCAAAGCCAUUUGCUGAUACAACCUUCCAUGGAGAGAAUACAUAUCCCACUUAUCGCAGAAGGAAAGAUGGAAAGAAAAUAAUAGUUCGCGGACAUGAGUUGGAUAAUAGAUGGGUAGUUCCAUACAAUGGAUAUCUGUUAGCAAAAUUUGACUGUCAUAUAAAUGUAGAAAUUUGCUCCACAGUGAAAGCCGUGAAGUAUAUAUACAAGUAUAUAUAUAAGGGGCAUGACAGAAUACGUUUUAGAGUAAAUUCAGAUGCUUCUGAUCGACCAGAUUCUAACAUCCAACCAUCUGCAAUUGAUGAAAUAAGGGAAUUCCAGUCGGCUAGAUGGGUAUGUGCAGUAGAGGCAACUUGGAGAAUCUUCAGAUUCCAGCUAAGUGAAAUCCAUCCUUCUGUCAUUCACCUCCAGCUCCACUUAGAAAAUUUCCAAGCAAUGAAUUUCACACCCGAUCAGGACCUUCGAGAUGUGGUGAGGAAUAGGCAUGCAAAAAGAACCAUGUUAACAGAAUUCUUCUAUAUGAAUUCAGUGGACAAACUGGCUCAGCAUCUUAAGUGCACGUACAAAGAAUUCCCAGAACACUUCGUUUGGUACCCUGGCAAGAAGAAAUGGGAACCCAGAAAACAAAAGCAUUCUAUUGGUAGAAUUGUCGCAGCAAGCAUAGGAGAAGGAGAACGUUACUUUCUUAGAUUACUCCUAACACAUGUUAGAGCUCCAACAUCAUUCGAUGACCUCAAGACAAUCAAUGGAAAAUAUAUCAGUACAUUCCGUGAUGCAGCUAUCCUUAGAGGCUAUUUUGAAUCAGAUACGUCGCAGGAGCAAUGUCUUGAAGAAGCUAGCUCGUACCAGAUGCCAUACAUACUGAGAAGGCUAUUUGCAACUCUCCUGGUACACUUUCCUCCAUCAGAUAGUAGAUACCUUUGGAAAAAAUUUGAAUAUUCUUUAUCAGAAGAUUUCAUAAGAAUGUCAGAAUUUACACCUGAUCAAAUACGAUACAAAGUACUUGAACAGAUAAAUAAUUUUUUGCAAUCAAUGGGAAAAGACAUCAACUCAUAUGCUCUGGUUCCACAUGCUCUAAACUUUAAUCAUAUGAACAAGAACACAAGAGACACAACAGCAGAAACAACAAUCACUGUCCAAGAAUCUGAUCUCCAAGCAAUUUAUCAACUAAACUGUGACCAAAAAAUUGCUUUUGAUAUAAUUAUCGAUGCAGUGUUCAAAAUAAAGAAGGGUUGUUUUUUUAUUGAUGGCCCAGGCGGAACAGGCAAAACAUUUCUCUAUCGAGCACUCUUAGCUGAAGUGAGAUCAAAAGGAUUCAUAGCACUUGCUACAACAUCAUGUGGAGUAGCAGCUUCAAUAUUACCUGGUUGAAGAACAUCUCACUCAAGAUUCAACAUACCAUUAGAUACAACCAAAAAUACCAACUGCAGAAUCAGCAAACAAAGUUCAUCAGCACAACUUCUAAAAUCAGCCAGCCUUAUAAUUUGGGAUGAAGCUCCAAUGAUGAAUAAAAUCUCAAUAGAAGCUGUUGAUAGAUUACUCCAAGAUUUAAUGGACUGCAAUGACUUAUUUGGAUCAAAGGUAAUUGUCUUUGGAGGAGAUUUUCGUCAGGUAUUACCGGUUGUUACUAAAGGCACAAAAGUGGAUUUUAUUGAUGCUUCCAUAGUAAAUUCAUAUAUAUGGCCACAACUUCAUAAACUUCACCUGACAGAGAAUAUGAGAGCAAGACAUGAUCCUGAGUUCAUUGAAUAUCUACUCCGUAUUGGAAAUGGAACAGAGCCUGUUAUCAAUAACAACUCUAUCCAAAUACAUACUGCAUUGCUGAUAAGAUACACAAAUGACGAAGAUUCCAUCACAGAGCUCAGUAAGGCUGUAUUCCCGGAUUUAAUGGCAUUCUUCCAUGAUGAUUUUUCAGCCGUGAACCGUGCUAUACUUACAACAAAGAACGAAUUUGUUGAUGACAUCAACCAGAAAAUCAUACAUCAAUUACCUGGACAGGUCCAAGAAUACAUCAGUAGGGACAAAUGCAUUGACGAUUCUGAACAGACAAUCAUGGAGGAUUUCGUGAAUGCCUUAACACCCAAUGGAUUUCCUCCUCACAGGCUGCUCCUCAAACCACAUUGUCCAAUUAUGUUGCUCAGAAACAUUGAUCCCCCCCAAGGAUUGUGCAAUGGAACGAGGCUCAUCUGCAAAUCUUUAAACUCUAACAUUAUACAUGCAGUAAUAAGUUGUGGAGAGUUCACUGGGAAAGAGGUCUUUCUCCAUCGAAUAUGCUUCAGAAUUGAGACCAAUCCAGACUCUCCAGUAUCUUUUGAACGCAUCCAGUUUCCUGUUCGACCCUGUUUCGCAAUGACUAUUAACAAAGCUCAAGGCCAGACGUUGGAUUUUGUGGGAAUAUACUUACGUGAACCAGUUUUCUCACAUGGACAGCUAUAUGUGGCAAUGUCCAGAGCAAAAAAUAAAAACUCAAUUAAAAUGCUCAUCAAACCACCUAUAUUUGAUCCUGAACAAGACUCAAUAACAAAUAAUGUAGUGUAUAAAGAGGUCCUCGAUUUAGCACAUGAAUGAUUUGCUCACUCACACACGUGCCACUCUAUUAUAUUAUCUGUAUUCUGUUUCUAUAUUUUUUUUCACAAAAUCAUCCACCAAUUAUUCUUUCAAGUUACAGGAAGACAGAAAAGUCAUAGCAUUUGCUGAAAUUAUUCCUGGACUUCGAGAUUGGACAACAAUAGUUCAGGUUCUUGACAAACAGAAGCCGCUCCUAUCAAAAGCAGGAAAUCGCUAUCAGAAGCUUACACUCAUUGAUGGGCAGGUAAAUACACUACAAAACUUCCUGAAUUCUUACUACACCUCAAAAUACAUCUCACAUUUGAAUGGAACCAAACCUUUUGUACAGGGCACCACAGUGGAGGCUAUGAUAUACAAAUCAGACAUAGAAUUCUUUCGCAACCACUUUCGCCUGUAUAUGCGUUACAUGCUGUCCAAUGCAAGAGUUGAAUAUACUCCACUGGAAUAUCGUGUACGUGAAAAUCAAUGUACUUGGUAUAUUGACAACUCCACUGUUGUCCAGGCAAUGGAUGAACCAAAUCCCCCAGAAAUUCCUCCUGUUUUCAGAUUCACUCCUUUCAGAAGAUUCUACCAACACAUUGAUGAUACGUCAGACAUAGGUAAUAUGCAAAACUCAGAUAUAUAACUAUCUCAUAUUUGAAAAACUGCUAAUUAAUUUCUCCUUGAUGAAUGCAAAGAACAGAUAUACUUGGCAUUGUCGCAGAGGUCCAUCAACGAUUUCACAAAGGCACUACCCCAACUAGAGAGAUUGUAAUCAUAGACAAAAGGUAAUCAUUAUUGUAAAGAGAGUAAUCAGUCUAUAUAGAUUGUGCCACCAAAUUCAAUAGAUAGAUAUAAAAAAACUAAUUUUAGACAUCUAAUCAAAUACAUUGCAGCUUCAUGCCAGUCAUCCUAACUCUCUGGGGUGAUCACGAGACAAAUGAAGGCCAAGCAAUUGCCAACAUGAUUCAAUCAAUGCCACUCAUUGUUGGCCUUCGACUGAGAGUUUCAUCAUACCACAGUAAGUAUAGCUCAAAAUAUCACAAAUCCACCAUUCAUAUACUUCACCACAUCUUAGAAUAUUAAUAUCAUCUUCAAUUACAUAAAACUGCAGCUCUAAAUCUCUCAACAAAGUUUGGCUCAAGUGUUUUGGUGAACCCCCCAAUACAACAAGGUUCAAUGUUGAGGCAAUGGUAGGCGCUUGCUUCAAUUAAACUGUCCUCCGAUAUGUUAUAACAGAGUAUUUGCAAUAUUCUUAUAACUAACAAUUGAUAUCUGCUCACAAGGGCUAUGGAAAACAAAACACAGAUCAAUGACCUCAUAACACAGAGAGCAUACCUAAACCGAACCAGCCUACUACCACAACCUACAGAAGAUGAGCUCUGCACUAUCAAAGAGUUCCUGAAUUUACCAAUGGUGAGCUUCUGGAACUUUCAGAAAUCUAACUUCUUGGCUCAUUCACUUAUCUACCAAAUUAGGCAACUUAGAGUCUUAUUUCUUCUCAGAAAAAAGCUUAUUGGAUUCAAGGAAGCCCACGAUUCCUUGACAAAAGCCAACGGCUAUGGUAUAAUGCAUGCUCAAACUGUCACAAAUCCUUCAGAGCUAAACCUCAAUGGAAGAUUAUUUGCACUUCCUGCAACAAGAAUGUUAACAUUCUUCCAAGGUAACCAUCACAACAGCAACUUCACAAACUACUUCAAUAAACAUUGUUUCACUAAUUACCAACAACAAUUACAGGAGUAGGUUAACCAUAGAGCUGGCUGAUUACUCUGGAAACCUCACACUUGAUUUGUAUGACAAUGAUGCACAGCAACUACUGCCCUUCACACUGCCACAGAUUCAAGAACUCGAAGGCAAGGUCAGUAUACAUUCAUAUGCAAAACUUACCAACCUCCAGUUAAACAUAAACUCAUAUACAUUGUAUAGACUAAUACUCAAACACAAAUAUUGCAGCAUCAGCUUGAUUACACAGCUAUUGAACAGGCUAUUGAGAGUAGUAUCCUCACCUGCUUCGUGAAAAAAAUGACUGGAAAUCGUGGACCUGCCGACACAGAAAAAUACGCAGCUAUCAUAGUGCACAAAGCAAAUGCUGCAGAACUAAUAUCAAGCACUUCUAGAAAUUCAGCUUCAACUUCCACUCCUUCUACAAAUCCACUUACAGCUCCAGAAUCAUCGAACUUGACCACCAGUUCAACAAUUCUCAAUGCAACUGCUCAAAGUUACAGGGGAGCAACAAAUUUGGACAGCAAUUUGUUCACAACACUCAAAAUCACAGAAACUCCAACUAAGAAACAACGCACUGACCCGACUGACAUGGAGCUGUAGAUAUAGUAUAUGCAUCUAUGCUUUUGACCAACCUUUUGAACAUCUGAUGAACUGCCAUCUCCAUCAGUGUACAUAGGCUAUCGUUUGUGGGUUGCUAAAAGGUCUACACCAAGGCAUUAGUCUACCCUACUCCAAACUAUCUGCAUCAAAGCUUUUGACCAACCUUUUGAACAUCUGAUGAACUGCCAUCUCCAUCAAUGUACAUAGGCUAUCGUUUGUGCCUUGCUAAAAGGUCUACGCCAGGGAAUUAGUCUACCCUACUCUAAACCACAGCUCCAAUUAUGUUUUUGAACAUUUUGUAUAGCAUCAUCAGAUAUGUAGCUGUGCUUUUGAAGUGCUGAAAAUGAAAUCAGAUGUCUAACUAUGAUUUUGAAAUACCAUGUAAUUGAUGAAUACUAUUUCACGUUACUGUUAAAAAAUGGUCAGCUCAUUUCUCGAAAUAAUUAACCUGUGAUUAUAGACUUAUAACCAGUAACUAGAUACGAACCUCAUAUACUUUCAUUAUAUCUAAACUCCAAUUCAAUAACACAAUCACAACAUCUAAUAUGGUAAAUUUAUUACACAAACACUUACAUUAUAUCAAAGUACCAAAACAAAAUACACAGAUCCAAAUCCUUCAACAUAGUGCAAGCCACAAACUAAUGGCCCCAACAUCUUCACAUAAUAAUUAGUACAUAUGAAACACAAAAAAAGCCCAGAAAACCACUAAAUCAUAGCACUCUCAGCAGCUUUCUUCUGUUCUUCGACCUCAACUUGCAUGCGGUGAGCAAUUAUCUGAAGAAAAGGAAAUUCUCCAAUAUCUCCCAAAACUUCAUCCAACACGGCAAUCCUCUCAGAUCUUCGAUAAAAACUCUUAAACAAGUCAUAUAUCUCAUUCCGCAGCAAAAUAUUAUUUGCCAAGGCCCUGUUAGAACUAUUCAAACAGGUGGUAUCUCCAUUAUGGCCAGGCAAAGACCCCACCACACCAGCUAAUGACAAUCGAUUGAACAUGACUUCAACAUCAGGAUGCAAAUCACGUAAUACUGCAAAACGAUUAUGAGUAUACUCCAUCUCUAAACCACGAAAAAAACAUCUACAUCCUAUGCUCAUAUAUAUAUACACAAAAUAGACAGUGAGUUUGCAUGCCUGAUCCCAAAGAUUCCCAAAGCCAACAUUUAUGCACCCCUGAAAAAAAAUCACAUGCAUCUGAACUCAAUGAGACAAAACCAUUUAUUACACACUGCUCACGUGAACUAUCUAUAAACUCUAUGCAUCUGAUAAAGAAAACUUCAAAAUCUGUACAGCACUACAAUCUUGAAGUGUUGAAAAUACUUCAUCGUUCACCGCCAUUAUUUCACCUGUCACGAAAACAAAAUCUCGUAAACCAACAACUUAAACUCAGCAAACUAGCUCAUACUUAUACUCCACGUCUCACUUUCAAACAAAUACGAACUGUGCGCAUGUGAAUAGCAGAAAAAAUUACUCUGCUGCUAAAGAACCAACAACUUAAACUCAGCAAACCAGCUCAUACUUAUACUCCACAUCUCACUUUCAAACAAAUACGAACUGUGCGCAUGUGAAUAGCAGAAAAAAUUACUCUGCUCCUAAAGAAUGUGACGUACACUUAAAAUAAACAAAUGAAAGGAUAACAAACUCAGACCAAAAAAAUUUGGCUAGAAGUAUUAUUUACCUAUUAAUGAAAACAAUACACUAUUAGUUAAUAAAGACAAUAAAAAAUACUAACCAAAUCAAAUUCAACAACUGCAAACAUGAAAAAAAUACUAAGCAUUAAAUACAGCCCACUGUACAUUUUAAGCAUCGGCGCAGAUUUUAAAUACUAAGACUAACCAGUACUGAACCACACUAACCUGCCGCCCGCGCAUUGCGCGGAAAAACGCACCUAGUCUCAGUAUACGAGAGAGAUGACCCCUCCACGGCCCACUCUACAGAAUAAGUUAGGCCAACACUUUUGUAGGUCCAGAAAAAAAUUAUUUUAAUCCAAGAGUUCCUGAGACUAGAUUUUAAUGCCUAAUACACGGAAAUGUCAGAUGUGGUCAUAUCACUCCCUAGCCUGUGCAGAAGAGGCACUCUUCUUCACAAGUGGCUCAAUUGGCAAGACGGCCAUUUUUCUUUUUUAUAAAUUUUACAGUAAAAUUUUAACAAACAUGAAAAAAAUUUAUUUGUCAAAUGGGGCCUUUAUUCCAAAAGGCUCCUAUGUUAUAUGCAACCUAUGGCUAGGUCCUAAAAGUCCAACUCAAUUCGUAUAAGAUAUUAAUUAGGUUAUGUAAGAUUCUUGAUUCUAUUUUUAAAUCCUUUCUUUUCCUAGUUCCCCCUGAUCGCCCAAUUAGGGAGGAGAGGGAGGGGAAGGAUGGCGGAGUAGGAGAGAGAAGAGAGUAGGGGUGUAAAAGAAUCGAAUCGAGUCGUGAUUUGACUUAAUCGAGUCAAGUCUUAACUUAGAUUUAUGAAAUUCAAACUCGAGCUCAACCUCGGCGAGUUCAAAAUGUAAAACUCGAGUUUAAAAAAUAAAAAUAAAAAAUUAUUUUUAUUUUUAAAGAAUAAAUAAAAUAAUAAUUUUUCUUGAUAAAUAAUAAAAUAUUAGAAAUAUAUAUGUAGAUUUACUAUUAAAAUAAAAUAUAAAAUAUAUAUAAUCGAGUUCGAACGGACUUGAAAGCUAACGAACAUAGUAUUUUUGAACUCGAGUCUGACUUGGUCAACUCGAACUCGAUUCGAAUUCGAUGUUGACUCAGUUCGGAUCAAAUCGCGAGUGAUUCGAUUCAUUUGUAAGCCUAGGAAAGAGAAAGAAGAGAGGAGGAAAAAGAAAAAUGAAAGAGAGGGACGGAGAGAGGAAGAAGAGAAAAAGAUGAAGGAGGAGGGAAGGGAAGAGAAGGGAAGAGAAGAGAAGAGAGAGAGAAGAACAAAUAGAGAGAUUAUCGAUGCUGUCACUGAAGUGGAAAGGAAUGGUGAAAAGAAAGGGAAGAGAAAAAACAGUCAUGGGAUGGGGGAGAAAAAGAUAAGAGGAAAGAAAAAGAAAAAAGAAAAUUUUUACACACUUCAAAAACAUUUUUUUACAAAAUUUAUUGUAAAUUAUAGUAAAAUUUUAACAGACACCUAAAAAAAACUCAUUUGAUAAGCGGAGUUUUAUUCCAAAAGAUUCCUAUGCUAUAUACAAUCUAUGGUUGUGUGCUAAAAAUCCAACUCAAUUCGUACGAGAUGUUAAUCAGGUGAUGUAAGUAAAAUCCUUGUUUCAAUUCUUAAAUCCUCUCCUUUUCUGGUUCCUACUAAAGCUAGAGUCCAUCACGAAUCCGAAUCUAUGAUACAUGUGCAGCUGUAAAGUAAUUCUGAUUGGGACUGGUGUUAUAUUUAGGAGGGGAAAACUAGCUUUGCUACAGUAAUGCUUACAGGUUCAUUUCUUUUACCUCAAAGCCAUCAACAACUCGAGGCUAAGGUUGAUGCUGGACCGAGUAGCUUAAUUCAAGCUCGAGCUGCUUGAUGAAGUAGCGAAUCGAGUUGAGAUUCAAUAUUUUGCAUUCGAAGGUUCAACGAGUGUAAUUGAGUUUUUUAUAAUAUAUAUUUUAAUAUUUUAAUUUAUUAUUGUGAAAUAUCAAUAAUAUCUUUUAUUUAAAAUUAUAUAUAAAAUAUUAAAUUUUAUUAUGUGAGCUUGCUUAGACUUGAUUGAGCUCGAAGCUCGAUUAAACUUGAUUUGAAUUGAUUAGAUUUAAUUAAAUUCGAACUAGAGUAACUUAAAUUAAAAUCAAGUUCGAACUCGAGUAACAUAAAUUGAAAUCGAAUUCAAACUCAAGCUCGAAUUCUAAAAAUUGAUGAGUUCAAUCUCAAUCUCGAAUUUAGUUAUUUUACCUCGAGUCGGACCUCGACUCGAAUGCACCCCUGCUUGGGGCAAUAUAGGGUAAGAGUCCGUUUCAUUUCUUUUCCAUGUUACUCAGACUCAAGUACCAAAUUCUGCUGACAAUGCAAAAUGAAUAGUCGGACACGAGCACGGCAGGGCAAAAGUGAACAGUCCAAGUAAUUCUUUUCAGAAAUAAAGUCCAUUGUACUUCCUAAUAACUCCAUAGCAAGAAAGGUAACUUCAUGUGUGUAUUAUCAAUUUGAAUUUUGAAGCCUUAAAGGUGUAAAUCCGUCUGAAGUUGCCAAACACUCUAAAAAUACUUUAAUGCUUAAAAACAUUUUUGCUUUUGUAAAGGCACCUCAACACUAAAAACGUGCAAAACUUGGCUAAGCGUAGUGCUACCAUACGGUUUUAGUUGCUCCAAAUAGGGGUAGGUAAAAUUAUCCCCUAACCUAAAAACCCGUCAUAUCCGAUCUGAUCUGAUUCGAAAAUUAGGAUAUUCGAUUUUUAUUAUUUGAUCGGGUCGAAAGAGGGUCAAGUACCCGCUAAGAUGUGGAGCGGAUUAGGGUCACAUAAUUAAAAGUCCGCGGGUACCCGAUCCGCCCCGCAUAUAUAUAUAUUUUUUUAUUUUUAUUUUUAUACACACACUAUAAAAUAAUAAGAACUAAAUAAGUAAUUUUAUUGAACAAAUUGCAUUACAAAUAUGAGAGACUAUAGUUUAUUUACAAGAUUCAUUUGUAGAGACCAUGAUCUUAUAUUUUAUAGAAAAAAGUUUAAUUAAUGUUGAACAUAUAUAUUAAAAAUUGUGCUACUUAUUUCAAACUUUUAUUGAUUUCGAAUUCUUUUAAUUUUUUUCCUUUAUUUUAUAUUUUCUUCACAUGCUUGUUUCUUGGUGGAAAACCUUUUUUUAGAAAAAAAAAUUUAUUAAAUCUUAGAUUAAUAUGUAAAAUAUAAAAUUAAAUUGGUAUAAAUCAUUUUUUUAAUAAAAUAAUAAAUGGGGUGGGACAGGUACUCGUUGACUCUACCCUAUCUAGUGAAUACCCAAUUAUAGAAUAUCCGCUGAUAUGAGGAACGAGCAAGGAUCAAAAAAUGACUGACCCAUAAAGUACGGGUCUAAUCAAUCAAAUGAUGAAUGGAUGGAUCCUCAGCCCGCGCCCACCCCUAGCUCCAAAUGCCAAAACAACCCCAAUAUGCUCCAACGCAGCACCGCUAUAUAAAAAGGGGCAAAACUGGUCUGAGAAAGCUCCUCUUUCUCUCUGUGCUCCACAUAUCAGCUUUCAGACUUACCUCACACACUUCAGAACUCUCUUAGCAGCCAGGCAUGGUGGCGGCGGCGGCAACAGCAACAGCGACUUCCUUCUCGCUCUCCUCCACCACCACCACCAGUGCUUCAAAAACCCUAAAACCCCAACUCAACAACCUCAGUUUCCUUUCUUCCUCGUGUCCUUCUCUUAAAACCCUCAGUGCUCGCGCCGCCGCUUCUUCAUCCGCUGCUAGUGGUGGCGGCUCAGCCCUCGCUGCUCGUAUGGUAUCUGUCCCCCCAGCUAUGAAGCCGCAGACUUCCCUCGAUUUCGAUACUAAGGUUUUCAAGAAAGAGAAAAUCAACCUUGUUGGUCAUGAUGAGGUGCAUACUUACAAAGAUCUUAACUUUUUAGUCGAUUUUUUCUGGGAUUUUUGUGUUGUUUAAAUGUUUUUGAUGAUUAAUGAUAUUAUUGGAUAAUGCAGUAUAUUGUGAGAGGAGGGAGGGAUUUGUUCAAGCUGUUGCCGGAUGCUUUCAAGGGAAUCAAGCAGAUUGGAGUUAUCGGAUGGGGUUCUCAGGUUUUUUAUUAUCUGGAAACUAUAUAGUUUAUAUCCUUAUGCUGAUUAUUUUAGUUCUCUUGUUGCUCUGUCCCUUUGUUUAUCAUUAUUUAAGACUUUGAGAUUCCUGGGGCUUAGGGUGUAAAUGUCAUUUGGAGGUUUGAAAUAAAAUAAUUGACUUGUUAGUGACUGUACAUACUAUGAGAGUUAGUAGGUUUAGGCAAUCAUGGUUCUAAUUUGCUUAAAAAACGCGAACUAAAUGAGCCUCUUUGCCAUCCUAAGGCCGCCUACCUGAGGACUCAAUGAUGAGCUCUAGUAACAUCUUUGCUUAAGAAAAAUUAAGUCUAUGAGCCACACUUUGGCACCUGAGAGAUUAAGAGUUUAUCCUGUAUUGCCCAUUGAAAAAUUGUUAUCUCAUGCUUGCGAUGCCCUGUCAAUUUCUUGAUAGUCAUUGGUUUAUAUGAUGCAUUCUUCUGGAAACUUGUAAAUCGCUUUUUUUUGGUUGGCAUUAUGUGAACCAUUAUGCUAUGUUAAGAUCGAAGUUCACUGAAGUUGCAUUUCUAUAGGGGCCUGCUCAAGCUCAGAAUUUGAGAGAUUCACUUGCUGAUGCAAAGUCUGAUGUUGUUGUCAAGGUUACGUGUUGUAUUCUUUUAUUUUCCUUUUGGCCUCUAGGGACUUUGACAAAUUGAUUUGCAAGCUUUUUGAAAUGAAGCUUAUAUCGUUCUCCUACUUGACUUGUCCCAGAUUGGCCUGAGGAAAGGUUCUCGUUCGUUUGAUGAGGCUCGCGUGGCUGGGUUUAGUGAGGAGAAUGGUACCCUCGGAGACAUAUGGGAGACCAUAUCUGGGAGUGAUCUUGUGUUGCUUUUAAUUUCUGAUGCAGCCCAGGUUUGUACGCCUACAUUAUCUGUGGGUCCAUUUUUCAGUUGCUAGUCUUCAUUUUCAUUAUGUUGCUUCACUUUUUGUGAGCUACACCAAAGUAAAACUUAGCUGCUCUUGUUUCUUUCAUGUCAUACUAGAUUAAGAGUUUUGUAAAACCGAAUAAACUUAUUUGUUAGAGUGCACAAAAAGUUGCUUUUAGAUGAGGCUGUGUAUUUUCGGAUUUUGACUUUUGCAAAAAGAUGCUUUCCUUUAUGUUAAUUUUUUGAAGUAAAGUUGUCUGGAGUAUUUCCACAAUUCAUGUAGCAUCAUCUGGCAAGUUUUUCUUCUCAGUCUGCUGUAAAUUGUUGUUGUAAGUUGGGUUACUGUAUUGUCUGAUCUGUCCUUUUUUAUCUGCUGCAUCAUUUCUGUCCUGGAAUUUUCUGAUGUCCAGAAAUGAUAAUUCUGAAACAUUAUUUCUGUUUUGAUUCCUAACUGGAAGAAUGAGACUGGCAAUUUAUUGCAAGUCUUAAGAAGUGAAAGUUGUUGAACCUGACAUUGAACUCAUUUAGACUCAAUCUUCAUUGAGCUAUAAGCCUAAUUAGUAUAUGACAGGAUAUUAGAUGGUUUCUUUUGUCUCUUGUGCUUAGGUUACUUGCUUUACUUGUUUCCUCACUUUGAAGGUUGGAAAGAAUAUCUCAAACUUUAUUUUAUAUGCAAUUGCAGGCUGAUACCUAUGAGAAAGUAUUUUCACACAUGAAGCCAAAUAGCAUUCUUGGGCUUUCCCAUGGAUUCCUUCUUGGUCAUUUGCAAUCAAUGGGACUUGAUUUCCCUAAGCAUUUUAGUGUAAUAGCUGUUUGUCCCAAGGGGAUGGGUCCAUCUGUAAGGAGGCUAUAUGUGCAAGGGAAAGAAAUCAACGGUGCUGGAAUAAAUUCUAGUUUUGCUGUUCAUCAGGUCUGUCUCUCUCACUCUGGUAUAUACACAGAUUCACACACACACGCACAUAAAUGCACUCCCUUUUUUUGUGUGUGUCUGUUUUGGUGGAGAUGUAAUGUACGCUCUCUAGUGUCUACAGUUAAUGGUUUCAAAAAAUACAUCUGUAGGAUAUUGAUGGCAGAGCUACAGAUAUUGCCCUGGGAUGGUCGGUUGCCCUUGGUUCUCCUUUUACUUUUGCCACUACUCUGGAACAGGAAUACAAGAGUGACAUUUUUGGGGAGAGAGGUGAGAGUUACUCCUCUGCGAUGGUCAGUUUCAUGUUAGCAAACUGUUACUUAUUAAUUUUAUUGUAGGCAUUUUACUUGGGGCUGUGCAUGGGCUUGUUGAGGCAUUGUUUAGAAGGUAUACUGAAAAUGGAAUGAGUGAAGAUCUUGCAUACAAGAACACUGUUGAGAGUGUAACUGGAAUUAUUUCAAAAACCAUAUCGACAAAGGUUAGUCUAUGCGACUCACGUUCUCCUGUCCUUUUGACAUUCUCAGAUUUUGUUUUGGUUAUUUUUCCAGCUCCCUCAGCACUAAUGUUUUACAAUAUGACUUAACUGGAAAAAGAGUAGUUUUGCAAGUACAAUAAACUGAAAUUGAUGAUGUUGAUCUCUUUCACAGGGCAUGCUGGCUGUUUACAAUUCAUUGACUGAGGAAGGAAAGAAGGAUUUUGAGACUGCUUAUAGUGCUUCGUACUAUCCCUGCAUGGAUAUCCUAUAUGAAUGCUAUGAAGAUGUUGCUACUGGAAGUGAGAUCCGGAGUGUUGUUUUGGCUGGACGUCGUUUUUAUGUAUGCUCUAAUUCACGUUAUACUGUAUCUUGUAAUCAACAUUUUUCCAUAUUUAUUUGAGAGUAGCUUCUAUGUUGUUAUUUUGUGUUUUCAGAGUUUUAAGACUUCCAUGUGAUUAUGGAAAACAGUUACUCAUGAAUGUACUAUUAUGCAGUCGUGAAUUGUUACAUUUGAAGGAUUUCUUAAUUCAUGCAGGAAAAAGAUGGUCUACCUGCCUUCCCAAUGGGCAAAAUUGACCAGACAAGGAUGUGGAAAGUAGGUGAGAGGGUUCGUGCCGCACGACCACCUGGUGAUUUAGGCCCCUUAUACCCUUUCACUGCUGGUGUCUUCGUGGCAUUAAUGAUGGCUCAGGUAAGUUCCCUGAGUAAACUACAUGUUUGAAUGUUCUUCCCUCACAGUUUUAGUUAUCAGUAGAAGUUCAUCAGUGUUGGUCCCAAUUUCUUGGCAUAAAAAUAUCCAUGUGUAACUCUUGACGACUAGCCAUAAUUUGUUGUUGUGGUGUGCCAUGUCAAUUUCUCCAAAAUUUGUUUGUUAACGUCUUUCCUUCCAAGAGUCUGGAUCUUUAUCAUGAACGGAAUUUAAACAAAGAAACUUUGCAUGCUCUACAUGAUCUUUUUCUGGACUGGAAUAACAAGUACUCAUUUUUUUUUUGGGAACCAGAUUGAGAUCCUGAGGAAGAAAGGUCACUCCUAUUCAGAAAUAAUAAAUGAGAGUGUGAUUGAGGCUGUGGAUUCUUUGAAUCCUUUCAUGCAUGCUCGUGGGGUAGCAUUCAUGGUAGACAAUUGUUCGACAACUGCACGGUUGGGAUCAAGGAAGUGGGCACCCAGAUUUGAUUACGUUCUCACACAGCAGGCACUAGUGGCUGUUGAUGAUAAUUCUCCCAUUAACCGGGAUCUCAUCAGCAACUUCCUCUCAGAUCCUGUGCACGGAGCUAUUGAAGUGUGUGCCCAGUUGAGACCUAGUGUAGACAUUUCAGUGACUGCAGAUGCUGAUUUUGUGCGGCCAGAACUACGUCAGGCUAGCAACUGAAGGUACCCGGGACAUCAAAAGUUUGGAAGCUGAGGAAAUCAAAUGAUCAUUCGGCUCACUCAACUAGAUUUCUAUGCAUGUUUGUACCGAGUAGGCUUUUCAAAAAUAUGUUACGCUAGUCUGUCUUGGAAUCCUGUGAGGUUGAAUUAUCGUGUGGAGUUUUUCUACGUGUUGUACUCUUUUGAUGGACAAGGAGACUCGAUGAUUGUUGUGUUGGUAGUUUUGAAAUAAGACAAUCAUGUGGUUUUAUCGGAUUCGGGAAGUUUGUUCAUGGGUGUUCGCUAGCUUUGUCAAAUUUACAAGUCUCAAUAAAACUCAAUUUCCAAACAGGCUGAUAAAAGCUCAGAAAGCUCGUUUCUGGUAAAUUUAAGCUAAUAAAAAUUUCUCAAAUUGGUGAAACAAGGCCUAUUUCCCCCCGAUUUCUUCCUGUUUCUUGAGCUGCAACAAAGCUAGUCUUGUUUAUUUGAAAAUUGACAAACUUUUGCAAAGCUAUUCCUGUCAAAUUAAUGUUCAGCAUAAACAAAAGCUGCUCUAAUCUGCCAAUCCAACUUGGAAAUGUGCCAUCCAUAAGGGUGGUCAAUGGCAUCAACUUUCUUAAAGGAACAAGUCUUCUAAAAGCCUGCACUUUAUUAACCUAGCGAUGAAACAUGGUUCAACCAUUUGCAGGUCGUUUGGUUCACAUUCACCCGAAUCAUCGACUUUUGGAAGUUUCGAUUGAGAUCAAGUGAUUGGUGGAAGAUUGCCAGAGAGUUGGUUCCCUGAAAGGUGAAGUCCUCGCAAGGUCGAGAUGUUAAAGAUAGAUGGCGGAAUUUCGCCUGUAAGGUUGUUUGACCGAAAAUAUAAUCUUCCAAGACUUGAAGACUGUCCUAACUCUGGAGGAAUUCGGCCUGUAAUCUGGUUUCCUUCGAUGAAUACUCCUUCUAAACGUGGAAGCUGUCCCAGCUCUGGUGGAAUUUUACCAGAAAAUCUGUUUUUUGUCAAGCAGAGGAUCAGCAACCUGGACAUAUUCCCAAUGGAAGGUGGAAAUACACCUGCGAAAUUGUUGUCGCAAAUUACUAAAUUUCGAAGCAUUGACAUGUUCUUCCCAAUAUCACCUGGUACUGUACCUGGAAUCCAUUUUGAUAAGAGGUAUUCAGAUGUCUUGAAUAUAUAUAUAUAGGAUGAAUGCUGUAAUAAUGCUCUAUUUUAUCUUUUAAAUAGAAUCUGUUUGACAACAAAAAAAUAUGAGGCAGCAGCUGUAUUAAGUGGCAACUUGUUCUCAUUAUUGAUACCUAUGAAAUUAUUUGACGCCAAGUCAAGGGUAUCCAAUGAAGUGCACUGAGAAAUGCUGGAAGGGAUUUGGCCAUGAAAUUGGUUACUCUCAAUGGCGAAUGUCCUCAGCUUUGGAAAUCUAAAGCACAGAUCUUGAGGUAAGCUACCAGAAAAUUUGUUGCCCAUAGCUUCAAAGUCCUCUAAGAGAGAGAGAUUGAGAAGGUUGAAAGGUACUUCUCCUGCCAAAAACAAGGAGGAAUGGUUGCUGAAACACUUUUCAGAAAUUGGUACCGAUGUUUCCAUUGUGAAUAUGAAUCUGGAAUUAUCACGUACCUGUCAAGCUAUUGUUCGAUAGAUGAAGGUGUUGAAGCCCUGUGAGGUUCCAAAAUUCAGCCGGUACGCCACCUGUGGAAUCAAUUUUGGUAGCCAGAUAAAUUUGCUUCUUGCACACAACGUUAUGAUUUGAAAUCUUAAUUUUUUAGUUGCAAUUAAGCCAAUGUUUUUCUCUACAAGAAGUUGACAAUUAGAACUACUGGAGCAGUUAACCAUAUAUGGGGGUAACCAGGGGCUUCAAUUACAGUAUGGAAGGCAAAAAAAUCUUGAUCAUGAAAGUGUGGAUUAUGGUUGAGCACCUGGGCAUUUGAUCCAAGUCCAUAUUCAACUAAUUCUAAAAAUUGAACCUAGGAAUUAUAAGCUAUAUUGGGCAUGAUUAUAGGUCCACUUGAAUUCUACUAUAAAUAGAUAAACUGCUGGUGGUUCAUAGGUACCUGUAAAGUUAUUAUCACUCAAGCUGAUGUAGCCCAAGUUUGGAUGCCUGAAGCACACGUCCUUGGGCAAGCUACCCGAGAAUCUGUUUUCCGCCAAAUCAAUAGCCCUUAAAGAAGAGACAUUAAAAGUAUUGAAAGGAAAUUCCCCUGAAGAAAGGGAACACAGAGAGAAAUCAGAUGCUGCGUUUUCUGUUGAUCAACCUCAAAAUCACAUGUAAAUUCAGGUAGCACAAUUUAUAGGGGUUAUUUCAAGAGGGAUAACGCAGCAGAAGCAACUUUUCAAAUAGACUGGAAUAGGGACAUUGACAACCAACCUGUCAAGUUAUUUGCGCCAAGAUAUAAAUAUUGAAGUGCAGACAUGUUCCCCAUCUCAGCUGGAAUGCUUCCACUGAUGUUGUUGUAAGCUAGAGAGAAUAGUUGCAGCGAUUGACAAUAUGAGAUGCUAGAAGGUAUUUGGCCAUCAAGUAAGUUCACAAAAAGUAACAAGUCUUCAAGGUGGGGGGUUUGCUUGCAAAUAUCAUGGGGAAGACUGCCCGAUAUAUUGUUAAAUUGAGCUGUUAGAAUCCUCAGAGCGGAUAUAUUGAAGAUUGCUUUAGGCAAUUCACCUGAAUCACAUACGAAAAAUGAAAGAAUCAAACCUUGAUCAAAAUACAAAUAUGCUUUUCAUGAAAAAAUCAUUAUAGGCGUUGUCUUCUAGAUGUUCAAAACUUGUACCAAAAAGAUCUAAGUUCAUACCAGUCAAAUUGUUGUGACCAAGAUACAGUUGCUCAAGCUUUGAUAAGUUGCCAAACGUUCCAGGUAUGGAACCGGUGAAUUCAUUGUGUGAUAGAGCAAGAAACUUGAUUUCAGAGCAUCGAGAAAAACUGGAAGGUAUCUGUCCACCUAGUUGAUUUUUUGACACAUUUAAGCUUUCCAUGUUUGGGAGGUUAUUGCAGAUGUCUGUUGGGAGAGUUCCUUCGAGGAAGUUGUACAUCAGAUCAAUAACCUGGAAAGAAGAAAGAUUGAAGAUUGCAGGAGGAAUUGGUCCAGUGAGACUGUUGUUAUACAGGACCAAUUCUUGAAUUCUGGUCAGGAACCCAAAGGUCUGAGGGAUCUGACCACUAAGCUCAUUGAGCUGCAUAUACAAACCUCGCAAUCGCUUUAAGUUUCCCAACUGUUCCGGAAUAUAGCCCUGAAAAUAGUUAUUACUGAUGUCCAGGGAAACCAGGAAGGAAAGGUCCCCAACUUCUUUUGCUAUGGUACCUUUCAACCCUGUACUGGAAAGAUUCAAGGCCGUAACUCUUCGGUGCUUAUGGCCGCAAGUAACGCCAAUCCAAUUGCAAAAAGAGGUUCCUUCUUUCCAGUUCGUUUCCAAUAUGUUGUAGGGAUCACGUGUUAUUUUUGCCUUGAAGGCAAGAAGAGCAACCUCAUCUGUGGAACCGCUGGUGAAUGGUAUAUUAGUACAAGCCCCAAACCAGCUAUGCCCAGCUAAAAACAGCAGAAUAAUGGUUAUCAUUCCUAUGUUUGGUAUUUGCUGCUAUGGAAUAUAGUAAAAGUGGUUCUUUGCAGAAGGGAAUGAAGUAGUGAGUUAUUCUUUUGUUGUUAAUGAGGGGAGUGGAAUAAUAAUUUGUAAGGUGCUAUGUUACCAUACAAUUCAAGAUAGUACCUAUCUAAAAACUCUUAUAUAGCAUGAGUAUCACUGUAUCAGUUCUUUGUUUUUUCAGCAAUUUUCAGUUGGAGUAGGUCCAAUCAUUUGUAUUGAACUUGACUGCUAUCUUGUCAUUGAUUCUGUGGACUGAACUUACCUGGAAAGACUGGCGAUGUACAAAUGCUUUUACGGAAUUUCUAUUAGUUAAACAGCAUAUUAAUUUGUUAUAAAUAGCUCACACAAAAACACCUCUUUCACAGUUUGAAACUGAAUUGAACCCUGAGGGUGCUCACCUCGGCCACCCCGCGUGUCCGAGGUGAAGUCACCUCGUCCCUCAUCGGAGCCCAUCCCUGUCUUGAGCACAACCCCAGAGUCCGGCUUCAUCCCUAGUCCACCGUGUAGGUGACCUCGGCACAUCCACCUCGGACGCACACUGAUGAUGUCAACCUGCCUGACAUCUUCCAGGACCAGCACUUUAUCUGAAAAGCACGGGAGACACUUGAUGGCACCUGCACCAUAUCCUCCGUCAUCACUCCCAGGCGGCUACAGUGUCAGAGUCAGACUCCCCGACAGGAGACAGAGCCGUAAUGUCAGAGUGGGUCCCACUAACAUAAGUCCAGAGUCUCGCCUCUACUCUUCUAUAAAUACCUCCCUCACACUCCCACCAAGUAAGCGGACACUGUUCAUUAACUCAUUCUCAUUAUUCUCGUUCUCAUACUAACUUGAUCGUCGGAGUGACACCAGGGGAGAAGCCCCGCCACUCACUUCGGACGAGGAGGUUAACUUCGGACACAGGAGUUCACCUCACUUCAUCUCAGAGAGGACUGAUCCAGGUCGGUCUAGUUACCAACCAAAAAUCACCUCCUCAAUUGGCGCCGUCUGUGGGAACGAGACUACUGUUACUAAAAUGAGAUCCACGCGCUCCAGAAGUGGUCGAGUUCCCUCAACUGGGGCUGGGCAGACCUCGGGAGCCCAGCAAGAUCGCAUCUCUGAAGAGCAAGGGUCCCCGAGGACCCAGCCUGACAACGAGGAGGCCAUCGCCAAGAUGGCCGAAUUCGUAUCACACAACCCUACCAUUUUUGAGGAGCUAGGAAGGUACCUCAAAAGACAGGGGAAAGAAAAGGCCGAAUCUUCCAAGAGGAGGCCGACGAAGUCCCAUGAGGCACCUUCCGAUGAAGACUCCGAUGAGGGGCGUCUCUCUCGGAGUACCUCCAGGCGUGCCUCCUCCAAGGCGACCUCUAAAAUUGCCUCCAUCUCCCGAGCGUUUUCUCGAGGACUCCUAGGGAGACGGGCCGAGGACCCACCUCGGCGCCCCGGGGGCCUAGCUUCGGACUACAUGAGGGCCCCGCCCUUUACGGAUGACAUCAAUGGGGAAAGGGUGCCCCCGAACUUCAAGCUUCCAAACUUGCACACCUACGACGGCCGAGGUGACCCCGAGAAUCACCUCCGCGCCUUCAUCUCCGCAUUCCGACUCUACUGCGUCCCCGACGCCGUGAUUUGUCGGGCUUUCCCCAUUUUCCUACAUGGGACUGCCCGGAAGUGGUUCUGGAGUUUGGAACCGGGAAGCAUCUCCUCCCUGGAUGAGCUAAUAGACCGGUUCAUCCACCGCUUCGUGUCGUCUCGACCAAUCACGAAGACUUCAGCUUAUCUCUUGAACCUUCAACAGGGUCAGGGCGAGUCUCUUCGCUCGUAUGCUCAAAGGUUCAACGAGGAGAAUGUGCAAAUACCUGAUCAGAAUGAGCAGGUAACUCUCGCGGCCUUUACCAACGGGUUGGUGGCCGGACUCUUCAACACCGAAAUCCAUCGGAAUUACCCUCGUACACUUCACGAACUCUGGGAAAGAGUGGACCAGGGAAUCCGAAGUGAAGAUGUGAAUCGCAUGAAGCGAGAAGCCCAAGCCUCUCGUACGGGACAAGAUACCCGGAGAAGGAAAGACAUCGGCCGAGGUGAGCCCGGCCCAAGUGGCACUUCAAACCCACCCCGGGACCGCCGGAGUGUCUUCGACCGGAUCGUGAAAGGAAGAUCAUCCACCUCGGACGCUGAGCUAACACCGCUCAAUUCCAGCCGAUCUCAUGUCUUGGCUGUGAUGAGGCAGAACCACCUCGGCCGAACACCUCCUGAGAUCCCUGGAAGAAGAGAUAGGAGGAACUCCAGCCUCUACUGUGCCUACCAUCGAGAUGUUGGGCACGAGACCGAAGACUGCAACGAUCUGAAACGAGAGAUCGAAAAUCUAAUUCGGCAAGGACACUUGAAACAAUUUGUCCGCAAAGAUGGAAGCUUCGGACGAAGUGCCUCCCACCGGGAGAGCCGAGGUUCUCGCCGAGAAGACAGGCGGGACACCAAGUUCAACUGCCGAGGUCCUGAGGACCAGAAAGGGGACCAGAGGCCUCCACGCGACGGGUCACCAGGCUAUGGUCCAAACAUUGCCGGGGUGAUCAACACCAUCUCAGGUGGUCCCACGGGAGGAGACAGCCAGAGCUCCCGAAAGCGGACCUACCGCCAAGCCGGCAUGGAUGUGGCCGAGCCGAGCUCGAGGCUGUCCGAGGUCAUAACUUAUGGUCCCCGCGACCCUGUCCCCGCUGCCUCCAGCAAUCACGAGGCUCUCGUGAUUGAGGUCCUCACAAACAAUUAUAUAGUCAAGAAGGUCUACGUUGACCCCGGAAGCUCGGUAGACGUCCUGUACUACCGAACUUUCGAGAGUUUGAAGCUAACCCGGGAACAACUCACUCCGGUCAGAACUCCCCUUGUCGGCUUCGGGGGACACGUCGUCCACCCGGAAGGCAUGGUGAAUUUAAUGGUGACUAUCGGGCGUCAUCCCCGUUGCCGAACUGUGCCUGUCAGCUUUGCGGUGGUCAAAGCGGACUCUCCUUACAACAUGCUGAUAGGCCGGCCCACGCUCAAUGCCUUGAGAGCCGUAUAUUCUACCUACCACCUAAGCUUCAAAUUUCCAACACCAGAGGGGGUGGCUGAGGUGAGCAGUGACGUGGGCGCCGCCCGAGAAUGCUACCUCGCCACCAUCCAAGCCGCAGUCGGACCUCAGCCCCCGCCGAGGUCAGAAGAAAAGAGGCCGGCUGUCCUCUCCAUAGACUGCAUCGACCCUCACAAGGCAGGAGAGCCCAGCAGGCUUGAGCUAGGGGAUGAAGUGGAACAAGUGGUCUUGGAUGAAGCCAAGCCUGAACGAGUGGUCCAAGUAGGGGCCGGACUCCCUUCACCCCUGAAAGAAGAAGUGAUCUCCCUGAUCAAGGACCACCGAGACAUCUUUGCGUGGUCCGCAGAUGAAGUGGUCGGAGUGCCACCCGAGCUUAUGACUCACCAACUUAACGUUAACCCACAGGCCCGACCUGUGCGGCAGAAGCGAAGACACUUCGGCCCCGAACGCAGCAAGGCCAUAUCGGACGAGGUCGACAAGCUCUUGCCGGCCAAGAUGAUCCACGAAGUCCAAUAUCCGACUUGGUUGUCCAACCCAGUCAUGGUCAGAAAGGACACCGGCGGAUGGAGAAUGUGUGUAGACUACACCGACCUCAACAAGGCCUGUCCCAAAGACUGCUAUCCCCUCCCGAGGAUAGACACCCUCGUCGACUCGGCGAUGGGGUACGAGAUCCUGUGCUUCCUAGAUGCCUUCAAAGGGUAUCAUCAAAUAGGAAUGAGUGAAGAGGACCAAGAGAAGACGGCGUUCUACACCGAUCGAGGUGUUUAUUGCUACACCACCAUGCCGUUUGGGCUGAAAAACGCCGGGGCGACCUACCAAACGCUGAUCAACCGGCUCUUCAAGAAUCAGAUCGGCCGUAAUGUGGAGGCUUACGUGGAUGACAUCCUCGUCAAAAGUCUCGCCACUUCAUCCUUCCUGUUAGACUUGAGGGAAGUCUUCGGGGUCCUGCGAGACUCGAGGAUGAAGCUGAAUCCCAAGAAGUGCGUCUUCGGCGUCACCUCGGGAAAAUUCUUGGGGUAUCUGGUUUCCCAUCGGGGGAUCGAGGCCAACCCCGACAAAGUCAAGGCCAUCCAAGAUAUGUCCUCACCUCGGAACCUCCGAGAAGUCCAAAGACUGAAUGGACGCCUGGCCGCACUGAACCGCUUUUUGUCUCAAUCUGCUGAGAAGGCCCUGCCCUUCUUUAAAGUGCUGAAGAAGUCUGAUCAGUUCGCCUGGACUGAGGAGUGUCAGUCUGCCUUCGACCAGCUGAAGCAGUACUUGCACCACCUGCCCACUCUCGCUUCACCUCGGCCCGAGGAGAAGCUCUACCUCUACCUCUCUGCAGCCGACGAGGCUGUCAGCGCUGUGCUCAUCCGAGAUGAGGGCACCCAAGUGCCGAUCUACUACGUCAGCCGCGCUCUUCGCGGGCCGGAGACUCGAUACACUCAGGUGGAGAAACUGGUGCUGGGACUGGUCCAUGCCGCUCGGCGGUUGAAGCCCUAUUUCUUAGCCCAUCCUAUCUCGGUCAGGACUGACCAGCCCGUUCGACAAAUAUUGGUGCGACCCGAAGCUUCUGGUCGCCUCACCAAGUGGGCUGUCGAAUUGGGAGAAUAUGACUUGUCCUACGAGCCACGCACCGCCAUAAAAGCUCAAGCUUUGGCUGACUUCCUUGCCGAGCUCACCUUCACGGAAGGUCCGGAGUCCACCUCAGCCUUAGCCGAGGUGUCCUCCUCACCCCAGUGGACAUUGUAUGUCGAUGGAUCCUCCAACGGAGAAGGCAGCGGAGCCGGACUUCUCCUGGAAGGACCUCAGGGAGAGGUGUGCUCCUACGCCCUCCGCUUUGGCUUCCCAGCCACCAAUAAUGAAGCCGAGUACGAGGCCUUAAUUGCUGGACUCCAGUUGGUCCGAAGGUUCGGCGCCCAGCAAGUCCACGUCCGCAGUGACUCCCAACUUGUUGUGCGCCAAGUUCUUGGUGAAUACGAGGCUAAGGAUGAGACCAUGCAAAGGUACCUCUCCAAAGUUCACCAACUCACCGCAUAUUUCAAGUCAUUCGAAAUCCAAAGAAUCCCCCGGUCCCAGAAUAAGCGAGCCGACGCCCUAUCCCGGCUGGCCUCCACUUCAUUCUCGGACCUCAACAAGACGGUCUUAGUGGAAGUUCUGAACGAACCAGGAUAUGUGGAAGAGGUGGCCUGCCCCGUCCACUCCGAAGAUAAUUGGAUGACCCCGAUCAUCCUCUUCCUGAGUCAGGGAACCCUUCCCGAAGACCGAGCCGAGGCGAGGAAGAUACAACGCAAGGCUGCUCGACACGCUCUCCGCGAUGGAGAAUUGUACAAACGCUCUUACCUCGGCCCCUGGCUGAGGUGUGUCACUCCCGAGGCCGGACGUCAUAUCCUCCACGAGAUCCACGAAAGCCUGUGCGGAGCUCAUGUCGGCCACAGGAUGUUAGCCAAGAAGACUAUGCUCCUUGGAUACUUCUGGCCAUCACUUCGGCAAGACGCCCAGGACCUCGUUCUCGGCUGUCCUUCCUGCCAAGUCCACGCACCCGAGCAUCACCAGCCCUCAAAUUUCAUGGUCCCCAUCACUUCACCUUGGCCAUUCGAGCAAUGGGGGACAGAUAUCAUAGGUCCUUUCCCUAAAGCGGUCGGGGGCUAUACCUUCCUGGUGACGGCUGUGGACUACUUCACUAAGUGGGUCGAAGCCGAGCCACUUCGCACCAUCUCGGGGCUGGCCAUUCAGAAAUUCUUUUGGAAAUGCAUUGUCUGCCGCUUCGGCAUACCUCAGAUCAUCAUCUCGGACAAUGGGAGACAAUUUGCCGAGAACCCAUUCAAGACCUGAUGCGAGAACCUCGGCAUCAAACAACACUUCACUUCGGUAGGCCACCCCCAGGCCAAUGGUCAAGCAGAAAACUUCAACCGGACUCUCCUGCAUGGCCUCAAGACCCGACUACACCGAGUUGGGUCAUCUUGGGUGGAGGAACUCCCCAGUGUCUUGUGGUCGUAUCGGACCACGCCGAGGUCAGCGACUCAAGAGACCCCAUUCUCCCUGACCUACGGAGCCGAGGCUGUCAUCCCGGCUGAGAUCCUUACCCCCAGCCCUCGGCUGGCAGCCUAUGCCGCCGAGGUGAACGACGAAGAGAGGCUGCUGGACCUCGACCUCGUCGAAGAACGAAGGGACCUCGCCUCCGCCCGGAUAUCUUCUUAUAAGAACACACUGGCACACUAUUACAAUGCCCGGGUCAGACAUCGUAGAUUCCGCCCUGGAGACUUGGUUCUCAGGAAAAACUCAGUCAGCCGAGCUGAGCCUCAAGGAAAACUGUGCCCAAAAUGGGAAGGCCCCUACCGAGUUGUGGAAUCUGACCCUAAGGGGUAUUGUAAACUGAGUUACCGAGAUGGCUCAUUAGUGCCGAGGUCUUGGCACGCCGAGAACCUUAGGUUGUAUUAUGCUUGAAGUGGUGACUUCAUUCAGUUGUUUCAUCCAAUUAUCUUGUCAAGUUAUGACUUCAGCUAUUUAGUUAUUUUUCAACGAUAUGAUGCCCAGCAUCUUUUAUUAAAAAAUAAGGGGGACAAACAAGGGAUGAAGUCAAAGCAAGAAACAAAAAGCGCUGAGAUAAGAGGAAACAGACUUUCAUUUAACAGAAGUAUUACAAAAAUUACAAGGCCGAGGAUCGGAGUGCUACUAAACACUUCACCUCGGCCACCCCCUUGAAGCCUACAAGCCUAAACCCCCGUAUCGGCUGCAUCCCCGGUCUUGGCUCCCUCCUGGGCAUCCAUCUCUUCGGCCUCCUUUCCGCCGGGGUGAACUUCAUCUCCAGGCUCUUUGCCGACGUCCCCUCCGGCUUCGUCUCCCCCGGCAUCCUCUCCAGUUUCUUCCUCUUCAACCCCCUCGAACACUUCGUCGAUUUCGGUACAGCCAUUUGUUGAACUCGGCCUGGACCUCGGCCAGGUCCCUUCCAGCCUGGAGGCCCUCAGCCAUCCGGUCGCACAACUCCUUGGAGUCCUCGUUGUAACUGGUAUGAUUUUUCAGAGACUCCAAGGCUUCGGGAGCGAGAUGAGCUGCAGCCUCGUCUAUGGCUGAUGUGAAGCCAAACAUGAAGUUCGGCGUGAGCAGUUGGCCGAGAUCCCUGGUGAAGGCCUCAGACCUCCGGAAUUCGUCCACCGCCGAGGCUCCAGCACUGUCAAGGGCUUGCUGGUGGGAUUUCUUCGCCUCGUCCCCCCUCUUCUGCUCUUCUUCGAGAGCCGAUCUGAGACUGUUGACAGUAGCCACGGCCUCCUCAUCCUUCACCUCGGCCUCCUUAAGCCGCCUUUCAAGCUCGGCCUUCUCAGAUUCGGACACCGCCAGUUGUUUCUCCAACUUGGAGAUCUGAUUCUGUAGCUUGCCGGUGUCCUGCUCAUCGACCAGAGCACAAUAUCGGUGUGCCAUCUCGGCCGCGAAGGCAGAGGUGGAAGCCGUGGUCACCAUCAGACUUUGAACCAGCUCGGCCGGGCUCAGCUUCUUCAUGAACUCCAAAUCCCUUGGCAGAAUGGAGUGCAUUAUUAGCUCUUGAGCGACGCGAGGGUGUUGGCACCUGUCGUUGACCGAAAUCUUCCAGUUCGGACACCAAUGAUUGCCGGAGUGCGUCUUCUCGUCUCCGGAAAACACUGGGGGGCUAUGGAAACGAUUCCAUAGCGAGGUCCCCGACACCGGAUUAACCGGAGGCUUCAGCUGCUUGCCUCGGCCAGAAGGAGGUGUGACUAUUUUAACAACUCCAAGGGGAACUCCCUCUGGCGCAGACGAGGUGGACCCAGUAGCCGUAGUGGCCGAGCUGCUCUGGCCAGCCUUGGUGGAAGUGCCUUUGGGCGCUGAAGUCUUAGCGGCUGGUCCUUGUGACUUCUUCUUUGGCGGAGGCGCCGACGUCUCGUCCGAACUUUUCCUCUUCUGCCUCUUGGCCACUUCGGACGAGCCGGAGACGACGAGGUCAGACAGUUUAGUCACUGCACAAGGAAUAAAUAUUAUCAUAUGCCUUAGCCGAAAUGAAAAGAAAAGCCAUGAAAGAAAAUUACAAGGUUUCUCAAGUUUAAUGGAAAAGAAGGGAGUCUUGGUAGUGUUGAUCACGGCUCGACUUAUCCCUCCAUCUACGAGCACGGCCUCGGGGUAGUCAUGGCUGAACAGCCGAAGUCCCGACUUCAUCAGCUUCUGGAAGGACUCCUUUUCGGCAUCCCCGGCAGAGGGGUCGGCCUUCGCCUUAAUCGACCUCCACCAAAAGCCCCUCGGGAAGUCCACUCCGGACACGAAAAAGUAGUCGCGCUUCCAGUUCUUGAUCGAGCUGGGAGCACCGAUCACCAACUUCGGGAUGGCAUUGUUCCUGUUGCCAACAUAAAACCAUCCCUUGUCCGACGCGUGCGCCUUGAGGGUGUAGCAUCGGCGGAAGAGAUCGACGGAGGGAGUCACCUCCUGAUGUCGGCACAGCAUCUCGAACCCCACAAUGAUGCGGAUCGCAUUCGGGGUGAGCUGGGUGAUUCUCACCCGGAAGUGACGAACUAAAUAUCGGAGGAACCUCGACGUAGGCAUCCUCAGCCCGGCCUCCAGCUGUUGAACGUAGACGGCCACCAUGCCAAAGGGGGGCUCCGCGGCUGUGUCAUCCGCCUCGGGCGGCAAUAUUUCGUACCACGGCCGGAAGGGGUACUUGUCUACCACCCUCAUAGCCCUAUCUCUUCCUACGCGACUCCUAAACUUCGGCAUCUGCCCGAAGUCGAUGUCGGCUACGUCCACUGGAGCAACUGGCUCCGGUACACCCUCGUCAUGGGGUAUCUCGGUCCCGAGCUCGGUAUUAUACUCCACCUCGGAGCCGCCCUCGCUGAUCUCGGAUGAUUCCAGUUCCGAGGCUAUCUUUCCGGCUCUCACCUCGGUCGAUCCUUCCUCAGAACUCUGUGCCGACCCCUCCGAGCUGGACGUCGUUGCUUCUUCCUCAGGAUCCGCCCUCACCUCGGUCUGGUAGCUCGGGGUCACGGUUUCUUUAUGGGUUUUAGCCGUCUUGGCCAUGAGUGAAAGACGAGAUAAGAAAGAAAAGGGAUACUUACUAUCGUUUACGGAACUGGACGAAGUGGAUGACUUCGGCUAUGAUCUCGGCUGGAAAAACUGACCUCGGCAACACUCGCAAAUUUUGCAAGUCACAAGCGAAGAAAGAAAGUGAUGGACCAUGCGGUGAAAGGGACCACCUAUUUAUAGGGGAUGGCCAGAAUCCGAAGAGGCGGCAAGAAUACGAAAAGACGACCACGAUCGAAUUCGAAACGCCACGCCUCUCUCUCUCCUCAUUAAUGCCCCGUCCUUUCGACUGACACCUUCUGCACGAAACGUCCCACUACUUCACGACGCGACGGUUAUCAGUGACCACGUCCUAUCAACUGAUUCGCCCACGUGUCACGUCCCCGCAUCUCCCGGAGUAGUUUUGGGACCCCGACUCUUCACGACUUCGGCACAAAGAAGCCUCGGUACCUCCCUGGCCCGAAGCCCAGAGGCUUGGGGGGCUUAUUGAGGGUGCUCACCUCGGCCACCCCGCGUGUCCGAGGUGAAGUCAUCUCGUCUCUCAUCGGAGCCCAUCCCUGUCUUGAGCACAACCCCAGAGUCCGGCUUCAUCCCUAGUCCACCGUGUAGGUGACCUCGGCACAUCCACCUCGGACGCACACUGAUGAUGUCAACCUGCCUGACAUCUUCCAGGACCAGCACUUUAUCUGAAAAGCACGGGAGGCACUUGAUGGCACCUGCACCAUAUCCUCCGUCAUCACUCCCAGGCGGCUACAGUGUCAGAGUCAGACUCCCCGACAGGAGACAGAGCUGUAAUGUCAGAGUGGGUCCCACUAACAUAAGUCCAGAGUCUCGCCUCUACUCUUCUAUAAAUACCUCCCUCACACUCCCACCAAGUAAGCGGACACUGUUCAUUAACUCAUUCUCAUUAUUCUCGUUCUCAUACUAACUUGAUCGUCGGAGUGACACCAGGGGAGAAGCCCCGCCACUCACUUCGGACGAGGAGGUUAACUUCGGACACAGGAGUUCACCUCACUUCAUCUCAGAGAGGACUGAUCCAGGUCGGUCUAGUUACCAACCAAAAAUCACCUCCUCAAACCCC
RNAcentral lists this long non-coding RNA (105627 nucleotides) under Coffea arabica (coffee). RNAcentral's name for it is "long non-coding RNA (CARA_LNC003856)". Lineage: Eukaryota; Viridiplantae; Streptophyta; Magnoliopsida; Gentianales; Rubiaceae. The record is from RNAcentral.